UAUGACCCCACAGAUGACUAUGAAUUUGAUGCUGCAAUUCUCGAUGACGAGUCCUUUGAUGAUGAUUACCCAUCUGGGUUUUCUGACAUUGAUUUGUCUGAUUAUGAUAACUACUAUGAAUUCUCUGAUUAUGACGACUUCUCUGUAUAUGGGUUUGACGAGUAUCAGUGAUUUGCUGGUUGACGCGCUUGCAUGGUGAGGAACCCUUUUCUUGCUUUAAGUCGCAGAAUAAUUUUACUACAUGGUUCUACGUAGCUCUUCGUGGCAGUCUGUUGUGAUGUACUAUUUCUGAUUAUUUUGGUCUGGACACGCAGGUGAAGUUUCUUUAUGGUUGCUGACACUUCGUACCAUGGUUCGAGGCAGAGAUGGUUAAGCGACCAUCCUGCACGCCUUCUGGUGAAGCUUUUGACCUGAACUUCGCAAGUGGGAGUCUUUCCUUUUUUUGUUGAUGAAGAGAAGCGCUCAUAGAUCGGCGCUCCCCUUGAAGUGCAUUCUUUUGUUCCUUUCGUUCUAGUCUCUGCAUCUUUAUCUCCAGAACAUGUUAUCUAUGAGCUUCUGCAUAUAUAGUUCUAGUGCCUAGUCUUAUUUUGGUAUCUGUGACUUUGGUGUGCUAACUCCAGCUGGCCAUGAUAAUGAACUUCAUAGCUGAUAAACCAAUAUCAGGCUUCAUUGUGCGGUUUUGCAUAAAAUUCACAAUGCUGUUACCUAAAAUGUUAUUCAGAAAAUCGCUUUAAUCGUUCCCAUCUAUGAGGAUCUUGUAGUGUCAAAUGUAGCAGCAGGUUGCUUUGCUUGUCAAGCACUUCCAUUUUCAACUAGUAGAUCGCAUUUCCAUGUGGGUGCAAAAGAAUGAAUAUUUGACAUCUUUUAUGUCAAGGAAAUAACGUACUGCCUAUCAUAUAUUUUAUGUUAAGGCAGUCGUGUACAUUUCACGCUAGAAGAAUAACCCUAGUAUGGGCAAAGCAGGAGGUUUUGGCUGUGUUUUUGGCAAUCAGCAGUCAAAUUUACAAGUGGUUAGCCAAUGCACUAUCACUGCGUUGAUUAUCAAAGAGGCUGCCAGCUCAUACAGGUUGCUUUCUUUUAUGUUUGGAUCUUCACCUGAAAGUUGCAAAACAUCAACGUGGGAAAUCCGGUACAAGGUCCUUUCGAUGCGGUUUCAAAGAAAUUCACGUGGAAUAUUGAAAACUCUAAAGAUCCUAGACGAAGAGAAUGGGACUGAUCUGAAGAUCUCAUGACCUUAUAGUUCUCAAGAAGAAAUGUCGUGGGAUUAUUCCCACGCGUACCACGCCAUCUAAGACACCAUCUACCAGGCGUUAGAUUAAUUCAAGCGGGAUCAGCCAAACCAAGGGGUGGCAAAUGGGUGGGUCAGGUCGGGUCGGGUCGAAAAUAAGUCGACUUAUAUUUGACCCAUUUAACCAAUUUUGACCCAUAUUUUUAUAGUGUAAAUCUAAUAAUCUAUACCCGACCCGUACCUGACCCGACCCGUAUUGUUAAAACUUAUUAAUAUUUUAGGAAAACUCACUUCUACUAUAUGCUAAUUGGAUUAAAACUUCAAAUAAAAUUAAAAACAAUAAAUAAAAUAAAAUAAAAAGUUAAAAAAACCUAAUAAAUUGAAAUGUUUAUAAAAAAUUAGACUAUGCACAUAGUGAACAUACCAUUGAAUAAUUAAAAAAUGUAACAUGAAAUUUUUUUAACUAAACCUAAAAAAACUCAUUUUUAUGAUUUUUUUUACAAAAAAAAAAAAAGUAUUGUUAAAACAUUUUUAUGCAAUACAAUUUUUUUAAACAAUUUUUAUGCAAUAUUAAUUUAAUGGAAAUUUUUUAUAAUUCUUUUUAAAAUAUUUUUAUAAUUCUUUUUAAAAUAUUUUUAAAAAUCGAAUUUUUAAUUUUUUAAAUAUAAUUUUUAAUAAUUUUUAAUUUUUAAAUAUAAUUGUUAUAUUUUUUUAUUUUUUAAAAUAUGAUUAUUUUUUUAUUUUUCUCUUUUCUUCUUCUUCAGCUAGUCAUUGGCCAUGACGACGGCCGGCAACCGAUCAUAGGCGAGGCCUCGGCCUCACCGACGACUAGCGAGGCUUGAGCUCGCCAACGUCGGGCGGGGCUCGAUCUCGUUGAUCCAGCGAUGCUGAGGCCCCGUCUGAUGCUAGCGAGCUCGAGUCUCGCUAGAUUUGGCGAGGCUUGAGCCUCGCUAGUCAUUGGCGAGGCCAAGGCCUCGCCCAACGCCAGUGAACUCGAGUCUCGCCAGUUGUCGGUGACCUGCCGGCAAGCUCGAGCCUGCCGGCCGUCACCCUACCGACCGUCGGCUAAGGAAGGAAGAAAAAGAAAGAAAAAAGAAAAUAAAAAAUUGAAAUAUGAAAAAUAAUUUUAAUUUCGAUUUUUUUAUAAUAAAAAAAUUAUAAAGUUAAAAAAGGCCAUGGGUUUAAACUUUAAAGUAGGUUUCCUAAUAACCCAUUUAGAUCAAAUUUUUUUUUUUUUGUGUUUUAUUUUCUUAAACCGAUUUCUGACCUAUAUUUAACUUUCACUUGACUCAUAUUUUACCCAUAUUUAACUUUCACUUGACUCAUAUAUGACCCAUUUAACUAAAAAUGGGUCAUAACAUGGGUUUAUAACCCAUUUUGCCAGCUCUACCCAAAUCAAUGUAUUUUUCCCAAAAUCGAUGGGAUUUGGGAGAAUCUUUUCUUGAAGUCACGUGACAACCAGAUGUUAGUUCCGACGAAGAUCUUGAUGUUGGCCAUCUCAAUGAAUAAAAGGGUGAAAAAUGUGUUGGGAUGGCAUGCAUGUCUCAAAUCUCCAUUAAAUUUUGCAAGAAUUGUUCCAAGACAAUUGAAAAGCAAUGAAUUUAGGGAAUAUUUUAAAUUUAUUUGCAGUAACAAUGUUCAUAGUGUAUGUACGAUUAAUACUUUGAUAUAUACUCAUUAUUCAUGUCCCAUCGAAUAUGUUUAACAUCACAUGUUCUAAACCUUUUUUUAUCGCAAUUUCGUUGAAAAAUGUCUCUAGGGUGCUUUCUCUUUUGUUGAACUUUGGGGCACAUGCUAAACAAUAAAACUUUAGCCGUCAAUGCACAACUUCUCUUAAGUAACGAAUCAUGAAUGCUUUGAAAAUCGAAACAUUCACUAUAAAAUAUAAUUGACAGUAAUAAGAUAGGUCAUCUAUGAUAUACCCGUAUCUCCAUGCAUAUGAAUAUGCAAUGAAUACUCUGAAGAACAUCAUAUUAUUCAUUAAGUGCACUUAAUAAAUGCUCCAAAGGUACUUGCUAAGGAAAUCCUUUAUGAAAGCAUUCAUGCAUUCCCCAUGAAUUUAUGAACAAAAUAAACACACCUUUUGUUGUGUGAUCGUGUGAAUGUUAAUCCCUAUAUAUUAGUCAUGUAUAUUCAACAAAAAUAAAUAAAUAAAAAUUGCAAAUAUGAUUACCCAGAACGAAGCCAAAAAUUAUGUAAAUUUUCUUAAUUAAUUAUGUCGAGACACUCCUUAAUAAAAGCUGAUCGCAUCAUCCUCGUGCUUUUCUUCUCUCUCUUUUGUUCUUUUCAAUUAAUGUGUUCAUCCCAUUGAGAAAGGGGAUUAUGCAUGCCGCUCUGCUCGAUGAUAAUUGCACGAGUGUGGAUUUACAGGGAGGGAGGGAGGGAGGGACCAAACUCUUUAAUUAUUAUUGCACAAUAAUUAUUAAUUAUUACUGCUGCAAUUAUUUGUGGGGGAGUUAAGAAACAAUAAAAAUAAAUUACGCAACAUGUCGUGGCGGACACGGGCAUUUGCGCGCGUGUCUCGCCGUAUCUGUCAGACAGAGCCGGUGCUCAAGAGGGUUGGACCAACCACCUCCCGUUGACUUUGAUCCAAGCAGCUGCUGGCCAGUGGGAUUUCGCCACGGCAGCCGUCUGUUGACCUGCGGUAGCAGGAGAUCCGGGCCUGCGCGUGCUAGGUCGCAGCCUCUCCACAGACAACAGCUUUUUACCUGCAAACAUACGCUGUAUACCGUGAAUUAAAAAGCUUUGCGUAUGACAGACGUCCGAGGACCACAAAGAUGGUUUUUAAAUGGGACCAUACGGUAGUAACUUUUUCUUUUUCUUUUUUCCAUUUUUUUUAUUAAAGAGAUAAGUCAUAUGAAAAUCCAAAAUGUGUCCUCUGACAUAUUCAUUUCAAUAAUUUUUUUUGUGACAUAAAAAAUUCUAAAUUUGCAUUUAUGUCACACAAUUACACUCCGUUAAAAUACCAUUAGAUGAUUUUUCAACUAAAAUAACGACGUUUUUUUUUUCUUUACAUAAAUUACGUGGGCGUGUCAGCAUUUUGUUGUCAUAGAAAAAUGUUUAUGAUAAAUAUAUUACAAUGGACAAAAUUUAAGUUAUUAUUGUGAUGUAGAGGAAAUGUUGCAAUUUCUAAUAUAUUGUCUGCUUUUGUGAUAUGUAUACUUAAUAUUUUGAAAAUAGAAUAUUUUCUCGUUAAAUGUAAUUAGCAAAUGCACCAAAAGCACGUGUGCCUUAUGAUACUCAUUAGACAUAUUGACUUUGGAAUGAUUUAGUUUCGACACAUUAUGUGGUAUAUCACUAGAACGAUUAAUGCAUUGGAAACUACAUGAUUUCGAAAAUCAAUUAUUUAAAAAGUGCUCCGUAAACCCUAGUAAACCAAAAUCUUUAUCAUUAUACCGAUAGUGUGUAAAAUUAAGCUUGUUAAGUAAAUUACUUCUAGAGAGAAAGUGAACGUUGAUUUGAGCUCCAACGAGCGCAUUUUCUUGGAAGCCACUCUUUAGGAUCUGUUUGGUUACGUUUUUGUGUCAGGGAUCAAUUUGUUUUCAAAAAUAGUAUUUGUCUAUUUCUAUUCCCCAUAACAAUUUAUGAGUAAAAAAUGCAUUUGGUAACUAUACAGAAUUACUAUUCUAAGAAUGGAAAAAUAUUAAGAAUGCAUUUGAUAUGAUUCACAAUUUUUUUAUAACAUAAAAUUUCUUUGAAUUUUUUAAUAAUAUUUUGAUAAUUUUUUUCUUUUUUUCUUUUGCUAUUCUUCCUUGUUGCUAUUGAUCACUGGCCAUAGGCCGCUGCGGCCGAUCAUUGCUGCUUGCUAGCCAAAGGUCAAUGGCGACUGACAGUGGCCGAACAACAACAAACAAUGGUGGGGUUCAAGGAGAAAGAAAAAGAAAAAAGUAACUUAUUUAUAAAAAUUGUUCAUGAGAACAAGAAGUUACUUUUUUUUUUUUUUACUUUUUAUUUCUAUUCCAAAUCUAUUCCUCCGUCACUUUUCUAUUUCAGAAAAUAGAAAAAUUAGUUGACGUUACCAGACGAAUUUUUUUUUUUGGUUAUGUUCUGAGGAACGAACGAACAUAAAUUGGAAUAAAUAGAAAUGUUAUCAAACGAAGUCUACUUGGUUGGUGUUUUUAGAAAUCAUAUCACCUCAAAUGAUUCAUUCAGUUGAAUCACGUCCCUAUGGUAAUGUUUGGAUGCCCUUUACCUUGUUUUAUUCAAUUUAACUUGAUCCGAUUGUGCACCACUUAGGAAGUCGGUUCGACGUCCGGCCGUAUUUUGGAGACAUUGGUUUCAAGGGUCUCUUGUCCUGAUAUUUGUCUAGUAGAUGAAUGAGGUGUGUGAUGAUAUUUUUACAGGCCGGAGCAAGUGCUAAUUUUCAGGUAUGAUCUCGGCCCAAGAGGCCUACAAGAUGAGCCGAACGUGUUGGAGUGGGUGAUAAAAAUACCUUUGCGGAAGUAUAGGGCCUGUUUGUUUUCACUUUUUUUUUUUUUUCUGUUUAAAAAUAGUUUUUUUAUUUUUUUGUUCCUGGGAACAAAAAAGAAACAGAAACGCGUUUGUUUGCGUUUUUGUUCCAAAUCUAUUUUUUUGUUCUCAGAAACACAUCUGGAACAGAAACAAAAAACAAAAAAAAAAAAAAUUGUUUCUUGUUUCUGGAACAAAAUUUAGGAAUACUUUUUCUCUCUAUUCCAUUUGCUUCUCUCUUUUUUCUUCUUCUUUUUUCUUUCUUUUUUCUUUGGCUGGUUGACGGCCUCGGCCAUGGCCGGCGACCGGCUGUCAAGGGCCAGUGACCUCGCCGGAGCGUCGCUGGCCCCCGGCGAGGCCGAGCGUCACCGGCCCCUGGCGAGGCCGAGGGCCGGCAAGCCUCGCCGUGGCUAGGCGAGGCUGCUGGCCCUCGUCGGCUGGUCACCGGCCAUGGCCAAGGUCGGCGACCGGCCAAAAGAAGAAAAAAAAAAAGAAAAAAGAAAAAAAGGAAAAAUAAAUAAGAAAAAUAAGAAAGAAAAUAGAAAAAAUAAAAUAAAAAUAUUAAAAAAUGAAAAGAAAUAAAAAAAAUUAUACAAAUUUACCAAACAUGUUUCUAUUCUUUUUAUAUUUAUGGAACAGAUUUACCAAACACAUUUUUUUGUUCAAAAAUUAUUUCCUGAAGCAAAAAUACUUUUUUCUAUUUCUGUUCCCAGAAACAAUUUUUAAACAGAAAUGUUACCAAACGAACCCAUAGUUAUUUUGGUUGGACAAAUCAAGUCAUUAGUCAUCAAGUUGUCUAAUAGUUGACUAUAAAUGGAACUUAACCCUAACGAUUAGUUUAGUCGGUUGAGGGUUUUGGAAGUUACGGUUCAAAAAUUAGAAAAUAUUUUCUUAAAAAUGAUCAAUUAUAUUAUUUUCAAAAAUGAGUCAACAAAAUAUAUUUUCAUCAACAAUAGCGAUUUAUGUUUGAAUAUUUUCAUAAAUGACGAAACCAGUAUAGGAUGAUUCUAAAUUAUUGAGUUUUUGUAAGACAAACGCACCAGCCAUCUAACUUAGAAUCAUUCUUUUUUCUGUUCGUUUGUUUUUGGGGUUCGGUAUAAGGGAGUUGAUAUGUCAGGAAGCUAUCUCACUAGCUAUCCUUCCCAUCAGAUGCUUUAACGUACGAACACCAUGUUAAAUCUUUUUUUUUUCCAAGACUUACAUUAAAUCACUUUCCAUGGAAUUAAAUCGUAAAAAUUAGAGCCCCUUUAAAAUAUCGUCACAUUACAUUUUAAUGUUGGGUCGACACAUUAAAAACCCAAUACACUUAUCAUGAAAGAUUGUUAAGGGAAAACUCAAAUAUGAAUCCAUUAACUUAUUCGAUUUGAUCCAUUUACACUCAAAACCUUUGGUCAAUGAAUUAUAGCUAAGUUAGAUAUGUUAAAUACUCCAUAUUACAGCACAUCCUUGUAUGAGAGUUCGAUAGCUUAACAUUCUCGUGCAUGCACGUAGACAAUUUCCCCCUUCACACGUGCAAGCCACCGAUGUUAGGCUCACUCCCCCUCAAUCCUAAUAUCCUUCUACACCAACAUUGUCUCAACUCGAGAAUCUUUAAUCUUUACCUUGGCUUGGUCAAAUUUGCAUAUACUGGUGAGGACCGUGGGUAUCUUUCAGAUUCCACCUUAAUGUCUUCCCUCAACCAAGCUUGUCGAGAGUAGAGGGACACCAUUCAUCACCUCGAUUAAGGGGCCACAUUUGAGAUUUUCCUUCCUUGAAAUAUUCACGGGCACUUAUACAUAUUGGGAUCCAGCCACGAAUCAACACUGACUCUAAUACCAUUUUUAGAUUGACACAGCAGAAGCUCAGUACAUUUGAUGAGAUCACCAAGAGGAAGCACUAGUCAAAGCCCAUGAAAAUACCUAGUUGGACCCAAUUUUACUCAAAAACUUUAGUUAAUCAAUUAUGAAUCAGCUAAAAUGCAUCAAUUGCACAACAUUUACUUUGUGGGAUUUCUCUCAGCUAACAUCCGUGCACAUGCACCUUAAAAAAUACUAAAUGCAAUCCGAUUCCUCAUGUGUCAAAGGUACCCCUUGAAGCAUCAAAUACAACGAUAGGGUUUGCGUAGCUUUCUUGUUGUAGUAGAUUUUCUCUUGAUUACUACCUUACCAGCCCUUAGUGUCACGCCCCGAUCCUCGAUCACAUGCCCAUCCUUCAUCUUUGGUCGGUUUUAAAAUGCAAUAUCCCAGGACUACAUAUCGCCGGUCCUUUCUUUUUCAAUAGCACAUGCAGAAGCAGUUAUAAAUCCCCAAACAAUAAAACAAUGGGAUAGAAAAGUAGGGCUAUAAUUUUCAUACUGAAAUUCACAACCACACUUUUAUACAGGCGCCUCAUAGCAUAUAAUGCAAUACUAUUAACAGGGGUCUGAUCUAACACUUAUCCACAUAUAAUCAAGGUCUGACAAAACAAGAUAGGAUCUCAGUCCUCAUCCGGAUCGUACUCAGGAUCCUCCUCAUGGUCAUCUUCUUCUCCAAAAUCUUCCUCCUCAUCUAGUUCCGCAUUAGGGUUCUCCUCUUCAGAUUCCUCCUCCUCAGGCUUCUCAUUAGGGUCCUGAAAAGGUUAUUUAAUAACCAUUGAAACCAUGUCUCAACAAGUUCUACUUCAUAAGACUCGAUUAGUAAACCAAUAUGCUAACUGAGCUACCUAUGCACGCAUGGGUCAGAAGACUUACCUUGACCUCAGAUUCCACCUGCAUAUUAGCACAGUUCAAUAGGCAUCCAAGCAAUCACAUCACAAAUCGAUAUCUCGAUCAAUUGACCUAGUCGAUUUCAUGCCAACCAGACCAUUCAUCGGUCAUUUCAAUUCAAUCAAUCAAUUCACGACAUCAAAUCAAAGUAAUGAUCAAUCGACCUAGUCGAUUACAUGUCAUCUCGACCCUUUCUUGGUCGGAUCAUCUCAUACUAUCUAUAAGUCCGUUCAUAUCAGGAUUGCUCACUGCUAAGCUGAUAAAUAGAUAGUUUAGCUCACUUUUGAGAUGAUCGGGUAUACUGCUCUCUACUAAGCUGCCAUAUCGAUCGCAUGCUGAUAUAGUAUACUGAUAGAGCUCAAUCUAAGCUAAUAAGGUAUAUUGCUCUCUACUAAGCUGCCAUAUCAGAGCUCGUAGGAUGAUAUAGUAUACCGACAUAUUCAAUAUAAACUGAUAAGAUAUACUGCUCUCUGCUAAGCUGCCAUAUUGCCCUUAAGCUGAUAUAGUAUACCGACAUUCUCGAUCAAAACUCAUAAGGUAUACUGCUUUAUGCUAAGCUGACAUAUCGCCCCUAGGUCAAUAUAGUGUACCAUCCCAAUCGUACAAUUAAUUCCAUCUUUUUAUCAUUCUCGAUAAAGUAGCUGUGUGUGGGGACACGGUUAGUCUUAGCCAAAAUAUAAUAUUUUUCUUUACAUAAAUCCCACAUUUUCUGUAGUCCACUCAAAUAUUUUUGGCAUUAUCAACCGAUGCUCGGUUAUUUUUCAAUUAAUAACCAAAGAUUAUUCAAUUAAAGAAUAAUUCCCAAUUUCACAAAUAACUCAAUUCAACACAAAAUAAAGCUCAAUUAAAUAAAGAGACUGCGCCACGACCAUCAGCAUAAAAUUCCAGUUGUCGGCUAUCCCUGCCUAAUUUCGAAAAAUAAAUAAUUAAUUAAAUUAAUUUCGAAAAAUAAUCAAUAAAUACUAUAAAUCCAAUUUAGGCCUGUAAUGCCAAAUUGAAGCCUGAUAAGGGUCAGGAAAAGUCCCGAGAUUCAUUCAAUAUAUAAUAGGAGCUCUCUACUUGCUAAUGACUAUGUCUAACCACCUAACAUGCAUCAUUAAGUCACUAAUUUAAUUGUUCUAAACUAAUCUAACCACCUAUUUACACUGAAUUAAAUCUAACCAACCCUUAAGCAUAAUUAGCAAACUAAUAAAGCAUUAGUGAGUAAAACUCACUUGGCAAAGCGAAGAUCGGAACACUAUGAUGACAACGCGAUGACGGCCGAAAUCCAAACUUUCGGCGACGUCGAUGAAACCUUAGGCCGGGCCCAAAGACCUUGCCUCACGGCUUGGGCUUCAAAAGAACUUGCUGGACUUGGGUCUUGCUGAAUUUGGCUGAAGACUCAACUAAUGGGCUGUUCUAGCUGGGCCUCACUGACAUACAAAUGAUGCUGGGCUUGACUUCACGGGUUGAGUUCAAUUCUAGGCCGGGCUAAACUACUGAAAUGGCCCUCAAUUGGACUGAAUUUUGCUGGGCCCGGAUUGCUAAAAGUGCCAAACUGAAGACACGGGCUGGAACAAAAGAAACCUGGGCUGCACUUGUGGAUUGGGUGGAUUUUGCACGGCCAGAUGAAUGCUGCAGGUUGGGCUUUGAGAGUGCUAGUAUGAACAAAAUAAAUGAGUUAGGGAAGAGAAUAAGAACACAAGAUUUAUAGUGGUUCGGCUUAAUCCAAGCCUACGUCCACUCUCCCAUGAUAACAGCCUUCUUGGCUGGAUUCCACUAUGCAAUCAACAAGAGAUUACAAGUUCGAGUGCAAACACUUAGUAGUAGAUCACACUAUCUCACUAAGUCACUCUUUUGGUAUUUCUCUCACGAUUACAAACGUUUAAGCUCUCAAGAGACAAGUAUAUGAUCGAAAGUCGCUCAGACUUUUGAAUUAUAAAUUCUACGCUCCGUCUCUUACUUGCUCAUCGGUCCAUGAUCUCCUUAAAUACUCCUCCACUUCCAAACUACCCGUUGGACAGUAUCCCGGAGAAUCGUCUUCCAAUAUACCCAUUGGACAGCUCUGUAUCUAGAAGAUUUGGUAACCGUUGAGUGACAAAGGUAGAAUCCCAACUUGAUUCCGAUCGCCCAUACAAACGGAAUCUUGGUUUCCAUAAGUAAAGCUUCUUCGUAUAGAAAGAUCUUGUCUUCAACAUCCAAUUGUCAAUCAAAUAGAUUGAGUCAAUCAAAUCAAUCUUGAUGUGGAAUCCAAACCAGAUCACUAGCCGUUAUAUGAUUGGGCUUGAAUUACGUUCUGUCGAAUCUGGAUGUAAAGUCUGAUGGCUAUCAUACUUUACAAUCUGAGUCUGAGUUUGGCAGUCUUUAGACUUUGAGUCUUGAGUCUGGCAGUCUUCAGACUUUGACAUAGAAGUCUGGAAAUCUUCAAAAUAUACUUUGGACAUGUGUUACGUUCAGUCUUCUGGUCGUCUUCUGACUUUGAUAAUAUCCUUUACAUGUUCUAUUAUCUGCAUGGUCUAUUACUCAACCAUUAAACAUGUUAGUAGCCUUUGAUUUAUUUUGUCAUCUUCAAAACAUCAUAAGGGAUUUCCCUAACAGGCUUCACUUCGCGCCUCCCAACGAAAGCACGAAGAAGGUGAUGCUGAAGACGUGCAGUUCGGUGGGGUGUGGAGUUGCUUCGUGGACUUCACUAGCCACUGGAUGGAACCGAAGAAACGAUGAAGACUGACGUGUGGCGCGGCUGCUGCUUCUGUCUUCGUGCACUGGAAAAUCCACGCGACGAGGGGUAGCAAGCGACUGGGAAAUGUUCCUGUUGUUGACCGUGAAGACGCAUGACUGGUUGCAAGCGACAAAGUAGAAAUGGAUUCACAUGAACUGAUGGAUCAACACCAGCUACAGGAGGAUUCAAGGCUAAGGGGAGCUUCGGUUGACUGGCUUCGUGGAAGUGGGUUGACUCACUCGGUGGACGCAUGGAUCUUGGACGGUGCUGCUGUGGUGGCUCAUGCGGAGAAUCAGUAGGGGCAGAGGUCGGUGGAGCAGCAGCGUGAGAUGAGUGCUGGAGUUCAAACGGUGGAGGAGAAGGGCAGCAAGAAAGAGAGAGAAGGUGGAGUGAGUUACACCGAGGGAAAAUGAACAAGAAGCGGCGUCCGUGGAGAGCAGCUGGUCUUGCAUGCUCAAAUGGAUUGGAUCAAAGCUUAAAGUCGACAAUUAUUAUCCAUUGCAUUAAUAGCUUUGUCCCCUAAUACUUUCUAGAGAGAUAAUCCAUAAUUAAUUUAAUUGAAGCCAAAAUUGCAGCCCUCUUAGCCAAGGUUCCGAAUUUCACUUAAUACUCUCCAAUUUCUUCACCGACUCUCCGAAUUGGGGUCCGAUUUCGCUGAAGGAAAAUCCCGAACAAUUUUCUGCAAGUCCCCGACACCCAAAGGCUCGACUUGGAAGUCCAACUUUUCUUCAAUUUGGCCCAUCCGAAUUUCUGUAAAUUUUCCGCAACGUCCGAAUCCAUUUUUCAUAAAAAUCUCGGAAUCUCCGAAAAAUCUUCUGAGACUAAGUCAACGUUCCUAAAAUAGCUCGUGACAUCACAGAACUUUCAAUUUCUAAAAUUUGACUCGAAUUCACAGGUAAUUUCCAUUUGACGCGUUUUUAGCGUGACCUAGGUUACUAGGUAACUUUCAGGCAUUUUUAGUGUAAAUGAUUUGUGGUCGAUUUUCUUCGAGCCACUAUGAAACCACUUGACUCAUUGGCGACUCUUGAUUGUCGUAAAAAAACCUGAUGAUCCAAAUACGGACACAGGGUACCAAAACAAUAAGAAAAUCAGUCUAGUGUCUGUCGAUGAGAAUUUUUCAAUUUAGUGGUGUCACCCACGAUUAACCACACAUCUCUGUCGACUCAGCCUAUCUCUGAUUUCAAAUCGAUUUUAUAGUGUGCUGCAAUAGCCUCUAAAGACAGACACUGUCAAGAAACCGAUUUAUAGUCGAAUUCUCAAGUCUAUUUGCCUUAAAAUCCUUAUUGGUUUCCCCAGCUAACCUAGUUAUCUCAAGAGUGAUCAGCUUUGAGAACAGCCCUAUAGGCGCGUCAAUGAAAUGCCUGAUUUAUUCAGUAGAAAACAGAGUUGAAAAUCUAGGAUGUCACACUUAGCAUUGAGGUGACAGGCUACUGAUGCCGUAAUUAUUUGUAAUGUCGAUUCAUUGGAAGGUAAAUAUUAAUGAGUCAUGUUUUACUUAUUAUGUCUUUAAAAUGUACAAUUUUUCAUUGAAGCACAACUGAAUAUAUUAAAAUUCUCUUCUUUUACUGAUAUGUAUAUUUUUUUUUUGUAACCCAGGAAUAAACCUAGGGGGACACGUAAGCGGGAGGACCCACCACCCCCGGCGUCCCACUUAAGACCCCAAGUGACCGUAAGAGGAUUCAAACUCCUCCCCUUCGUGAGGGGGAAAGAGCCCAAACCAUUGUGGCCACCAGGGCGGUGGUUAAAUAUGUAUUUCUUUAAUUCUCAAAAUCUCUCAAAAAGCAUUCUUUCUAUUUUUAGUUAAUUUAAUCUAGGCAUUAGUUUUGACAUGAAAUGAAAAAGAAGAGAAUUGGAGGAAUUUCUUGUGCUCAUUAUGUAUUGUUUUUCAUUCUUACAUGUAUUAAUAAUAUAAAGUGUGGACAGCAAAAGGAAACAAUGUAAAAAUACAUAAUUAAUAUGGAUCACUUAUUGAUUCAGUCAAUCAAUCUAAAUCUUAGAUUAAUUCAAUUAUCUCUUCACCACAUAAAUCAUAUCUCCAACACUCCCUCUCAAGUUGGUGGCUUGUAUAUGUCCAAAACACCUAGCUUGUUUAACAAAUGUGUGUUGUCUUUGACACAAGGGUUUAGUGAAGAUAUCAGCAGGCUAUUUUGAGGUUCCAAUUCCCUUUAUCCUAUUAUUCCUUCUUGGAUCUUAUCUCGAGAGAAAUGAUAGUUGACCUCUAUUUUUGUUAUCUCAUGGACUAUAGGAUUAGCUGCAAGCUUUAGUGUUGCAUCAUUAUCACAAAAACAACGUAGUUGGCCUUUUAACCCGCACACCAAGGUCAAGAGGUAGACCUUGCAUCCAUACUAUUUCAUAAAUAGUCUUGGCCAUGGCUCGAUACUCAACUUUAGCCAAUGAUAAUGAUAUGGUUGUUUGCUUCCUCCUCUUUUAUUUUUUGUUUUUUAUUUUUUAUUUUUUUAUAACAAAAGGAUGUUCUGAGCUUAAUGCAAAAAAUCUAGUAAUGGAGCUCCAGGUCAUAGGACAGGUGGCAUGGUCUGUGUCACAAUAAUACGUCAUCUCCAUGUUGCACACUUGAGAAAGAAGUAUUCCAAAUCCUAGACAUUUCUUCAAAUCACAACUUUUAGAGCUACAUUCAUAUGUGAUUGUUUUUGGUUAUGCAUAAACCGACUCAACAUUAGCACUGUUUAGCAUAUGUUUGGUAUUGUCAUGGUGUGAUAAUCUUUCCUACGAGCCUCUGAUAGCUUGACGGAUCCUUGAGCAGUGGAUUAUUAGCAUUUGAUAGUGUUCCCACAUAAAAAAAAAAUGUGAUUAACUUGAUAUCUUGCUCGAUAGGAAUAGUAGCUAGCUUACAUCCUAACAGACUUGCUUUUGAUAUAAUUUCAAGGACAAAUUUCCAUUAGCUAAGAGGAGAUUCCCAGGUUCAAUUGGGCAAUUUUAAUUCCAAGGAAAUAUAUGGGAGGUCCUAGAUCUUUAAUGUGAAAGGUAUAGUGCAAAUAUUUCUUGAGAUUUUCAGUAGCAGCUUCAUCCGAUCCCAUAAUAAGUAUGAUAUCAAUAUAUAUCCUUCGAUAGAUAGAUUACGAACCUUUUCUCCUUAUAAAUUGUGCAUAAUCAUGUCUCAACUGUCUAAAGCCAGUAACUAUAAGUGCAUUUGUAAAUUUUGUGUACCACUAAUGAGAAGCUUUCUUAAGGCCAUAAAGUGAUAUGCAGAGACAACAUACCUUAGACUUCUCCUGUAUUCAUAAACCCGGUGGAAGAUCCAUGUAAAUUUCUUUGUCUAGAUCACCAUGGAGAAAGGCAUUGUAAAUAUCCAUUUGAUGUAGUGGCCAAUCCCGCAAGCAACAAUGCAUAGAAAGGAGCGAAUUGUGACUUUUUUUGCUACUGGAAAGAAUUUUUUUAUGAUAAUCGAAACAUUCUUUUUAUGUGAAACCUUUGGGUACUAAACGAGCCUUGUAUCGUUGGACUGAUCCAUUUGCCUUGUGUUUAAUUUUAUACACCCAUUUACAAUCAAUUGGGUUCCAAUGAGCAAGAAAGGACACAAUAUCCCAAGUUUGAUUUUUCAUUAAGGCACAUGACUCGGAGAUGUGCUCCCAACUUCUUAACACCCCCAAUCGAGGAUGGAGGAGGCAUGACAUAUGAGGAGACCAACCCUCAAUUGGCGUAGGUUUUGCUUUGCCUAUUUACUUUUCAUGUAGUAUGUUCAAUCGAUGCUUCUUCACAUUGAAUCAAAGGAAAAAAAUUCGAACCUUUGUCUUGACUAACUAAAUUUCAAAUAAAGCUCCAAACCCACCAACUAGACAUUUCUUCACCAACCAGCUUGCACUCGUAGCUCGCGUUCGAAAGUAAUUUAAUAGGAUAAGAUGAAUUUGUUUUCGAGCAUUUUGAAGGGGGGUUGGAAGGGAGAGACUUGGAAUACCGAUGAUAUCCCCGAUGACACAUCCACCAUGCCAGCAGAUGGAUGUGCGCCAAGCUUCUUAUCACCCCUGACCAAGUAUGGAGGAGGCACGACGUUUGAGGAGACCAACACUUGAUUAGCUUAGGUUUUGCUUUGCCUUGCCUAUUUACUACGGAUUCUAUUUCAUUCUUCAAUUUACUUUUCAAUCGAAGCUUCUUCAAAUUGGGUCAAAGGAUCGAAUGAAAUCAUCACUACUUUAGCCAUUGGAAUAAGCAUUAUUUGUUGCUUUGCCUAUUUUCUUUUUGUGUUUUAUGUACUUCUUCAAUUUACUUUUUCAAUCAACACUUCUUCACAAAGGAAAAAAAAAAUGAAUCUUUGUUUCGACUAACCUGUUGGAGAAAACUUCAUUAUCUGUUUUGAAGUUGACAAAACGUUUCCUUUCAUCAAAGUCUGAAGACCGCCAGACUCAAGAUUUAAAGUUUGCCCUCAUUAACAGUUCUAGACCGACGAAGAAAUCUUAUUUAGAUGCAAGUUUAUCUUUAAGGAUUUGAUAUGUUUAGUUGAAGAUUAUUUCACGGUUGGAGAUAGCAUCUAAAGAUCUAUUAUUCGUAUUGCAAAUAAUUUGAGUAAUUCAGAUUCAUUGAUUGGCAAAGUAAACUUAGAAAUUCUACUUAUGAAAACCUAGAUCCUGAUUGUUUGGGCGAGUAUGAUUGGUGGGCUAUCUUCAUUUUCCUUAAGUAACUCAAGAUCUCUCUAAUUGAUUAUGUCCAACGGUUAGAUUGGAAGAACUCAUUUGGAAAGUGCUAAUGGAUAUGAAGACAUAGAGGAAUAUAUAAGGAGGAUGCUCUAGUUAUUCGAGUGCGUGCGAGAUAGAAAAAUUUCAAAGUCUAAAGCUUUUAGUUCUUCACCGAUUUGUUUGUUGAGCAAAAACUUGUACUCAAGAGGGAUUAGAUAAUUGUGAGACCUUGAGGAAGUGUAGCAGAGUCUCUAUACUAUGGAAUCAAUGACGUGUGAUUGUAACAACUCUUUUGAUUCAUAGUGAAAUCCAGCCAGUUGGCUGUCAGUGCGGGAGAGUGGACGUAGGCUUGAUCUAAGCCGAACCAUUAUAAAUUAUCGUGUUUUCAAUUCUCUUUCCCUUAUCUUUUUACUUAGUUCAUAGUCUUAUAUAUAUCAUUGCAAAUAUUCUAUAUCUUAAGUCAUUCAUUGUUAUAUAAAUUGAAUUAAGUUGCUAAGUUUUACAAAAUUCGUUUUCACACCUAUUCACCCCCUCUAGGUGUUCAUACUAGCACUAUCAAUUGGUAUCAGAUCCUAUAUACUCAUUUAAUUGAAGUGUUUUUACUUCAUAGUUAAAGAUCCAUGGCUAGUAUGUUGGCUCCAAGUUUGGUUGAAGGGCAAAGCAACACCAGACCGCCUUAUUUUGAUGGGAAGGAAUACUACAUAUGGAAAAACAAGAUGAAAGCUUUUCUAAGAUCGAAAGAUUCUCUAGAAUGGGAUGUGGUAGACAAAGGAAUUAUUUCAAAAGUUACAACAGUCUUAGAAAGGGGAAAAGAAAUUGCAGAGGCUAGCGAGAUGACUCAAGAAGAGAUAACCAAGAGAUAAGCUCUUGAUGCAAAAGCAAUUUACUCCUUAUAUUGGGCAUUAUCUCCAACUGAAUAUAACAGAAUAUCUUCUUGUGAAAUAGCUAAAGAAGUCUGGGAUAGACUGCACAUUACGUAUGAAGGGACUGAUCGAGUGAAAUAAACUAGAAUCAAUAUUCUGCUUGGUCAAUAUGAAGCUUUCAAAAUGAAGCCAGAGGAAUCUAUCACUGACAUGUUUAGUCGUUUUACAGAAAUGAUGAAUGGUCUUGAGUAUCAAGGUCAACCAAUCUCAAGACCCAUGAAGGUUAACAAAUUAUUGCGUGGACUUUCCAAAGAUUGGAAUCACGUAAAGACAUCAAUAAAGGGAGACACAAAGGAUCAUGCCACUCUCCGUUGAUGAAUUGGUUGGCACUAUUCAAUCUUAUGAAGUGGAGCAAAUCAAUGAAGAUGUAGAUCCCAAAGGUAAAAAAUCUAUUGCCUUAAAAUCUAAUGAUGAUUCUAAUGUUACAGAUUUUGAAGAUGAUAUGGACGAUGAAGAGCUUGCUCUUAUGAUAAAAAGGUUCAGAAAACUGAAAAAAGGGAAGAAGAUUCAAUUGGAAGAAAAAAAACUCUCAAAGAUUUCAAAACAAAUCAGCUGAGGAUGACAAAUCCAAUAAAUAUGUGAUUUGCUUUGAAUGCAAGAAAAAUGGACACAUCAGACCCAACUGUCCCUUGGUGAAGAAAAAGAAAGGAAGAGCUGAGAAAUACAAAAAGGCACUCAAAGCAGAAACUUGAAGUGAUACUAAAUGCGAAAAAAGUGAUGAUGAUUAUGCUAAUAUUUAUUUAAUGGCAAAAUCAGAAUCAAAUUCAGAUUCAGAAAUCAAUAUAGAUUCAGAUUCAGAGAGUGAAAUCGAGGUAAGUAACUUUCAAAUUCCUAUUAAGGUCUCGAAAUAUAUUAAUGAAUUGUGUCUUAAUUUCAAAACCUCUCUCAAGAGGAUUUCCGAGCUAAAAAUGGAGAAUUCUAUACUGAAGCAAUAAGAAAUUUUAUAGAAAGAAAAGUUUGAAAAUCUAGAUACAAGUUUUAUUACUUUAAAAGAAAAUGCAAAAUCUCUUUCAAAAGAAAACACACUUUUGAAAAAUGAUAUUUCAAACAUUUCAAAAAGGUUUUCCAUGGGAUCUGAGAAAUUGGAAAAGAUUCUUUCAGUGCAAAGACCUUACUUUAACAAAUCAGGCUUGGAAAUGACAUUUGAAACUAUUUCUUUAAUUGAAUUUUCAAAAGUAAAGGAAAGAAUCAAACAAAGACCUACAAAAGCCUUUUAUAGAAAUCAUAUUCAAAAAUUCUUUAUAAAACCUGUUGGCUGAAGUGCUCUUAGAUGUUCUAAGUGUAACAGCUCAAAACACUUUGAGAAAGAAUAUCCUAUGGUUUGGAGGCUUGUUAAGAAGGAUAUGGCAAAGACUGUAUAUUGCACUAACUCCACUAGACCCAAGAAAGUGUGGGUACCAAAGAAAGUGUGGCUGUUCAAGGCAUAUGAUUAGAGAUUCAAAUUGUUUUAUUAAAUUUAAACAAGUAAUUUGUGGAAAGGUCUCCUUUGGCAUAAACAACAAGGGAAGAAUUUUUGGAUGUGGAAUUGUAAAGAUAGGAAAUCUCACAAUCAACAACGUCUCCUUAGUGGAAGGACUCAACUACAACUUGCUCAGCAUAAGCCAAUUGUGCGACACUGGGUUCAAGAUCAAUUUUCAAGAAGGAAUAUAUUCGGGCACUAGUAAAGAUCUUUCACAAUCCUUUACUGGGUGAAGACAUGGAAAUAUCUAUCUUUUAGAUAUCAAUCCAUAAAGAUAUCAAUGUCUAAUUUCAAUUCAAGAUGAAGAAAAUCUCUUGCAUUGAAGGCUUGGCCAUAUCAACAUGAAGCAAAUUGCCAAGAUCUCUUCAAAGAAGCUUGUUCGUGGACUACCCAACCUGAAGUACCAAAAAUCUGACUUAUGCACACCAUGUGUAUUGGGAAAACAGAUGAAGGAAUAUUCCUUGGAUACUUAACAUCCAACAAAAAUUACAGAGUAUAUAACAAGAAGACUCAGUUUAUGGAAGAGUCAAUGAAUAUCAAAUUUCAAGACUCUAUACAAAAUCAAUCGAUCCAAACUCAACCUGAAGAAUUGGAACGUGCUCCAAACUCUACAAAAUCUACUUUCCCUUAAGCAGCUCAGACUACAAAAGAACAACAACGAACAAAUAUUGAAGAAUCAACUAAAGAAGAAGUUCAACAAUCUGUCAGACCAACCAGCAACUGGAAGCACAAGUCCAGUCAUUCUAAAGAACUCAUUAUUGGUAGCAUUGAUGAAGGAAUUCGCACAAGAUCCAAAAGGCAUGAAGAGUUUAGCGAUGUUGCUCUUAUUUUUGAAAUAGAACCCAAGAGCAUAAAAGAAGCUUUAACUGAUGAAAGCUGGAUCAAAGCCAUGCAAGAAAAGCUCAGGUAAUUCAAUGUUAAUGAUGUUUGGGAACUAACUCCUAAACCAAAAGGUAAAUCUGUUAUUGGAGCUAUAUGGAUUUUCAAGAACAAGAUGGACGAGAAAGGAAAAGUUAUAAGGAACAAAGCAAGACUUGUGGCCAAAGGAUAUACACAAGAAGAAGGGAUAGACUAUGAUGAGACUUACGCACUAGUAGCAAGGUUAGAAGCAAUUAGAUUAUUACUUGUUUUUGCUUGUUAUAAGAAUUUCAGGUUAUUCCAAAUGGACGUCAAAAGUGCAUUCUUGAAUGAAUUUAUCCAAGAGGAAAUCUAUGUGGAACAACCUCUUCGUUUUGAAGAUCCAAGGAAACUAGACUCUGUAUUCAGACUGAAGAAGGCUCUAUAUGGAUUAAAGCAAGCACCUCGAGCUUGGUAUGACAAGUUAAGUAAAUUUUUAAUCAAAAGUGGUUUUGUCAAAGGUAAAGUCGACACUACUCUGUUUAUUAAAAGGGAAGGUAAAAACUUUUUACUUGUUCAAAUUUAUGUUGAUGAUAUAAUAUUUGGAUCAUCUAACGAAAGUCUAUGCAAUAAUUUCUCUAAGUCUAUGCAAGAAGAAUUCAAGAUGAGCAUAAUGGGUGAAUUAUCCUUCUUUCUUGGACUACAAGUAAAGCAAUUAAAGGAAGUAAUUUUUAUUCACCAAGAAAAAUAUGCAAAAUAACUUGUUAAAAAGUUCAGUUUAGACAAUUGUAAAAAGACUGAAAUAUCAAUGUCUAGUUUUUCGAAACCGGAUAAAGAUGAAGGAGGAAAGAAAGUUGACCAAAAAUUUUACAGGAGUAUUAUUGGUUCACUUAUUUAUCUUACUGCCUCUAGACCUGACAUUUUGUUUAGUGUUUGUAUGUAUGCCAGAUUUCAAUUAGACCCAAAAGAGUCUCAUAUAAGUGCUGCAAACACAUCAUCAAAUACGUUGCAACAACCUUGAAGAUAGGUUUAUGGUAUCCCAAAGAGGGAGACUUUACUCUCUUUGGAUAUUCUGAUGCAGAUCUAGCAUGUUGUCGAGUUGAAAGAAAAAGCACUUCCAGUACUUGUCAAUUGCUUGGUAACAUGACUGUAUCAUGGUUUUCAAAGAAGCAAAGCACAAUAGCUCUUUCAACAGUUGAAGUAGAAUAUGUGGCUCUUGGAAGUUGCUGUUCUUAAAUCUUGUGGAUAAAACAACAACUAAGAGACUUUGGAAUCAAAGAUUCGUGCACUGAGAUCAGAUGUGAUAACACUAGCGCAAUUAAUCUCACCAAGAAUCCAAUUCUUCAUUCAAGAGCAAAACAUAUAGAGAUUCAACAUCAUUUUAUUAAAGACCAUGUUAAAAAUGGAGAAGUUAUAAUCCAAUUUAUUGACUCAAAGAAUAAACAGGCGGAUAUAUUUACAAAGCCACUGGAGAAAAGUCUAUUUGAGUCUAUUCGCACCAGACUGAACAUUCUUUAGAGUUUGGAUGUGCACAAGACUCAAAAGGUAAAGUCUGAAUGUGUUCAGACUCAGAAAAUCAAGAGUUACAACGGUAAGUUAUUUCUAAAUUUGAAAAGGUAUGGUUGUUUAUUAAUCGCUAAUUGAUUGAAGUAAUCUUUCAAGUUUUCUUACUUUUUCAAAAAGGCAGUUAUUAAUUUUGAAAAGACAGUUAUUUUCAAAAAGGGAAGUUAUCUUUUUCAAAAAACUAUUUUUAUUUUUCGUUUACGAUGUUUCGUUUACCUCGUUUCACUUGCUUUAUAUACUGCCAAAACUUGUCUUCUUCGUUUUUACAUUGAAACCCUAAAAUACAAAAUUCCUAUUUGCUUUCACUUUCAUUCUUGAUUUGUCAAAAAGUUAUCUCCUUUUUCAAGCAAGUGGUGAAUUCCUCCCUUGAAGCGACAAUGUCUUCGAGAAAGUCUUCGAGAAUUGCAAGCAGGGGACCACAAUCUAUGCCUAAGGGUCCUACCCAUUUUGACUUAACUGAGAAAGAAGAUUCUUCUCCACCACUGCGUCUGAGUCAACAACAACCUUCUCAACAGCGUCAACCUUCUCCACCGACUCAACUUGAAGAUCAAGUCAUAGAGGAUACUGAAACUGUAAGAACUCUGACUACGAAGGUUGCUUAUAAGCUCUACUCUAAUCUGAAGAAAGGAGGAACAUCGAUGUUCUUAAUCGAUGAAUUCUUAAAAGAUAGAGGAUUCAAGAAUGAAACCUUGUUUUUGAGGGAUUUGGAAAAAUUGGGAGUUGUAGAGAAAGGAACGGCUGACCAAACGUUUGAGAACAUACCGAGUGACCCGUUCUAUGGCUUUGCACAUCAACCUCAGGACGAUGAUGAACGGUUGUUUGCUCAUUUUCAGCCUAGAUCGGGUGUGGCUACAAACGUUACUGAUGGCUCUAAUUUGUUUAGAUCGAAGGGGCACAAGAAGGUUUAUUUGGAACUUCUAAAGGGAGGGGUUAUGAACCCUAGAACUGUUGAUUUUGACUUUCUUGAUUCGAUAAAGGUCAAUCUUCGCGAGAAGUUUGCCUUUCUACAACCGGAACGUUUUUGUUUUGAAUCCACUACUGCUUUUCCAGAACUCACCGCAUACUUUUAUUCGAACUUAUCUUUCUUGAAUGCAAACAGUUUUAUUUCACUGUGAAGGAAAAAGAGUUUUUGGUGGAUACAAACACACUAGCCAACAUAAUUGGGGUGGAAAGAUCAAGUUUUCAACCAAUUAAUGUAUAUAUUGCACAUGUUAUUCUGUCAUUGGUAAGAGAUAGGAAUGUUGAUGGCAAGAUUUCUUACUCAAGGAUGAGUGCCUCUAACAUUUUGCUGCACAAGAUUGUGAUAAAUUGCAUUCAUCCUAAGUCAACAUCCAAGAUAGAUAUUUCUUGAUCGGAAACUAAGUUGAUGUGUGCCAUUAACUCUAGAUAUAAAUUCCCUUUGCCUCACACCAUAUUGUUUCAUAUGUACCGCACCGUGGAAAAAGAUAAGGGACAACUCCCUUAUUCUGCUCUUAUCUCAAGACUCUUUCGGCACUUUAAAAUUCACAUCUCUGCACCAUUAUGCUUGUCAACCAUUUCUUCUAUGGUAAUUGGUUCAAAAUUGUGACAAAUAUGAGAUUGAAAGAGUUGAACAAAGUGUUGGAGCAUGUGAAGGAAAAGUCUCCCACAAAAGCAAAACAAGACUCUGCUGCUGCGAAGAGGAAAGGCAAGGAGCCCAUGGUUGCUAUUGUGAAGAAGAAGAAAAGAAUCUCAUCUUGCAAGAUGAAGAAGAUGAAGAUGAACUAACCAUAACAGCUUCGAGAAACUUAAGGAGUUUUGUAAGCUUUCGUGAGACAAGAGAAGGGCCAGGAGAAGAGGAAAGAGAGAGAGGAAUCACAGAGGAAGGAAGAAGAGAAGCAGAAGAGGAAGAAGAAGAAGAGGAAAGAAGAGCAGAAGAAGAAGGAAGAGAAGAAGAGGAAGGAAGAAGAGAAGUAGAAGAGGAAGAGGAAGAGGAAGAAAAAGGGAGAGACGAAGAACCAGAUCAGGGUCAAGAGGACUCUUUCGAGCCAACCUUGGCUAUCUCUCUAUCUAGUGCGUUAGCAAAUGAGGAAACUUCACCUACUCCACCUGAGGGCAUCAAAACAGGGGGAGCUGUUGAUCCAAAAGGUAUUUCUUCAUCUUUGCGUGCUAGUGAUGUGAGUCGUUCUACCACAAAUCCUGAGGAUGUGUAUGCCUCACACAAUCCAGAAGUCAGUCAUGAUGGACAAUCUGCUGAAGAUCCAUCGAUUCUCAAAAUCCCCAUCCUUGACUCAGAUGGUCCUAGUGAUGCAUCUGCUCAGACAACAGACUUUUCAAGAUUGAUGGAAAUUCUUUUGGACAUCAGAAAGCAGCAAUAUGCCAUGGGAUUUUAGAUGCAGGAUCUCAAGAAUGUUUUUAAGGCCACUUCAGUAUUGUUGCAUGAACAAUUGAAUGCCCUGAAGCUUCAAGUUCAGUCUUUGCAGGGUGAAGAUUUUCCGUUACUGAAGCAGAGUUUUGACAGGCUUGAAAAGACAGUGCAUUCUAUGGGAAAUUCACGCUUGUUUGCCUGCCCAAACAACCUUGACUUUAACUCCAUUUUCUAUCCAUCUUUUUAGUCUAUUCUCCACUUUUUGCUGUUGACAAAAAUGGGGAGAGGUUUUAUGCAGAUUUGAUUGACUUGACUCUAUCUUUUUGACUUUAUGUUUUGGACUUGAACUUUUGUUUGGUGUGGUUUUGAUUCAGACUGGUUUGGACUGAUGAUGCUUGCAACUUAAGUUUUUAUUGAUUACAUUAAAUAUAGUUGUGUUUACAGGACUAACAUGUUUUUAGUGGUUGCAGAAUUACCUACUAUCUCUAUCGUAAUCUCUAAUUUUCAUCUAUAAGAAAUCUUGGUUUGCUUUAAGUGUUGUCUUGUAGGUCAAAGUAUCCAAAUCUGUGGAAAAGUUUUGUUACCAUAAAAAAAAUGGGGAGAUUAUUGGAGAAAACUUCCUUAUCUGUUUUGAAGUUGACAAAACGUUUUCUUUCAUCAAAGUCUGAAAACCACCAAACUCAAGAUUUAAAGUCUGCCCUCAUUGACAAUUCUAGACCGACGAAGAAAUCUUAUUCAGAUGCAAGUUUAUCUUUAUAAAUUUGAUCCGUUUCGUUAAAGAUUAUCUCAUAGCUGGAGAUAACAUCUAAAGAUCUAUUAUUCGUAUUGCAAAUAAUUUGAGUAAUUCAGAUCCGUUGAAUGGCGAAGUAAAAUUGGAAAAUUCUACUUAUAAAAACCUAGAUCCCGAUUGUAUGGGCGAGUAGGAUUGAUUGGCUAUCUUCAUUUUCCUUAAGUAACUCAAGAUCUCUCUAAUUGAUUAUGUCCAAUGGUUAGAUUAGAAAAAUUCAUUUGAAAAGUGCCAACGGAUAUGAAGGCAUGGAGGAGUAUAUAAGGAGGAUGCUCUAGUUAUUCGAGUAUAUGCGAGAUAGAAAAAUUUCAAAGUUUGAAGCUUUUAGUUCUUUGCUUAUUCAUUUGUUGAGCAAAAACUUGUACUCAAAGGAGGGAUUAGAUAAUUGUGAGACCUUGAGGAAGUGUAGCAAAGUCUAUACAUUGUGGAAUCAAGGACGUGUGAUUGUAACAACUCUUUUGAUUCAUAGUGAAAUCCAGCCGGUGGGCUGUUAUUGCGAGAGAGUGGAUGUAGGCUUGAUCUAAGCCGAACCACUAUAAAUCAUCGUGUUUUCAAUUCUUUUUCCCUUAUCUUUUUAAUUAGUUCAUAGUCUUAUAUAUAUCAUUGUAGAUAUUCUAUAUCUUAAGUCUUUCAUUGUUAUAUAAAUUGAAUUAAGUUGCUAAGUUUUACAAAAUUCAUUUUCACACCUAUUCACCCCUGUAUAGGUGUUUAUACUAGCACUAUCAUAACCGAGUUUCAAAUAAAGCUCCAAGCCCACCGACCAAAUAAUUCUUCACUGGCUAGCUUGCACGCGCGGCUCAACGGGCGAAAGCAUUUUUUUAGGAUCAAAUGAAUUUGUUUUUGAACAUAUGAGAGAGAGAGAGACUUGGAACACCAACGAUGUCCCUGACAGCACGUCCAUCACGCGAGUAGAUGGAGAUGUGCUCCAAGCUUCUUAUUACCCCCAACCAAGGACAAAGGUAUGAUGUUCGAGGAGACCAACACUCGAUUGGCUUAGGUUUUGCUUUGCCUUGCCUUUUUACAAUGUGUUUUAUUUCCUUCUUCAGUUUAGUUUUCAAUUGGCGCUUCUUCAAAUUGGGUCAAAGUAUUGAACCAAACCAUCACUACUUUAGCCACCGAAAUAAGCACUAUUUAUUGCUCUGCUUAUUUACUUUUUGUGUUUUAUUUACUUCUUCAAUUUACUUUUUCAAUUGACACUUCUUCACAAAAGAAAAUAUUUAAAAUCUUUGUCUCAACUAACCGAGUUUCAAAUAAAGCUCAAAGUCCACUAACCAAACAAAUCUUCACUGGCCAGCUUACAAUGCAACUCAUGGGUAGAAGUAUUUUCAUAGGAUCAAAUGAAUUUGUUUUUGAACAUAUCAAAGAGAGAGAGAGAGAGAGAUUUGGAACACCGACGAUGUCCCCGAUGGCAUGUCUCGGAGCACCGACGAUGUCCCUGAUGGCACAUCCAUCACGCCAAUAGAUGGAGAUGUUGUUGGAGAAAUCUUCUUGAAGUGUUUUGAAGUUGACAAAUCGUUUCUAUCAGUCUAGUCUGAAGGCUUGCAGACUUUGCUAUUUAAAGUCUGAAGACCUCCGGACAGCCAGACUCAAGACUCAAAGUCUAUCCUCAUUGACAGUCUCUAAUCCGUUGGAGUAAGGUUAUCCAGAACUGGAUGUUUCGUUAAGGAUUUAACCUUAUCAACUGGAGAAGAUCUUGUGGCUGGAGAAGACAUAACGGAGUCCUUUGAUUGAUCGAAGAUUGACUUGAUAAUUGAAGAUCCGGUGAUUGCCUAAUUAUUAUUGAAAGGUUCUGCUUAUGGAAACCGAGAUCCUGAUUGUAUGGGCGAACAUGAUUGAUGGGCUAUCAACACGUUCCUUUGAUAGCUUAAACAAUCUUCCUAAUUGAUUCCGUCCAACGGGUAGAUUGGAGGAACUCCUUUGGUAAGUGCCAACGGGUAUGAUGGCAUAAAGGAGUAUAUAAGGAAGACUGUCUUAGUUGUUCAAGGUGUGCGCGAUAGAAGAAUUCCAAAGUCUGAAGCUCCUUUUUGUUUAGACAAAUCCUUUGAGCGAAUACUUGUAUACAAAAGAGAGUCUAUAUUUGUGAGAAACCUUGAGGAGGUGUGGUAGAACAUCUACACUGUGGAAUCAAGGCAAAGCUGUGCUGUAACUUCUCUUUUGAUCAUAGUGAAAUCCAGCCGGUGGGCUGUCAGUGCGGAAGAGUGGACGUAAGCUUGGAAUAAGCCGAAUCACUAAAAAUCCUGUGUUCAAUUUUCUCUUCCUCACUCUCUCUACCUCGAUCGUAUUUCAUUUUGUUAAUUAAGAGAGAUUUCCUUUCUAUCAUAUGCUAAGAAUCGCUUCCAUAUAUCGAUAAAUUGUUUGUGCACCUAUUCACCCCCCUCUAGGUACUCAUACUAGCAAUAUCAAUUGGUAUCAGAGCCUGUGUACUUACUUUAUUUGAAGUGUUUUACUUCGUAGUAAAAGAUCCAUGGCUAGUAUGCUAGCACCAGGGCUGAUGGAAGGGCAAAGCAAUACCAGACCACCCUACUUUGAUGGAAAGGAUUACAACAUCUGGAAGAACAAGAUGAAAGCUUUCCUACGAUCAAAGGAUCCUCUGGAAUGGGACGUUGUAGAAAAAAGAAUUACUCCUACCACUGAUCAGUCUCUGAAAGAGGAAAAGAAACUGAUGAAACCAGCGGAAUGUCUCAGGAAGAAAUAAUCAAGAGACAAGCACUCGAUGCAAAAGCAAUUUACUCCUUAUAUUGUGCUUUAUUACCAACUGAAUAUAAUAGAAUAUCUUCUUGUGGUACAGCAAAAGAAGUUUGGGACAUAUUGCAUAUCACCUAUGAAGGAACAGAUCGAGUGAAGGAAACAAGAAUCAACAUUCUUCUCGGUCAAUACGAAGCCUUCAGAAUGAAACCAGGAGAAUCAAUAUCUGACAUGUUUAGUCGUUUUACAGAUAUUGUGAAUGGUCUUGAAAAUCAAAGUCAACCAACUUCUGAUCCCAUGAAGGUAAACAAGCUACUGCGUGGACUCUCCAAGGAUUGGAAUCACAUAAAGACUUCGAUAAGAGAGACGCAGAGAAUUAUGCCACUAUCUGUCGACGAGCUAAUUGGAACUCUUUAGUUUUAUGAAGUGGAACGGAUCAAUGAAGAUGAAGAUCCAAAAGGUAAGAAAUCCAUUGCAUUAAAAUCUAAUGAUAAUUCUGAUGAUACAGAUUCUGAAGAAAAUAUGGACGAUGAGGAGCUUGCUCUCAUGAUAAGAAGAUUCAGAAAACUGAAUAGAAAAGGAAGAAGGUUCAACUCAAAGAAACAAAGCUUUCAAAGACAGCAGACCAAGUCUGUUGAUGAUGAGGAACCAAACAAAGACAUAGUCUGCUUUGAAUGUAAGAAAAAGGGACACAUCAGACCCAACUGUCCUCUUCUGAAGAAGAAGAAAGGAAAAGCUGAAAAAUUUCGAAAAGCUCUUAAAGCCGAAACCUGGAGUGACACAGAGUGUGAAGAAAGUGAUAAUGAAUAUGCCAAUCUAUGUCUGAUGGCACAAUCAGACUCAGACUCUGGAUCAGACUCAAACAGUGAAUUUGAGGCAAGUAAUUUUAAAAUUCCUGUCAAAGUUUCUAAAUACAUUGAUGAACUGUGUUUUAGUCUUAAGACUUCUCUCAAAAGAAUUUCCGAACUGAAAAAGGAAAACUCAGCUCUAAAGCAAAAGGAAAAUGUUUUAGUAGAAAGAGUUAAAAGUCUAGACUUGACUGUUUCCACUCUUUAAAAAAAUGAAGAUAAUCUUUUAAAAGAAAAUACUUUUUUAAAAACAGACUUAUCAAAUAUUUCAAAGAAAUUUUCAAUAGGGUCUGAAAAACUUGAGAAAAUUCUUUCAGCUCAAAGACCUUACUUCAAUAAGUCCGGUCUAGGUAUGACAGCAGAAACAAUUCCCUUGAUUGAUUUUCCUAAAGUAAAAGAAAGAAUUAAGAAAAGACUCUCGAGAGAGGCUUACAAAAAUCACUUCAAAAAGGUUUUUGUAAAAUCUGUAGGUAGAAAUGCUCUCAGAUGUUCAAAAUGCAACAGUCCGGAUCACUUUGAAAAAGAGUGUCCUAUGGUUUGGAAACCUGUUAAGAAAAUAUGGGCUAAUACUGCUUAUGUUACUAACACCAAAGGACCCAAGAAAGUUUGGGUACCAAAGAAAGCUUGAGACUCUUUUUUAAAUGCAGGUCACCGUAAAGAAAAAUGUAAAGUGGUAUCUUGACAGUGGAUGCUCAAGACACAUGACAGGAGACUCAAAUUGUUUUAUAAAGCUUGCUCAAGUAAAUGGUGGAAAAGUUUCAUUUGGAGGAAACAGCAAAGGAAGUAUUGUGGGAUUUGGAACUGUGAAAAUUGGAAAUCUCACAAUAAGUAAUGUUUCCUUGGUGGAGGGACUCAAUUACAAUCUUCUCAGCAUUAGUCAACUGUGUGAUACUGGUUUCAAGAUCUUCUUUCAAGAAGGAAUAUGUUCUGGAAUCAGUAAAGACUCUACUCAGUCUUUCAUGGGUCGAAGACAUGGAAACAUCUAUCUUCUGGAUGUGAAACCAAAUGAAUCGCAAUGUUUUAUCUCAAUUCAAGAUGAAGCAAGCUUAUGGCACAGAAAGCUUGGUCAUGUCAACAUGAAGCAAUUAGCCAAAAUCUCAUCAAAACAGCUUGUUCGAGGAUUACCCAGAUUACCUUAUCAAAAGACUGAUCCAUGUACUCCAUGUAUUCUGGGAAAACAGGUAAGAAAUUCAUUUAAGCCAAUAAAUAAUGUCUCUACUAAUCAUGUACUACAGUUGCUGCAUAUGGAUCUCUUCGGACCAACCAGAACACAGAGUAUUGGAGGUAAGAAAUAUUGCCUAGUAAUUGUGGUCGAUUACUCCCGUUUUACUUGGGUAUAUUUCCUUGCAAGUAAGUCCGAAACCUUCUCGUAUUUUGAAAAGUUUGCUAAAAAGGUUCAAAAUGAAAAAGGAUGUGUUAUCUCAUGUAUAAGAACAGAUCAUGGAGGUGAAUUUGAAAAUCAAGAUUUUACAAAAUUUUGUGAUGAAUCUGGCUUUAAUCAUGUGUUUUCUUCUCCAUAUACUCCUCAGCAAAAUGGAGUUGUGGAAAGAAAGAACAGAUCUCUUCAGGAAAUGGCUAGAACUCUUUUAAUUGAAAGCAAGAUUUCUUCACGAUUUUGGGCUGAAGCUGUUUCAAUAGCUUGUUAUAUCAUUAAUAGAGUCUUCUUAAGACCUAUUCUAGAGAAAACUCCUUAUGAAUUGUUCAAAGAUAAGAAGCCUAUUGUUUCAUACUUUCAUGUAUUUGGUUGCAAAUGUUUUAUAUUGAAAAAUGUAAAAGAUCGAGUUGGUAAGUUUGAAGAAAGAUCAGAUGAAGGUAUCUUCCUUGGAUAUUCUACAUCAAGCAAAGCCUUCAGAGUCUAUAACAAGAAGAGCCAGUAUGUGGAGGAGUCAAUGAAUGUCAAAUUUCAAGACUCAACACAAGAUGAAUCAAGUCAGACUCAUCAAGAAGAGUCUGAACCUGCUCCAGACCUUCCAAAGCUUACAACUCAAGAAGCAUCUCAGACUCUGGAAAACCAGCAUCAGGAUGUUCGUGAAGAUCCAAACAAAGAAAGAGAUCAUCAACCAGACAAAUCAACAAGUAACUGGAAGCAUAAGUCCAGUCAUCCCAAAGAUCUUAUAAUCGGCGAAAUUAAUGAAGGAAUUCGCACCAGAUCCUAAAGGCGAGAAGAGUCUAGUGCUGUGGCUCUUGUUUCUGAAAUUGAACCAAAAAGCAUAGAAGAAGCUUUAUCUGAUGAAAGCUGGAUUGAAGCUAUGCAAGAAGAGCUCAGACAGUUCAGCAUUAAUGAUGUUUGGGAAUUGACAUCCAAACCAAAAGGUAAAACUGUUAUUGGAGCUAAAUGGGUGUUCAGAAACAAGAUGAAUGAGAAAGGAAAAAUCGUACGAAACAAAGCAAGACUCGUGGCCAAGGGAUAUACGCAAGAAGAAGGAAUAGACUAUGAUGAGACUUACGCUCUAGUAGCAAGGUUAGAAGCUAUUCGACUAUUACUUGCGUUUGCUUGUUAUAAGAAUUUCAGGUUAUUCCAAAUGGACGUCAAAAGCGCCUUCCUAAAUGGAUUUAUCCAUGAGGAAGUUUAUGUGGAACAACCACCAAGGUUUGAAGACCCAAAGAAGCCAAACUCAGUCUUCAGACUGAAAAAGGCUUUGUAUGGUUUAAAGCAAGCACCUCGAGCUUGGUACGACAAAUUAAGUAAGUUUUUAAUACAAAAUGGUUUUGUCAAAGGUAAAGUAGAUACGACUUUAUUUAUCAAAAAUGAGAUCAAAAGUUUCUUACUUGUUCAAAUAUAUGUGGAUGACAUAAUUUUCAGAUCUUCUAAUGAAAAUAUGUGCAAGAAAUUUUCUAAGUCUAUGCAGGAUGAAUUUGAAAUGAGUAUGAUGGGAGAGUUAACAUUCUUUCUUGGUCUUCAAAUAAAACAAUUGAAGGAAGGAACUUUUAUUUAUCAAGAAAAAUAUGUUAAUGAUCUUGUCAAAAGAUUUGGACUGGAAAAGUGCAAAAAGACUGACAUACCGAUGUCAAGUUCUUUGAAGAUAGACAAAGAUGAAGAAGGGAAGAAAGUUGAUCAAAAGCUGUACAGGAGCAUCAUUGGUUCACUUCUUUAUCUUACCGCUUCUAGACCUGACAUUUUGUUGAGUGUUUGCAUCUGUGCUAGGUUUCAAUCAGAUCCUAGAGAAUCCCAUCUCAGUGCUGCGAAACGCAUCAUUAAAUACGUGGCUUCAUCAUCAAGCAUCGGUCUUUGGUAUCCUAAGAAGGGAGACUUUAAUCUUCUGGGAUAUUCAGACGCAGAUCUGGCCGGUUGCAGAGUUGAUAGAAAAAGCACUUCGGGAACCUGCCAGUUGCUUGGAAGUAGGACAGUGUCUUGGUUUUCAAGGAAACAAAGCACUGUGUCCCUUUCAACAACAGAAGCAGAGUAUGUAGCCCUGGGAAGCUGCUGUUCGCAAAUUCUAUGGAUAAAACAACAGCUAAGAGACUUUGAAAUUGAAGACUCAUGCACGGAGAUUAAUUGCGACAAUACCAGCGCUAUCAACCUCACCAAAAAUCCAAUUCUCCACUCAAGAGCAAAGCAUAUAGAGAUUCGACAUCACUUUAUUAGAGACCAUGUUCAAAAUGGAGAUGUUUCAAUUCAAUUUGUUGACUCAAAGAAUCAACUGGCGGAUAUAUUCACAAAGCCUUUGGAGAAAAAUCAAUUUGAGUCUAUUCGUUCCAGACUCAACAUUUUAAGGUAUGAGGAUAUCAAAGUCUAAAGACUUUCAGACUCAGACUUACAAGACUUUAUCUGAAAGACAGUCUUGGUACGUCCGUUAGACUGUAAGUCUUUCUCCCUUGAAUCUCAUAUUGAAAAGGUACGAUCGUCAGACUAUGUUUAAAUUGUUGCUAUAUUUAAAUUGACGAAAAUAUUGCAUCGUUUCAUUUUCGAAAAGGAAGUCAUUUUUUAAAUGGCUAUUUUUGCGGAAAAAGACAGUUAUUUUGAAAAGGCAUAUUUUUAUUUCCUUUGUGACGGUUCGUUUAUCCCUCUUUUUAACCGAUUGUGCACUGUCGAUUCCUCUUCACUUUUCUCUCAAAAACCCUAGAAAGCAUCGAUCCUCCAUUCCCGUUUGUCUUCUUCGUUCAAUCCUCAAAAAGUUGUCAUCUUUCCUGGGAAAGUCAAGCAAGGAAUCUUCCAAAAAACUGAGAAAGAUGUCAUCUUCAAGAAAGUCCUCAAGAAUUGCAAGCAGGGGACCACGGCGGAUGAGUGAAGGGCCUACGCACUUCGAUCUUACUGAAGAUGAAGUGACUCCAGAACAGCAAGCGAGCCCACAACAUUCUCAACAGCGUCAUUCUCCUCCAUCUAGUCCUCAAGGCGUUGAUCAUCAACAACAGGAAGAAAUCAUCGAGGAUGCAGACCCUGUAAGAGUUCAAAAGCCCGCUUAUAUUUACCAGUUAUAUCGUGCCCUAAAAGGAAUUCGUACUCCUUUGAAAUACAUUGAUGAUUUUCUUAAAGACAAAGGACAUGGGAACGAAUAUAUCUUUCUGAAAAAAAAUGGAAAGUUUGGGAAUUGCUCGAAAAGGGGUGGCUGAGGAAACACUUGCAAAUAUCCCAAGUGAUCCUCGUGACUGGGGGCCGAAUCCUGUAGAUGGGAAUGAUGAUGAUAAAUUAUAUAGUCAAUUUCAACCGAAAAUGGGUGUUGCGGUUGAAAAUCAAGGAAAAAAGGGGAGAUUUGUUCAGAUCAAAGGAGCAAAAGGAUCUGUACUUGAAAUUGCUGAAGCGUGGGCUAAUAAAUCCUAGGAGUGUGGAUUUUGAUUUUCUGGAUGCAGUGAAUGUGAACUUGAGGGAAAAGUUCAGUUAUCUUCAACUUGAAAAGUUCUGCUCUGACUCUACAUAGGCAUAUGCUGAAUUAACUGCAUAUUUCUAUUCAAAUCUAAGCUUUUUAGAUGCGAAUAGAUUCUUUUUCAGCGUUAAAGACCAAGACUAUGUUGUGGAUAUGAAUAUGCUGGCAGAUGUGUUAGAAGUCGAAAGAGGAAGAUAUCAAACAAUCAAAGUUUCCAUUGCUCGGGCCACACUUGAACUAGUGAAGGACAGGAGAACAGAUGAAAAGAUCACCUACUUAAGGAUGGGUGCAUUCAACAUCUUGCUUCACAAUAUUAUGAUUAAUUGCCUCCGACCGAAAUCAACCUCCAAGACUGAUGUUUCAAGUUCAGAGGCCAAGCUGAUGUAUGCCAUUCUCUUUGGAAAAAGGUUUUCUCUCCCUCACACUGUGAUGUUUCACAUGUAUAGAGCAAUGAUGAAGGACAGAGGUCAACUCUCUUACCCAAGCCUUGUUACGAAGUUAUUCAGACAUCUAAAUAUUCAGCCUCCACAAAUCUUUUGUGUUCGACCAUGUGAUCAUAUGGUGGUAGGACUGAAAAUGGUGACCAAAAUGCGUCUGAAGGAACUGAGCAAGGAGUUGGAGAAAUUCAAGGAGAAGACUCCUGCAAAAUCUCAUCAAAUAUCUUCUGCAGCUAAAAGAAAAGGGAAGGAGCCCAUGGUUGCUCCAUCCAAGAGAAGAAGAGCUCUCCUCGUUGAGGAUGAAGAUGAUGAGGAAGACAUCACCAUCUCUGCAUUGGCUUUGAAGAAUUUAAGUCGUCUUGUUCCACAGCAAGAAUCGGAACAAAUGACAAAAGAAACAGAGGAGGAAAGACCAGAAGAAGAAAGAAGAGAAGAAGGAGAACCUGAAGAACACUCUUCUCCACCUGUAGGCAUGGAAACAGGGGGAGAUUAGGAGAAAGGAGUGAAGUCUUCAUGUCCAGAUGCAAGUGAAGGAGUCAGUCGCUCACCAGCAGACCCAGAGGAUGUUUAUGCAUCUCAGUUUCCAGAAGAAGGUCAUGAAGUUUCAUCGCCAAACCUGCAAGAUUAUGCUGAUCUACCAUCAUCUGCAUUUACUCCAUCAGAUCGAGCCGAAGCAAGUACUCAGACUGAUAAUGGAGCAGAUUUUCGCAGAAUCAUGGAUAUUCUUUUGGAGAUGUGAGGUCAGAUUUAUGCCUUGGGAUGCGAAGUUCAAAGCUUGAAAAAUGAAGGUCAAGCUUCUUCCUGUUCAUUGAAUGAUAAGAUGCAAGCCCUCUUUGUUCAGAAUCAGGCCAAUGCCAAGAGUGAGGAGAUUGCACAAUUAAAGGAAGACUUUAAAAGGCUGAAAGGUAUCGUUCAGUCUAUGGAAGAUUUCCAGCUUAUCCGCGUUCCCAAGCAAUCUUGACUUCAUCUCAUCCUUUUUAAUGAUGACAAAAAGGGGGAGAGAUGCAAGAUUUGAUCAAAAACUAAACUUUUUAUUCAUUAAACUUUUAAUUGUUUGUUGGAUUGUUUUGUGGUUUGAACCUGUUUGGUUUUGUGGUUUGAACCUGUUUGACUUUAGUUUGUGUCUGGAUGAGAAUUGAACUAGACUUGGACUUGACUGCUUCUAUUAACCAAUAUUGAUAUCUUAUGAAUGGCUUCAUCAUAUACUGGACUAACCUAUUUUCUGUGGUUGCAGAUUCUAGUGUUAUUCUAUUAGCCAUUUAUCUCUAUAAGAUACGCAUAUGUGUUUGAGAAAUGUUUUGCAGGUCAAAGAUAUCCAAAUCUGCAGGAAAGUUUUGUCACCAUCAAAAAGGGGGAGAUUGUUGGAGAAAUCUUCUUGAAGUGUUUUGAAGUUGACAAAUCGUUUCUAUCAGUCUAGUCUGAAGGCUUGCAGACUUUGCUAUUUAAAGUCUGAAGACCUCCGGACAGCCAGACUCAAGACUCAAAGUCUAUCCUCAUUGACAGUCUCUAAUCCGUUGGAUAACUGGAUGUUUCGUUAAGGAUUUAACCUUAUCAACUGGAGAAGAUCUGGUGGUUGGAGAAGACAUAACGGAGUCCUUUGAUUGAUCGAAGAUUGACUCGAUAAUUGAAGAUCCGGUGAUUGCCUAAUUAUUAUUGGAAGGUUCUGCUUAUGGAAACCGAGAUCCUGAUUGUAUGGGCGAACAUGAUUGAUGGGCUAUCAACACGUUCCUUUGAUAGCUUAAACAAUCUUCCUAAUUGAUUCCGUCCAACGGGUAGAUUGGAGGAACUCCUUUGGUAAGUGCCAACGGGUAUGAUGGCAUAAAUGAGUAUAUAAGGAAGACUGUCUUAGUUGUUCAAGGUGUGCGCGAUAGAAGAAUUCCAAAGUCUGAAGCUCCUUUUUGUUUAGACAAAUCCUUUGAGCGAAUACUUGUAUACAAAAGAGAGUCUAUAUUUGUGAGAAACCUUGAGGAGGUGUGGUAGAAUAUCUACACUGUGGAAUCAAGGCAAAGCUGUGCUGUAACUUCUCUUUUGAUCAUAGUGAAAUCCAGCUGGUGGGCUGUCAGUGGGGAAGAGUGGACGUAAGCUUGGAAUAAGCCGAAUUACUAUAAAUCCUGUGUUCAAUUUUCUCUUCCUCACUCUCUCUACCUCGAUCGUAUUUCAUUUUGUUAAUUAAGAGAGAAUUUCCUUUCUAUCAUAUGCUAAGAAUCGCUUCCGUAUAUCGAUAAAUUGUUUGUGCACCUAUUCACCCCCCUCUAGGUACUCAUACUAGCAAUAUCAGAUGUGCCCCAAGCUUCUUAUCAUCCCUAACCAAGGACGAAGGAGACAUGACGUUUGAGGAGACCAACACUUGAUUGGCUUAAGUUUCGCUUUGCCUUGCCUCUUUACUAUGUGUUUUAUUUCCUUCUUCAAUUUACUUUUCAAUCGAUGUUUUUUCAAAUUGGGUCAAAGGAUCGAACUAAACUAUCACUACUUCCACUGGAAUAAAUACUAUUUAUUGCUUUGCCUAUUUAUUUUUUGUAUUUUAUUUACUUCUUCAAUUUGCUUUUUCAAUCGACGCUUCUUCACAAAAGAAAAUAUUUCAAAUUUUUGUCUUGGCUAAUUGAGUUUCAAAUAAAGCUCUGAGCCCACUGACCAGACAAUUCUUGACCAGCCAGCUUGUACGCAUGGCCCAUGGGUGGAGACAUUUUUAUAAGGAUCAAAUGAAUUUGUUUUUAGCAUAUGAGAGAGAGAGAUAGAGAGAGAGAGUUGGAACACUGGCAAUGUCCAUCAGGCCAAUAAACGGAGAUGUGCUCCUAGUUUCUUAUCACCUCCGAUCGAGGAUAGGGGUGAGCGGUUCCAGGUUCCGGUUUGGUUCCGCCUGGAACCUGGAACCUGGAACCUACCCAUCACAGGUUCCAGGAUCGGUUCCAGGUUCCAACAGGUUUUUUUUUUUUUUUUUUCAUUUUUAGUUUUAAAAAACGAAAAUAAACACAACAAUAAUAAACAAUCUUAUACCUCUUAAUCCUCACUUUUUUUUGAGCUUAUCCUUCAAAUCAUGAUUAACACAAAAAAAUAGUUUGAACUCAACAUAACGGGGUCCAACACCUUGACAAUCCUUCAAGGAGCAGUACUCCAAAACUGUAGAUGUCUAAUUUUUGUGUGGGUUCCGAAGUUUUCAUGACUUCGAGAACCCGAUAACCUGCACUUCUAGUUCUAGGAGGCACUGUAGGAGUGCGGAUCAGAGGAGUCAGGCCAAACUCUAAGAUGCAACCUUCAAGAUAUGUUGCCAUGGAUAAACCUCCCGCCUCUGGCUGAAUGGAUAUGAGCAAUGCCUUUAGCCACUCCUAGAGAAAUCUUCACCCGCAAUGCCCAGUCCAAUGGUUGUCUCCCACCUUAUGCAAAUCAUUAUCAGAAGGUAACCGUCAACAAUGCAGCGAAUAUGAGACAACCUACACUUCUUUCGACAAACCUUCCCCAUGUAUCCCACCUCACAUUGUCGUGGUCGGGAUAAUCAUCCGCAUAUGACAAGUCUCCAACAUACAUAGUCUGUCCUUUCUGCGGAUUAUGCUCAUAAUGGGCGAGUGUUCGGUUUGAAUCAAAAGUCUGACCAAGAUCCCCUGCAAUGGUCAUCGGCAUGCUGAGCACAGAAAGAAGUAGAACCAUGGAUGCAUGUAAAUUACCGGCAUAACUAAAUUUGUUGCGACUUAUUGAUGAAAAUGAUUAUCAAAACUAAAUGAUUCUGCAAAGACUCAUUGUACAUACACAGGAAUGAGCUUUUGAAGCUACUUCGAGUCAUUGACUAUCUAUGCAUGACAAUAUGAUUUACUUUUCCUAUGAGACCGAAAGUAUAUGGAACAUCAGGACCAACCUCUGGAGGAGUAAUGAACUAGAACUGUUGGACCGUGUGUCCAAUUCCAACUUCAUAAUAGUAUUUAGUGUGUACUGCAAGUAAACGGAAUAAACAUCAGCUACAUUUACCAAAUUUUGCAGACCAGGCACCAACAAAUUAAUAUUUCUGGAGGAAUUUAGAAAUUUACCAUCAAGUUUUUCAGGGUGCAAUGGUGGAUGUAACCAGAAGUAUAAUUGUAGAACUUAUAAUGAUUAACUUUGCCCUUUGCCUUUUUCUUGUGCUUGCUGUUUUCACUCCAGUAACGCAGUGCACUGGACCCAGGUUCAUCCGGAGUCACCCAUGACACAAUCACUCCUUUUCCCACAUGAUCUCCUUGGGUAAUAUGUACCUAAAGACUCGCGCCAAAAUCAAAACCAAAUCAAAAAGCACAACGGAAGUGCUGGUCUUCCCUCCAUUGCACAAAUCAGCCCCAUUCAAAACCAGAACAAGAACAGCCCCAACAAUAGCCACUGAACAGCAAGAUGAAGAUCCCAGAACAGCUAUCUUGGUCUUAUUUUAGGAUAUGGAAGAACCUACGUGACACAACCCCACAAAUUCCCUUCCCUCACUAUGUAUGUACUUGGAUCAGGGCACACAAGCAUGACACUCACAUCUCAAAAAUCGACCAAAUAAAGCAGCUAAAAUGUUAGAUUAGAUCUAACAGUUAAGAGAAGAAACAACAAGAGUUUAGACCCGCGAUUGAAGUUGCAGGAGGCGAGUUUCUUCGGUGUUGAGGGCGGCGAGCGGUAUCAAGGGACGUCAGGCGGUGUUGAGGGGGUCGAGCGGGCGUUGAGGGGGCCGUGCGACAUUGAGGGGCCGAGCGGCGUCGAGGGGGCGUCGAGGGGCCGAGCGAGCGUCAAGGGCGUCGAGGGGGUCGAGGGGGUCGAGCAGCGUUGAGGGGCCGAGAGGCGUUGAGGGGUGGCGCGGACGGCGCAACAGCUCGUCGGGCUCAACGGCUCGUCGGACGAGCGGUGGGUGGUGGUGGUUCGGUGGCGAAGAGGUGGUGGUGAGUAGGGAGUGGGGUGGCGGUGCGGUGGUAGGUGAAGCAGCAGUAGCAAGAGGAAGGAAGAAGAAGAAGAAGAGGAGAAGAAGGGGGGGUUCGGCCGAGAGGGGGAAAGAGGAGAGAGAAAGAAAAGAAAAAAGUUGGGGGGAGGAAGUGACGUGAGGAGGAAAAUGUGGAGAAAAGAAAUAGAGAAAAAGAGAGGAGAAGGGAGGGAAAUCCGUUGGGGGAAGUGAGGGGCUAGGUUUUUUUUUUCUUUUAAUUUUGAUCGGUUCCUAGAAAAAGGGAACCGGCAACCGGAACCGGUCUCUUUAGAACCGGGAACCGACCCUCCGGUUCGGUUCUCCGAUUUCCGGUUCUACCCGGAAACCGUGCUCACCCCUAAUCGAGGACGGAGAAGGCACGACAUACGAUGAGACCGACACUUAGGUUUUGCUUUGCCUAUUUUACUUAUAGUGUUUUAUUUACUUAUUCAAUUACUUUUUUAAUUCACACUACUCACGUAAGGUCAAACGAAAAUUUUUUGAACCAAAGCUUUAGCCAUUGGAAUAAGCACGCCCAUGCAAAUCGACCAUUUGAUUGGCCGUUGAGCUCAGGAACUCAAAUGAGAUUAACUAGUAAGCUUUAAAUUUCUUAUUUAAAACAAAAUUCACUCGAAAUCCUCUUUCGAGGAAAAAAAAAGAAAAUCCCUUUUUUUUUCUGUUUUAAUUUGGAAUAUUCAUUAAAACGAGAUGAGAAAACCAAAACGGCACGGAACCAUCCCUCCCUCCAGCCAAAUCCGGGGGGGCGCUCCGCUCCCCCCUCCCCAUGGCGGCCCCCGACGAGCCCCCGCCGCCGCCCGACUGGCUGGAGCUCCCGCGGGAUAUCGCGACGACGAUCUUGCUGAAGCUCGGCGCCGUCGAGAUCCUCACGACAGCGGAGUUGGUGUGCACCGACUGGCGCGCCCUCUGCCUGGACUCCACCAUGUGGCAGACCAUCGACAUGCGCAACGACGGGGACCUGCCGGACGACGACCUCGCCGACAUGUGCUGCCGCGCCGUCGACCGGAGCGACGGCGGCUGCCUCGACCUCAACAUCGAGUACUUCGGCGACGACGAGCUCCUCCAGUACGCCGCCGACUGGUAACUCGCCGAUUCCCGCUUGAAUGAAUUUCGCGCGGUUUUGUUCCUCGGUCUGGUUUUGGUGGGCCUCGGAAUGAUCGCUGAUGGGCGAGCGCGACGCGUGGUCCGGUUCUUUUGUGCGUACGCCGUUGUUGGAGAGAAUUGAGAUGAUGGUUAGUCGCCGAAGAUGAGCUUGUUUCGGCAAUUGGCUGAUCGGUCGUUGCGAUUGUGUAGACCUAGAUUGCGGCGGUAGCAAGUGCGUGUGUAUACCGUUGAUUUCUCUGGGCUGAAGUUGUGCAGGAAUCGCGAAAUUGUGUAGGAAUGAAUCGUAUUGAGCACGAGUUUACUUCUCUUAUUCACCAUGGCCUCAUCACGAGGCGGAGGUAUAAAUGUGAGGCGUCGAGUAGUCCUCAGGAAGUGAACAUUCUGCACACUUGAAAAGUCCCUUUUUCCCCCUUGUCCUCAAGAAUUGGAAAUGAAAAAAAAGAGAAGAUGGACACACCAGAUGAUGAGAACAGAUUGUAUUUGGAAAACUUUGAUCAGCUACAUGUUCUGGAAACUAACUGAUGAAAAUAUCAUGCGUGGAAAUUGAGUUCUGAUCCUGAAAUAGCUCCCGAGAAUGAGGGUAGAGAUUUUUUACGUGAAAGGAUGCCACCUUUGUUACUUUCUCUCUCCUUAGGAGUUCUCAAAUGGCUUCUUUACUCUGUCUCUAUGUUCCGUAUGUUCAGCCUCAGUAUCUUUCAUUUUUAGCUGUCAUUUGAACAUUAGGAUGAGGCAAAAGUUCAACCCAAUUGAAACCAUGAAGGAGCAUUGAACUGAGGUUGUGAAAAGACUGAUACAAUGCCGUCUGUUGAGUAUCGGGCAUUACUAAAUGAAAUGAGGAACAUGAACUGUGACAGAGCUUCCAUAAGUGCUUGAUAUGGCAGAAGCACUUCUAUUUUACUUCACUCUAGGAUCUUCUUUCCCCUAUGUGCUUUUUUUCCUUUUGAUCAGUUUAUGCGACGCAUUUACUCUCCUGUUUGCUAAUAGUUAUGGGGAGAUAGGUGCUAUAGAAGGUAUAUAACUCAACAAAAUAGGGUAUAGCCAUGUAGCUCCAUCACCUUCUCAGCCUUGGACAAUUGUAGCUUUAUCCCAUGCUUGCCAAAACACUUGAGUAUGCCUCAGGUUCCAGUGAUAUCAAUCUUAAACUGUUUUUUCCCCUUAUUUUGUUCAGCAAAGAAAAUAUUCUAGUUUAAUUCACCGCUGGAUUUGUCUUCUAUUUCCUGGUCGAGACUCCGCGCUCAGUCUUCAUCAUUGCGUUUUCAUUGAACUUGCAGAGACAGGUUAGGUACAUUUGAUGGCAUUUUUGCAGGUCUUGGAUAGGUACAUAAUUGUCUUGAUCUGACCAGUGGAUGGCACUGUCAGUGUUUUGAUUCCACAGUAUACAACUGAAGUUACUGCUUGAGUUAUGGCAUGGAAGUUUUACGUUUUGGAGUCUUUUCGGUUCUUAAAAUGAGUUUCAGAGUCUAAUAGUGUUAUGUUUGCUUUUGUUGAUAAAAUUCCUAUGAUGAAGGGUUUUAUGAGGAGACUUUGUUAAUGGGUGCCUCUGGUAUAGUUGUUAACCACACAUAAUAAGGAAAUGUAAUUACUCUAAUUAUAUAUAACAUGAGAAAUAUGGUGCAUAAAAAUCGACAAACUCUUUUUAUCGAGGUGUUAAAAAAGUUCCCAUGGACACAUAUUGAAAAAAAAAAUGAUCAGAUUAGCUCUCUUUAUUGACUUAAGUUUCUCUCUUUCAUGGUGUUUUUCUUCCUUUUACUGAGCAUGAAGUCCAGAACAGAGCUUUUGGAUUGUGUUUGAUUGUUGACUGCUGGAUAUAUUAUGUUUAUUAUGGAACUUUUAUUAUAGUUUGAGGCUGGAAUAGAACAUAAUUUCCAUUGAUUUGAUUAGGUUUUGAAUUUGAUCUUACUUUUCUUGACGUCUUGAUUCAUUAACUUUAUAUUUGUUUUCCUUCUACACAUAUUUUGUGUAAUCUGCGUCUUAUUAUUAUUUCGGAUAAAUAUGGCAGUCUUGCUUAUUAAAAGGCUAUUCUGAUAGGUCAAAAGUGGACCAAGCAUCGCAUCUCUCAAUUGCAUAGAUCUCUGUUUAGUUUACAUUCUUGUGAUGCCAUGGGUAUGCAAAGGCGGACUUCAUUAACAAAUGUGGCAUAGUUGACCUUUUUUAACAUGACUUGAAAGAAUUCCAAUCAAGGCCGCAACAGUAGAGAAUUCUUGAUCUAGGGUUCUGGCUGAUUUUAUCAUAUUUCCGUAUUUAUUGACAUGUCUCAUUAACGAGUGCCCGUAGGGCAUUUAUUAAACAUACUGCAUGAGGAAAGUUCCAUUGUCCGCAACACUAGUUACACACUUCACUAGAACAAUUGUGGAUUAUAACUUGUGGUGUUCCUUAAUUAGCCACUAAGAAGUGCCCAAGGGAUACUGAUUAACAAAUUAAUGUUGUUGAAAUACAAUUACUUUUUGGCCGAUGAAAAUAAUCUCUCUACACACCCCUUGCUCUAGAUCAAUAAGCUCUCAGUUCCUUAUCUUAGUGGUUAACAUUAUUAUUGCUAGCUACAACAAGUCUGCUUUUCGGUUGAACCAUCGUUGUUCUCAUGCAUUUCUUAUUCCAUUGCAGGUGCAAUCAUAUUAGACGGCUACGACUUGUAGAUUGCGGUAACAUUUCGGAUGAGGGUCUGUGUGAAGCAGCCUCAAAACUUCCUAUGCUGAAGGUCCUUGAAUUAUCUUAUUGCUCAUUCUCAAAGGAAGCCAUAGAGACUGUUGGACAAUGUUGUCCCCUUCUGAAAUCCUUCAAAUUGAAUAGCCGGGUAUAUAGAUGUCCACACAUAGAAUGUGAUGACGAGGCACAAGCUAUAGCGAAAAACAUGCAUGGAUUACACCACCUCCAACUCUUCGGGAAUAAGAUGACAAAUGAAGGUCUGAAGGCGAUUCUCGACAGUUGUCCUCAUCUUGAGUAUCUCGACUUGCGCCAGUGCUUCAAUGUUUAUAUGGGGGGUGAUUUGGGGAGAAGAUGCACCGAACAGAUCAAAGAUUUAAGGAAUCCAUAUGACCCCACAGAUGACUAUGAAUUUGAUGCUGCAAUUCUCGAUGAUGAGUCCUUUGAUGAUGAUUACCCAUCUGGGUUUUCUGACAUUGAUUUGUCUGAUUAUGAUAACUACUAUGACUUCUCUGAUUAUGAUGAUGAAUUCUCUGAUUAUGACGAUUUCUCUGUAUAUGGGUUUGAGGAGGAUCAGUGAUUUGCUGGUUGACACGCAUGCAUGGUGAGGAACCCUUUUCUUGCUUUAAGUCGCAGAAUAAUUUUACUACAUGGUUCUACGUAGCUCUUCGUGGCAAUCUGUUGUGAUGUACUAUUUCUGAUUAUUUUGGUCUGGAUACGCAGGUGAAGAUUCUUUAUGGUUGCUGAGACUCCAUAUCAUGCUUCGAGGCAGAGAUGGUUAAGCGACCAUCAUGCACGCCUUCUGGUGUAGCUUUUGACCUGAACUUCGCAAGUGGGAGUCUUUCCUAUUUUGUUGAUGAAGAGAAGCACUCAUAGAUCGGCGCUCCCCUUGAAGUGCAUUCUUUUGUUCCUUUCGUUCUAGUCUCUGCAUCUUUAUCUCCAGAACAUGUUUUAUAGCUAUGAGCUUCUGCAUAUAUAGUUCUAGUGCCUAGUCUUAUUUUGUUAUCUGUGACUUUGGUGUGCUAACUCCAGCUGGCCAUGAUAAUGAACUUCAUAGCUAAUAAACCAAUAUCAGGCUUCACUGUGCGGUUUUGCAUAAAAUUCACAAUGCUGUUACCUAAAAUGUUAUUCAGAAAAUCGCUUUAAUCGUUCCCAUCUAUGAGGAUCUUGUAGUGUCAAAUGUAGCAGCAAGUUGCUUUGCUUGUCAAGCACUUCCAUUUUCAACUAGUAGAUCGCAUUUCCAUGAUGGUGCAAAAGAAUGAAUAUUUGACAUCUUUUAAUGUCAAGGAAAUAACGUACUGCCUAUCAUAUAUUUUAUGUUAAGGGAGUCGUGUACAUUUCACGCUAGAAGAAUAACCCUAGUAUGGGCAAAGCAGGAGGUUUUGGCUGUGUUUUUGGCAAUCGGCAGUCAAAUUUACAAGUGGUUAGCCAAUGCACUAUCACUUUGUCGAUUAUCAAAGAGGCCGCAAGCUCAUACAGGUUGCUUUCUCUUUAUGUUUGGAUCUUCACCUGAAAGUUGCAAAACAUCAACGUGGGAAAUCCGGUACAAGGUCCUUUCGAUGUGGUUUCAAAGAAAUUCACGUGGAAUAUUGAAAACUUUAAAGAUCCUAGACGAAGAGAAUGGGACUGAUCCGAAGCUCUCAUGACCUUAUAGUUUUCAAGAAGAAAUGCCAUACGAUUAUUCCCACGCGUACCACGCCAUUAAAGACACCAUCUACCAGGCGUUAGAUUUGUACAAGCGGGAUUAGCCAAACCAAUGUAUUUUUCCCAAAACCCAUGGGCUUUGGGAGAAUCUUAUCUUGAAGUCACGUGACAACCAGAUGUUAGCUCUAACGAAGAUCCUGAUAUUGGCCAUAUCAAUCAGUAAAAGGAUAAAAAAAAAUGUGUUGGGAUGGCAUGCAUGUCUCAAAUCUCCAUUAAAUUUGUAAAAAUUGUUCCAAGACAAUUGUAAAGCAAUGAAAUUAGGGAAUAUUUUAAAUUUACAUGCAAUAACAAUGUUCAUAGUGUAUGUAUGAUUAAUACUUUGAUAUAUACUCAUUAUUCAUGUCCCAUCGAAUAUAAUUGUGGCAUCCCAGAAAUCCAAGACAACCUCUAGAUGUAUUAAAGCCUAUGAUUAGGUAAUGAAAUUACCUUUGGUUUAUGCUUUAGCCAUUGGUUUUCUUUUAAGACCAAGUGUUAUGUAUCUUGUGUUCAUGAGUUAUUAAAAUUAGUAUUAUAGGAUGAGUUGAUAAGAAAGAUUGUUCUUGACUAUGCACCUCAUAGAUUUGAUCCCUAUAGUUUAAAUGUUACAAGAUUUAUGGCCAUAUGAAAUUGAGAAUUUGAAAUCUAUAAAAGAGAGAAUUAAAAAUGGAUUAUUAAAAGUGAAAUUGGGAUUUAUUAGGAUUUAACUUUAGGCCCAAGGGUAUUGGACCUAAAGUGGGCCAAAUUGGAUUGGCCCAUGAAGCCCAUGAAGAAGGCUGCCGUCGACCACAAGGGGGAGAGGCUGGCCCAAUCUCCAAGCCCAUCAUGCAUGGGAUUUGCCAAGUGGCAAAAAGGGGGCUUCACCUAUUGGCCAUUUUGGGUGGCUCCUAAUGAUGGCUAACGAUUGUAUUGAGGGGGGAAUAAAAGGAAGGAGUGACCGGUUUAGGGGGGGCUUUCGACCAUAAGGGAGAGAGAGAGAGAGGGCUGCCGAGAGAGUGAGGAACUGAGAGAGAGGAGGAAGAAGCCGUGUGUCCGUCUGUUUGCUCGUCCGUCGCUUGCCGCCCGUGCGUCCACCGUUUGCCGCCGUCGUGCUCGUUGUAGCUCGGUACAAAGGCAAGUUGGGAUCCAUAUUCUGCUCUUGCAUGUUGUAUCUUGCAUAUGUGUUUGAAUGGUGAUGAAUCUCGGACGUUUAGGGUGUGAGAAACUGAAGCUUUGAGUGUGUUGUUUUUGAAAUAGCAUUCUGUUUUCAAGUAUACCGCCUGACCCAGAAUGUUGUAGAGGCUUGCAUGCGGGGUUUGAGUCGGAUUUUGGUUUGGACUUCUUCACGAAAGUUGUAGGAAACAUCCUGAAGACUAGCAUACUCAAAUUUGAGGUAAAACGAACAAGUGUAGCCUAGUGAAACGAUUUUUGCUUUGAAGAUGAUAGAUCUGGAAGUAUUGUACUGGACACUAGCGACUUCGUGAACUAUAAAGUGACUAUCCUUUGAGAAUCUCACCUAGAUCCCUUAAUGAAAGUUGUAUUGGACCCCUUGAGGCAAAACAUAUAAAAAAAUUCAGAGGAAAUGAAGGAAGAUAAGUAGGUGAAACCUUGAUUUUUCGGAGACAGCUAAAUUGGACUGUUCGGUACUAGGAACAGGGGCUUCGACCGUCCAUAGUUAAUUAUCUAGGACGAAUCUGGCCUUGAUUUCUUCAUAAAAAAUCUACCUUAGGGUUUCUACUAUAACCUGGUAAAAUCUCAUAAUUUUUUAAGGUCAUUCGGGUAUUUAAAUUGAAAUAUUUCAAGAACCGCGCAAUCUGAUGUGUUCGAAUUUUGCAAGCUGUAAUGUGUGAGCUAUAUCUUUUUGUGUGAAGUUCUUUUGGGCAUGUGUUCUUCAUGGAGUUCCUACCUUUGUGUCUUGACUAUGGCCCCGUUUGGUUCAACUUUGGAGAAAUGGCUUUGCAUUUCCCCAAGUACCUUUGAGAGAAUGAGCAUUUUGGGAAUGGAGUUGUGUUUGGAAACCAAAUUUUUGUGCAUGUUUUGCAAAGCUAUUUCAAAGUAAAAUGAAAAAUGAAAAAAUGAAAAGAAAAGGGAGGAGGAGAUCGCGUGGUGAGGGGAAAAUUGUGGGGGAGCAGCUGGUGGUGGUGAGGAGGUGGCUGGCGGCGGCAGCGGCAAUGGCGGGGGGGAGGGAGGCGUCGACCUCAGGUGUUGCGCAACCCAGCCGCUUGAGGCCACGCAACCUCAGGCGGCGACCCUGGCCUCAGGCGACAACCCAGGCGACACCGCCUGAGGUCGCGCGGCCUCAGGCAACGCCGCCUGGGUCGCGCCUGAGGUCGAGCGACCCAGGGUGUUGCUUGAGAUCGCGAGGCCUCAAGCGCGCGGCCAGGCGGUGUCACCUGGGUCGCUUGACUCAAGCGACGCUUGAGGCCACCUCGCCUAAGGUCACGCGGCCUUAGGCGAGGCUUUUCGGCGGCCAGAUCUGACUGCUCGCGACUGAGCGCCACCCACCGCGAAGCUUGGCCGAGCAGCAAGUCCACGGAAGUCCAUGGAAGUCCAAGGAAGAAGAUGAACAGUGUUUUGGAGGGUAGAAUGGAAAAAAAAAAAAAACAAUUAUCGGUAAGGGCAAUAUUGGAAAGAAAAAAAUUCAUUAAACCCUAAACUAGCAUUCCGAAUGCUGGCAUUUAGGAAAUGUAAGCUCAAAAGUGUAAACCAAACACCAAAUUGAAAGCCCCUUGGGAAAGCUGAACCAAACACCCCCUACCACAUGUUCAGAUUUUAUAAUUUUUGAAGGUCAUAAAGAUAUUUAAUUUAUAUGUUUUCUGAAAUUGUGCAAGUUGGAAUUUGGUAAAUUUCAAAAAGUCAUGAUGUAUGGAUUAUUCUAAGUUGUAUGGACCCCAUGGAUUGUGUUGUCAUAAGUGAUUGGAUCUUACUGCAUAUAUGAUGAUGAUUGGAAAUACAUAUAAGAAUCAAAUGUUGAAAAUGAUCUUGUUGCCAUCAUAUUAUAUGCCAUGUUGAAAGUGAGCUAUAAUUGUGAAUGUGAACUAUGAUAAAUGAGAAGGCCGUCAGAGGUGUGAGCCAACGAUGUCCCGGGAGUGUCGGGAUGCCCGGCCAGGGAGUGUAAAUGCCGGAUGCCCAGUGGCCUAGUGGCGUAAUUCUGGAGGGUCCUCGGGAGUUUUGAGAUGCCCGAGAUGUGGGGGUGCUGGAAGCCCGGAGGUGUGAGCCGAGGGAUACCUCAUGAUGCUAGUUGGGGUACGAGAUGCCCGGAGUGUGUGUGCCGGAUGCCCGGAGGUGUGUGCCGGAGGUUCCUGGCGAUGUCAGGAUUGGGUGCGAGCGAUAAAUGUGGGAUGCAAAUACUGGUCUUGGGAAAGAGAAAUGUGGCGGCCCAAAAUGAAAGAAUAAAAUUGGGAAAUUGAAAUUGAAUUAUGCAUGGUAUGGUAACAUGUAUGCAUGAAUGCAUGAAUGUAUGUGAUGGUACAUGUGUGACAUGAUGAUGGUGAGUGCAUGGAUGUAUGUGCACCUAUGGCAUGAUGGUAUAUGUGACAUGAUGAUGGUGAGUGCAUGGAUGUAUGUACACCUAUGGCAUGAUGGUAUAUGUAUGACAUGAUGAUGGUGAGUGCAUGGAUGUAUGUGCAUCUAUGGCAUGAUGGUAAAUGUAUGACAUGAGGGUGAAAGUUAUAUGAGGAUGUAUGUACAUGUGGUAUGAUGACAUAUGCAUGGCUUCAAGGUAAAUUAUGCAUGGAUGCAUGAAUGACAUGUGUUAUGCUAUGAUUGUUAUGAUUGUAUUGUGUGAUGCAUUGAGUAGUUUAUUGGGUCUUUUACCUGCUGAGUGGCUGUACUCACCCCUUCGGGGACCAACAUUUCAAAUUAGAAAUAUACCGCUCCCUACUGUCACGCGGGGCGUCUUUUAUGGCCUUCCUUCGGACGUGGAGGUCGAGUGUGUGGAGAUCGACUGUCUCACCAUCCCUGGUCUGACGUUCAUUCGGGUUCGUGCAUUAGUGAUGUAUGACGUGGGCCUGGCUGAUGGCCAGAUCAUUCAGGAGUUCAUAUAUGUUCACGUUCGUCGAGACGGAGUGAUGCGGGGGAUGUUGCUGCCGCCACCGCCUGACGCACCGGGAUGGGUGUGACGGCCCAUGAUUGAGGAGUAGGAGCUACUACUUUUUCGACAAUAGCCGACACUAGUAGAUGGAGGAUUUUGCAUGAUCGACAUAGAGGGUCGAGUUGUCUCUUUUUGGGGUUAUGGCCGAGUGUAGUUAAAAGUCUUGGCCUUUCUUUUGUUGUACCGACCUGAUAAAAAUCCAUCAUGAAAAUAUGUAAAUAAAAGUGUCUUGACUUUAUCUUUUUAUAGUGUUUAGUGGUGUGCAUUGUAUCAUGAUUGUUGGGGGGGAGAAUUGGUAGGACUUGAUUAUGCUUCCGCAAAUAAGAUGCGUUGGGACCGUUGUAAAAAAAAAAAUGCCUAGGAACUAAAGUUCUUCUUUGGUAUCUGUGGUGACCUUAGGCGCUUCGGGGUGCCACAAUAAUUAACGUCACAUGUGCUAAAGAUUUUUUAUCCCAAUUUCGUUGAAAAAUAUCUCUAGGGUGCUUUCUCUUUUGUUGAAAUUUGGGGCACAUGUUAAACAAUAAAAAGUUAGCCAUCAAUGCACAACUUCUCUUAAGUAACGAAUCGUGAAUGCUUUGAAAAUCGAAACAUUCACUAUAAAAUAUAAUUGACACUAAUAAGAUAGGUCAUCUAUGAUAUACCUGUAUCUCCAUGCAUGUAUGCAUAUGCAAUGAAUACUCCGGAGAAUAUCAUAUGCUUCAUUAAGUGCACUUAAUAAAUGCUCCAAAGGUACUUGCUAAGGAAAUCCUUUACAAAAGCAUUCAUGCAUUCCCCAUGAAUUUACAAACAAAAUAAACACACUUUUCGAUGUGUGAUCGUGUGAAUGUUAAUCCCUAUAUAUUAGUCAUGUAUAUUCAACAAAAUAAAAUAAAAUAAAAUUACAAAUAUGAUUACUGAGAUCAAAGCAGAAAAUUAUGUAAAUUUUCUUAAUUAAUUAUGUCGAGACACUUCUUAAUAAAAGCUGAUCACAUCGUCCUCGUGCUUUUCUUCUCUCUCUCUCUUUUGUUCUUUUCAAUUAAUGUGUUCAUCACAUUGAGAAAGGGGAUUAUGCAUGCCGCUCUGCCCGAUGAUAAUUGCACGAGUGUGGAUUUACAGAGAGGGGGGGACCAAACUCUUUAAUUAUUAUUGCACAACAAUUAUUAAUUAUUACUGCUGCAAUUAUUUGUGGGGGAGUUAAGAAACAAUAAAAAAAUAAAAAUUACGCAACAUGUCUUGGUGGACACGGGCAUUUGCGCGCGUGUCUCGCCGUAUCUGUCAGACAGAGCCGGUUGCUUCGACCAACUACCUCCCGUUGACUUUGACUUGAGCAGCUGCUGGCCAGUGAGAUUUCGCCACGGCAGCCGUCUGUUGACCUGCGGUGGCAGGAGAUCCGGCCCGCGCGUGCUAGGUCGCAGCCUCGCCACAGACAACAGCUUUUACCUGCAAACAUACGCUGCAAAUAUAAACUGUGAAUUAAAAAGCUUUGCGUAUGACAGACGUCCGAGGACCACAAAGAUGGUUUUUAAAUGGGACCAUACGGUAUGAUCGGAGGCGGAGGAACCGUGCGCCGGACGAAGAAAGCUCGGCUGAUUUACAGAGCCGGGCACGGGGAGCCUGGCUGCGAACCCACCCCCGUCGCAACCCAGAGGCACGAGCAGUUGAGGUAUGGAGAACUCAGGCAAAAAGUAGAUCUGCAAACCCAGAGAUUGAUUUGCCCCAGACAUGGAUUCCACCGAAAGCAGGAGUGUUGAAGAUAAAUAUAGAUGGAACAUAUGUGCAUGGUUCGUUGAAGAACUCCAUUGCUUGCAUUAGCCGUGAUUCGGAAGGGAGGUUGUUGGGAGGAGUUGCAAAGGAAAUAAGGGCCUCUUCCCCCUUAAUGGCAGAAACCUUAGCUCUCUGGGAAGCCCUCCAGUUUCUCUUCCCUAUACGACACGAAGUAAUACUUUUGGAGUCAGAUAGUUUGCAACCGGUCAAAGCCAUGAACAGUUCACAACAGUUAAGUUGGGAAGUACAGCCUAUCAUCAGCAAGUGCAAGGAAAUAUUGAAGGCCUUUUCAAAAGUCCAAAUAGCCCAUUGUUCAAGACAGGCCAAUUUUGUUGCAGAUUGGGUAGCUAAAGCCCACUGGAACAAUUACUUACCUAUGAAUUGGGUCUCAUCCCCUCUACAAACUUUGUUGGACCUCUUAUGUAAUGAAGCCCAUUUAUCGGGCCUCUUAUCCUUGCGUACUUAAUGAAAUAUUUCCGUUUUCGACCAAAAAUAAAAAAUAAAAAUGGGACCAUACGGUAGUAACUUUUUCUUUUUCUUUUUCUUUUUCUUUUAUUUUUCUAUUUUUUUUAUUAAAGAGAAAAGUCAUAUGAAAGUCCAAAAUAUGUGUCCUCUCACGUAUUCAUUUCAAUAUUUUUUUUUGUGACAUAAAAAUUCCAAAUUUGUAUUUAUGUCACACAAAUACUCUGUUAAGAUACCGUUAAAUGAUUUUUCAACUAAAAUAACGUCUUUUUAUUUAUUUAAAUUACGUGGGCGCCAUGUCAGUGUUUUGGUGUCAUAGAAAAAUGUUUAUAAUAAAUAUAUUACAAUGGACAAAAUUUAAGAUUUUUUUUUUGUGACUUUUGCCCUUAUUAUUAUGAUGUAGAGGAAAUGUUGCAAUUUCUAAUAUAUUGCCUACUUUUGUGAUAUGUAUACUUAAUAUUUUGAAAAUAGAAUAUUUUCUCGUUAAAUGUAAUUAGAAAUGCACCAAAAGCACGUGUGCCUUGUAAUACUCGUUAGACAUAUUGAUUUUGGAAUGAAUUAGUUUCGACACAUUAUUUUAUAUAUCACUACAACGAUUAAUGCAUUGGAAACUACAUGAUUUGGAAAAUCAAUUAUUUAACAAGUGCUCCAUAAACCCUAAUAAACCAAAAUCCUUAUCAUUAUAUUGAUAGUGUGUAAAAUUAAGCUAGUUAGGUAGAUUAUUUCGAGAGAAAUGAAUGUUGAUUUGAGCUCCAACAAGCGCAUUUUCUUGCAAGCCACGCUUUAGGGUCUAUUUGGUACAUUUCUAUGUCAAGAAUCAAUUUUUUUUUUCAAAAAUAGUCUGUCUAUUUCUAUUCCCCAAAACAAUUUAUGAAUAAAAAAAUGCAUUUGGUAACUAUACAAAAUUAAUUUUCUUAAAAUAGAAAAGUAAUAAAAAUGCAUUUAAUGUGAUCAACAAUUUUUUUUAUUACAUAAAAUUUCUUUUAAUUUUUUAAUAAUUUUUUUUCUUUUUUUUUUCUUUUGUUAUUCUUCCUUGCUGCUGCCAAUCGUUGGCCACAAGCCACCGCGGCCGAGCCAAAGGUCAAUGGCAACCGACAGUGGCUGAACAACAGCAGAUAGUGGUGGGGUUCAAGGAGAAAGAAAAGAAAAAGUAACUUAUUUAUAAAAAUUGUUCAUGAGAGCAAUAAGUUACUUUUUUUUUUCUUUUUAUUUCUAUUCCAAAUCUAUUUUUCCGUCAAUUUUCUAUUCCGGAGAAUAAAAAAAUUAGUUGAUAUUAUCAUAUGGAUUUAUGUUCUUUUUUUUUGUUCCGAGGAACGAAAGAACAGAAAUUGGAAUAAAUAGAAAUGUUAUCAAACGAAGUCUACUCAGUCGGUAAUUUCAGAAAUCAGAUUACCUCAAAUGAUUCAUUCAGUUGAAUCACGUCCCUAUGGUAAUGUUUGGAUGACCUUUACCUUGUUUUAUUCGAUUUAACUCGAUCCGAUUGAGCACCACUUAGGAAGUCGGUUCGACGUCCGGCCGUAUUUUGGAGACAUUGGUUUCAAGGGUCUCUUGUCCUGAUAUUUGUCUAGUAGAUGAAUGAGGUGUGUGAUGAUAUUUUUACAGGCCGGAGCAAGUGCCGAUUUUCAGGUAUGAUCUCGGCCCAAGAGGCAUACAAGAUGAGCCGAACGUGUUGGAGUGGGUGAUAAAAUACCUUUGCGGAGAGUAUAGUUAUUUUGGUUGGACAAAUCAAGUCAUCAGUCAUCAAGUUGUCUAAUAUUUGACUAUAAAUGGAACUUAACCCUAAGGAUUAGUUUAGUCGGUUGAGAGUUUUGGAAGUUACGAUUCAAAAAUUAGAAAAUAUUUUCUUUAAAAUGAUCAAUUAUAUUAUUUUCACAAAUGAGUCAACAAAAUAUAUUUUCAUUAACAAUAAUGAUUUAUGUUCAAACAUUUUCGUGAAUGACGAAACCAAUACAGGAUGAUUCUAAAUUAUUGAGUUUUUGUAAGACAAACGCACCAGCAAUCCAACUUAGAAUCACUCUUCUUUUUUUUGUGCGUGUGUUUUUGGGGCUCGGAAUAUGGGAGUUGAUAUGUCAGGAAGCUAUCUCACUAGCUAUCCUUCCCAUCAGAUUCUUUAACGUACGAACACCAUGUUAAAUCUUUUUCUUCUUUUUUUCAAGACUUACAUUAAAUCACUUUCCAUGGAAUUAAAUCGUAAAAAUUAGAGCCCCUUUAAAAUAUCAUCACAUUACAUUUUAAUGUUGGGUUCACACGUUAAAAACCCAAUACACUUAUCAUGAAAGAUUGCUAAGAGAAAACUCAAAUCUAAACUCGUUAACUUAUUCAAUUUGAUCCAUUUACGCUCAAAACCUUUGGUCAAUGAAUUAUAACUGAGUUAGAUAUAUUAAAUACUCCAUAUUACAGCACAUCCUUGUAUGAGAUUUCAAUAGCUUAACAUUCUCGUGCAUGCAUGUAGACAAUUUCCCCCUUCACACAUGCGAGCCACCAAUGUUAGGCUCACUCCCUCUCAAUCCUAAUAUCCUUCUACACCAACAUUAUCUCAACUCGAGAAUAUUUAAUCUUUACCUUGGCUUGGUCAAAUUGCAUAUACUGGUGAGGACCAAUAGGUAUCUUUCAGAUUCCACCUUAAUUGUCUUCGCUCAACCAAGCUUGUCGAGAGUAGAGCGACACCAUUCAUCACCUCAAUUAAGGGGCCACAUUUGAGAUUUUCCUUCCUUGAGAUAUUCAUCGGGCACUCAUACAUAUUGGGAUCCGGCCACGAAUCAACAUUGACUCUAAUACCAUUUUCAGAUUGACACAACAGAAGCUGAGUACCUUCAUUUGAUGAGAUCACCAAGAGGAAGCACUAGUCAAAGCCCAUUAAAUUACCUAGUUGGACCCAAGUUUACUCAAAAACUUGAGUUAAUCAAUUAUGAAUCAGCUAAAAUGUAUCACUUGCACCACAUUUACUUUGUGGGAUUUCUCUCAGCUAACAUCCAUGCACAUGCACCUUAACAAAUACUAAAUGCAAUCCGAUUCCUCAUGUGUCGAAGGUACCCCUUGAAGCAUCAAAUACAACGAUAGGGUUUGCGUAGCUUGCUUGUUGUAGUAGAUUUUCUCUUGAUUACUACCUUACCGGCCCUUAGCAUUGAGGUGACAAGCUACCAAUGCCGUAAUUAUUUGUAAUGUUGAUUCAUUGGAAGGUAAAUAUUAAUGAGUCACGUUUUACUUAUUAUGUCUUUAAAAUGUACAAUUUUUCAAUGAAGUAACUGAAUAUAUUAAACUUCUCUUCUUUUACUGUAUUUAAAUAUGUACUUCUUUAAUUCUCAAAAUCUCUUAAAAAGCAUUCUUUCUAUUUUUAGUUAAUUUAAUGUAGGAAUUAGUUUUGACAGGAAAUGAAAAAGAAGAGAAUUGGAGGAAUUUCUUGUGCUCAUUUUGUAUUUUUUUUUUCAUUCUUUAUAUGUAUUAAUAAUAUAAAGUGUGGAUAGCAAAAGGAAACAAUGUAAAUAUACAUAAUUAAUAUGGAUCACUUAUUGAUUCAGUCAAUCAAUCUAAAUCUUAGAUUAAUUCAAUUAUCUCUUCACCACAUAAAUCAUAUCUCCAACACUCCCUCUCAAGUUGGUGGGUUGUAUAUGUCCAAAACACCUAGCUUGUUUAACAAAUGUGUGUUGUCUUUGACACAAGGGUUUAAGUAAAGAUAUCCGCGGGCUGUUUUGAGGUUCCAAUACCCUUUAUCCUAUUAUUCCUUCUUGGAUCUUAUCUCGAGAGAAAUGAUAGUCGACCUCUAUAUGUUUUGUUAUCUCAUGGACUAUAAGAUUAGCUGCAAGCUUUAGUGUUGCAUCAUUAUCACAAAAACAACAUAGUUGGCCUUUUAACUCGCACACCAAGGUCAAGAGGUAGACCUCGCAUCUAUACUAUCUCAUAAAUAGUCUUGGUCAUGGCUAGAUACUCAACUUUAGCCAAUGAUAAUGAUACGGUUGUUUGCUUCCUCCUCUUUUAUUUAUUUAUUUAUUUAUUUAUCAUAACAAAAGUAAGGAUGUUCUAAGCUUAAUGCAAAAAAUCUAGUAAUGGAGCUCCAGGUCAUAAGACAGGUGGCAUGGUCUAUGUCACAAUAAUCCGUCAUCUCCAUGUUACACGCUUGAGAAAGAAGUAUUCCAAAUCCUAGACAUUUCUUCAAAUCACAACUUUUAGAGCUACAUUCAUAUGUGAUUGUUUUUGGUUAUGCGUAAACCAACUCAGCAUUAGCACUCCUUAGCAUAUGUUUGGUAUUGUCAUGGUGAGAUAAUCUUUUCUACGAGCCUCUAAUAGCUUGAUGGAUCCUUGAGCAGUGGAUUAUCAGCAUUUGAUAGUGUUCCACAUAAAAAAAAAAUUGUGAUUAACUUGAUAUCUUGCUCGAUAGGAAUAGUAGGUAGCUUACAUUCUAACAAACUUGCUUUUGAUAUAAUUUCAAGGACAAAUUUCCCAUUAGCUAAGAGGAGAUUCCCAUGUUCAAUUGGGCAAUUUUAAUUCCAAGGAAAUAUAUGGGAGGUCCUAGAUCUUUAAUGUGAAAGGUAUAGUAGUGCAAAUAUUUCUUGAGAUUUUCAGCAACAGCUUCAUUAGAUCCCAUAAUAAGUAUGUCAUCAAUAUAUAUCAUUAGAUAGAUAGAUGACGAACCUUUUCUCCUUAUAAAUUGUGCAUAAUCAUGUCUCAACUGUCUAAAGCCAGUAACUAUAAGUGCAUUUGUAAAUUUUGUGUACCACUAAUGAGAAGCUUUCUUAAGGCCAUAAAGUGAUAUGCAGAGACAUCAUACCUUAGACUCCUCUUGUUUUCGUAAACCCGGUGGAAGAUCCAUGUAAAUUUCUUCGUCUAGAUCACCAUGGAGAAAGGCAUUGUAAAUAUCCAUUUGAUGUAGUGGCCAAUCCUGCAAGCAACAAUGCAUAGAAAGGAGCGAACUGUGACUUUUUUUGCUAUUGGAAAGAAUGUUUUAUGAUAAUCGAAACAUUCUUUUUAUGUGAAACCUUUGGGCACUAAACGCACCUUGUAUCGUUGGACUGAUCCAUUUGCCUUGUGUUUAAUUUUAGGGAUAAGUGCACUAGGAGUCCUAAAACUUAUUACAAAAGUGCAUUUGAGUUCUAAAACUUGCAAAAAGUGCAUUUACGUCCUAAAACUUGUCAAAAUGUUUCAAACGAAUCCUAAAAUCGAUGCCGUCUAAUUUCUUAAUGGAAAAAGCUAACGUGGCCCCCGCAUGGCUUUUUUUAAUCGUUUCUCUCUCCUUCGUUGCGAAUAGAUUAAAAAAAAAUGCCAUGCAUCCAAAACGACGUCUUGUUCUCCUUUCUUUUUCACCAUUGUGUUACCUUCCCUCCAUCUGUACGUCUUCUUCACCGUCGUCUUCCCUCUCCCCCCUCCGUCUCUACGAUUGCUUUCACUAUUCCGAGCGAACCCUAAGCCCCAAAUCGAAUUCGUCCAAAUUGCAAUUCUCUUGCAAUUUGGGUCCUCAUCGACCUCAAGUUCGACGCUCGUCGUGAGUUCGUGUUCUUUCCUUUGAUGAUCGCGAGUUCGUGCGAAGUCCUCUCCUGUGGGAGUCUCGACAUCUCAGCAGAGAAGCGAUUGGCAUCGGGGACGACGACAAGGUCCGCGACGGCGAUGGCAACUCCUCCUCACACAGGUAUCGUUCUUUGCAUUAUAGCAUUUUGGGUAUCUCGUGGUAAUGCUACGAUAUCUUUUGUUUUGCUACGAUUUCUUUUAUUUUGCAAAGGUGCUUUAAUCUCUGCAUUAUGCAAAACGAUGUCAGUUGGCGUCCUCAUUUCUUCAUUAUUUGGAGUUCAGAGAGCUCGAGUUUGACACACAUCGACUUUAUGUUAUCUUCUUUGACGAUUGCAAGUUUGUGCAAAGACGUGUCUUGCGGGCAUCUCGGCGUCUCAACAGCAGAGCAAGCGGCAUCAGGGAUGACAAUGGCCAUCUCAGCGACGGAGCAAGCAACAUCAGGGACGGCGAUGGUGACUCCUCACGCAGGUAUCACUCUUUACAUUACAGCAUUUGGGUAUGUCAUGGUAAUAUUACGAUUUUUGUUUUUGUUUUACGAGGGCGUUUUACUCUCUGCAUUAUGGUUUUUUUGCAUUUUCCAAUUGUUGCGAUAAAUUAGAACAUUGUUGCAAAUUAGAACAUCGCCUACCGAAAGGCUGACAAUAGGUCCCUCGCUCUCACUAUUGAUCAUGUAGUUGCAUUGUGAUUGUAAAGCACAUUAUGCUAAUUUGCUGUUUCUGUAUUGAUUAUUAGUCUUUUAACUUGAACAUUGCUUCAAUAAUUUGAUGAUGGAAAGUACUCUGCUCUUUUUUUUGUUCUCUUGUAUGUUUCUAUUCCAUUGUAGGUUCAAUUGCCGAGAAUAAAGUUUAUUUCACUGUUCGCUAUGGAGGUAAAUUUAAAGUCGGCCCACCAUUGGAAUACAUAGGUGGAAGAGCUAAUCUUGUUGAAAUAAGUUUAAGUAAGAGUUCACUGUCUAGUAUAAUUGAAGCUAUUGAGGCUUUGGGUGUGUGUAAAAUAGAGAAACUCUUUUAUAGAGUUUCUGGAAGUACGACUCUUGUAGACGGCAUAACACUUAGGUAUUUGUGGGAUAGCUCUGAUGUGAUGGAUCUAUUUUAUCAUCAUUUGUGCUCUGAAAAUAUUAUGCUAUAUGUUGAGCAUGUUGAUGAGAAAAAGAAAGGAGCUGAGAUGAGGGGUGUUGAGAUGGAAACUGGAGGUAUGUCUAAUGUGAUUAGGAAUAUUGAUGAUGACGAUGCCAAUAGGGAUCUAGAUGAGGAAGAGGAUGAUGAUGCACAUAAUUUGGUGGAUGUGGAACAGUCGAGUGACGAUGAUAAUUUUGAACUGGUUGAUGCAAGGAAAAAAUUAAAGGAAUUUUCAGCAAGACACAAGCUCAAAAUUGGCGAUUAUAGUGAGGCAACUGGUACUUCCCAACCAUUGAUUGUGGAUGAGGCUCAAUCAUUACAUGAUUCUGGGUACGAAACAGAGUAUGAUGAUUCAGAUGAGGAAGAUAGUCUUCAAUCAAUUUUAAAUGAUGAGGGUGACAAAGAGGUUGAUGUUAUCUCAAAGAGGAGAAGUAGAUUCCCAUCAUAUGAUCAAAGUGGUACAAAUCCAGUAAUUAUUGUUAGCAUGACAUUUGAGGAUGCAACUGAGUUCAAAAAUGCAAUUUUGAAGUAUUCUGUGGCUAAGCAAAGAGCAAUCAAAUACACUAAGAACACAAAAAGCUUUGUAAGAGCCAGGUGUGUCCAGGAAAAUUGUAAGAGGAUGAUCUAUGGUGCUAUUGAUAGCAAAACUAGAUCAUUUCAUUUGAGAAAUUAUAUAAAUCAGCAUAUAUGCAGUAUCACUUUCGAGAAUAAGAGAGUGUCUAGUAAUUAUUUAACUAAGCACUUCAUGAUUCUCAUUUUUGCAAUGCCUAAAAUCAAAGCACUAGAGUUAAAGAAAUUAGUCAAAGAACAACUGGGAGUAAAUGUCACUUUCAGUCAGUGUAGGAGAACAAAGUUGAAAGUAUUGAAGGAACUACAAGGUAAUUACAAGAAGGAAUAUGCACAGAUGUACGACUACUUGGGAAAGCUUUACACUGCAAGCCCUUCAAGCAAUUUUAAAUUGAAAGUUGAAAGGCCAUUGCUAAAUUCUCUACCAUUAUUUGAUAGGGUUUACAUUUGCUUUGAUGCUUGCAAGAAAGGUUUUUUGGCUAGAUGUAGGAAGAUCAUUGGAUUAGAUGGAUGUUUUUUGAAGGGUUUGAUCAAGGGCGAGUUGUUAUGUGCCGUAGGAAGGGAUGGCAACAAUCAAAUGUAUCCAGUGGCAUGGGCAGUGAUAAGAAUCGAGAAUAAGGACACAUGAACUUGGUUUAUCGAAUUGUUAAAGUCAGACCUCGAUAUGUGUAAUGGUGACGGAUGGGCUUUGAUAAGUGACCAACAAAAUGUAUGUUUUUCUUUUUGUUUUCAUUUGUAAAUUGAUUGUGACAUUACAAUGCUUUUCUUUCUGUUUUCAUAUAUAUUUUCUUUUUUUGGGUAAUUGUCAGGGUCUCGUCUAAUCUGUAGCUGAACUUUUGCUAAAUGCAGAGCAUAAUAUGUGUGCAAGGCACAUAUAUUCCAACUUGGGUAAAAAAUACAAAGGAAAACAGUUGAUGAGACAAUUUUGGAGAUGUGUCAAGAGUAAUAAUAUGUCAGAUUUCGAGGUGCAUAGAUAGAGGUUGAAGGAAAUGACUCAAGAAAGUCAUGAUGAUUUAUUCCGUAUUGAGCCAAAACAUUGGUGCAAAGCCUUAUUUGACACCAACAUUAAAUGUUAUGCCGUUGAUAAUAAUCUCAUUGAAGCUUUUAAUGGCAGGUGUGUGGAAGCUAGGUGCAAGGCCAUUGUGAGUAUGCUGGAGGAUAUUAGAAUCAUGGUUAUGAAUAGAAUGCAUACUCAGAGGGAUGGAUGUGCUAAGUGGACUGGAAAUUAUGGUCCAAGGAUUCUACAUAAGUUACAUGAGAAUACAACUGCUAGUAGGUAUUGUCAUUUGAUAUGGAAUGAAGACGAAGGAUAUGAGAUUACGGAAGAUGGUGACAAAUAUGUUGUUGAUUUGAAUUUAAAAACUUGUAGAGCUUGGGAACUUAGUGGAAUUCCAUGUUGCCAUACCAUUUGUGCAAUACACCAUAAGAGAAAUUACCCGAUUGACUAUCUAGCUGAGUGUUUCAAUAAUGCAAAGUAUCUAAGUGCUUAUCAAUUCAUGAUGUCUACAGUGAGAGGACAGAAAUUUUGGAAUAAAACCAAUAAAGAAGCUCCUCAACCCUCACCAAUGAAGAACAUGCCUGGUAGGCCAAAAAGGAGUAGAAAAAAGCAACCAAUUGAGCUUGUAAAAGGUGAUAGAAUGACUAAAAAUGGUAAGCUAAUGACUUGUUCUACUUGCAAUGUGGUUAGACAUAACUGCAAGGGAUGUCCUUUAAAAAAUGUAUUUUCUCAACUAACUGAUCAUCUAAAUGUUGGGCAUGUCACUUUAACAUGUUGUUAAUCAAUGCUUAAUAUGUGCUUCUCAGGCCAAUACUUGGGCCAAUGUAUGUACAUUCAAUGCUCGGGCCAAUGUAUGUACAUCCAAUGCUCGUGCCAGUGCAAGUACAGCUGAAGUUCAUGCUCAAUCUCAAGCUAAUUCCACUAGAACAAGGCUCGGAAAAAGACAAGUAAGUUGUCAUCUAACAAUUAUUAUAACUUUUAUAUGUCAAGGUUUCAAUUCAGUAAUUAUGAAUAUAUAUUCAGGCUAAAGCUAAAGCAAUGACAAGCAUAACUGGAGGAGGAUUCGAAAGCCAUGCCAAUGCUUCUGCAAAUGCCAAUUCAAUAGGAGACAAUAGUGGGCAUGUUAAUGCUUCUACUCAGGCUAGUGCAGAUGUAAGAGGGUGUAGUGCUCGUGCAAAUGUAAGAGAAUGUACUGCCACUGCUUCUGCUCAGGCUAGUGCUGAUGUUAGAGGAUGUACUGAUGUGGCCAAUACUGUUGGUAAAGUUCGUCCUGAUCAAGGGGAAGGCGUUUAUUGUACACCGGCCAAUAUAAUGGCUAAGCAUAGACCUGAAAAAAAUUUCAGUGAGUAAUAUCUCAAUCCCCAAGCAUACAUGUAUUGUGACUACAUUCUCAUGUUCAAUGAAUUUUUUAUUAUUUUAGAUUAAAAGACUUGCCAUUGAAAAUAACAUGAUACAAAGAGAAUCACAGGCCAAGAGGAUGAAAAUGGUAGGGUUGGGUGUUGACGCAAAUCCUAUGACAAACCUUCAUAUUCUUAAGGUGAGUAAUAUUUCUAAAAUUUUCUAAUAGCAAUUACUUAUCUCCUUAAGCUAAAAACAUGCUCAUUCUUAUGUAGCCUAAUACAACUGGUGCAAGAAUCUUUAACCUACCAGACAAAGGGGUAGUUUCAAGAGCUACAUCAACAAUAAAGGUGCAUUCCCAGGUCAGUGCACAACCUCAGUCAUAUCAUGUAUCAGCAACUUCUUGAAAACAAAUUGCGGUGACGCCGAAGCCACCAUUACAACCCAAGGCCAGUUCCCAACCUCAAUCAUCUCAUGCAACAGUAGCUCCUUCAAAGCAUGUUGCAAUGAAGCCAAAGACACUAUCGCAACCUGAGGCUAGUUCCCAAGCUCAGUCAUCUCAAGCUACAAGAGCUCAGAAGCAUCUUAAUUUAAAAUGAAAGGCACCAUCACAACCAAAGGCAAGUUCCCAACCUCAAUAAUCUCAUGCAACAUUAGCUCCUCGAAAGCAUGUUGCGAUAAAGCCAAAGCCACUAUUGCAACUUGAGGCCAGUUCCCAAGCUAAGUCAUCUUAGGCUACAAUAGCUCAGAGGCAUCUUGGUUUAAAGUGAAAGACACCAUCACAACCCCAGGCAGCUCCUCAAAGACACAUUGCGGUGAAGCUGAAGCCACUAUUGCAAGCUCAAUCAUCCCGGGCUCAGUCAUCUCAAGCUACGACAACUCCUCCAAAGCCUAUCGCUUUAAGACCAUAUAUAAGGAAAAGUGCUAGAAUUAUGAAUCAAGUGAAGGCUGGACCUACUGGAUCACUGGAGACCAUCAUAUUGGAUUGAUAUGUUUGCUGAAAUUGGUGUUGUUAGGUGAAUUUAUGCCAAUCAUUAGCUGGUUUUCUAUAUGAGACAUGUAGCAUUUGUGCAUAAGACCUUUUGUGUACUGAAAGUGCAUAUUUUGUUGAAAAGAACCUUUUGUGCAUUGAAAGUGCAAGCAUUUUGUUGAACAAAGCCUUUUGUGCAUUGGAAAUGUAAGUAGCAUGUUGCUUUGUCAAUGAAUCGUGUUUCAACAAGUUAUGUGGGAUGCUUGGUUUUGGUUUGGAUAAUGCACGAAAGUGGUUGCUCUUCAGGAUUGUUAAUAGAUGAUUACUGAAAUUGUCCAUGAAGAAUUUUCAUUCUUCCAAUACUUUUGUCAUCUUCUUUCCCAUUUAUUGUUAAUAGGAUUGUUAAUAGGUUCCAAAUUCAUUCUGAUAGCAAUAACUCAUAUAGUGCUAUUGACAAGCACACAAAUCAAGCAACAUUUUUCAAUGCGAAAGUAAUUUCUCACAUGGCAAGCAACCGGUCUUGCAAACUACAAACUCACAUCAGAUUUCAUUCAUAUCUCAAUUAUCCACAACUAGUGUUCAAACUUACAAACUUAGAAAUAAGGUACUAUGGAAGACUUAGAAAAUUCUCACCGACUUUCACAUUACAUAUAACCAAUACAACAAUAUAACACAUGCAUAUAAUGAAUGCCAAUUGAUAUAGCAUCUUUCCUUUCUUUAUUCGUGCGAGCUCUUCCUUUAAACGUCUAUUUUUCGCCUUUUGAGUCUUCAUUUCAGCUAGCAAUGAGCUCACAUCGACUUCGUCACGCCUCGAUUGGCUUGAUUCACACAAUGCUUGAUUUCUUUCAAGUAGGUUAACUAUCAUGUCCCUCACAUGAUCUGGUAUCUUUGGAUCAAGCUACAUGAAGAAAUCGCAGCAACUUGGACUAUUAAUCUUAGCACAUCCAUGGAACCUUCUUCCUGCGUUUUUCCUUGUCUUUGCCAUAAGAAUUGGCGAUUGAAGACCACAAUAACAUGCUGGCUCCGAGUUGACCUCAUUACGAGUUACGCCACUUGAUUCAAAUGUUGGCGCCCUCAUUCUUCUAGGCUUCGUAUUAUAGGAACAUAAUAGAAGUAUAUUAGAAUGGAAAAUAACAAAAUGCUAUAAUGCAGAGAGCAAUACCUACUUGAGGAGGAGUCUCCAUUGCCGUCGCUGACCCUGUCGUCGUCCCCGACACCAAUCUCUUCGCUGCUGAGAUGUCAAGACUCCCACAAGAGAGGACUUCGCACGAACUCGCAAUCGUCAAAGGAAAGAACACGAACUCACGACGAGCGUCAAACUCAAGGUCGAUGAGGACCCAAAUCGCAAAAGAACUACAGUUCGGACGAAUUCGAUUUUGGGCUUAGGGUUCGGACGAAUUCGAUUUGGGGCUUAAGGUUCGGAUGAAUUCGAUUUGGGGCUUAAAGUUCGCUCGGAAUAUCGAAAGCAAUCGUAGAGAUGGAGGGGGGAGAGGGAAGACGACAGUGAAGAAGACAUACAGACGAAGGGGAGGUAACACGAUGGUGAAAAAGAAAGGAGAACACGACGUCGUUUUGGAUGCGUGGCAUUUUUUUUUUUAAAAGCCACGUGGGGGCCACGUCAGCUUUUUUCAUCGAUAAAUUAGACGGCAUCGAUUUUAGGACUCGUUUGAAACAUUUUGACAAGUUUUAUGACUUAAAUGCACUUUUGCAAGUUUUAGGAUUCAAAUGCACUUUCGUGACAAGUUUUAGAAUUCUUGGUGCACUUAUCCCUUAAUUUUAUACACCCAUUUACAACCAAUUGGAUUCUAAUGAGCAAGAAAGGACACAAUAUACCAAGUCUGAUUUUCAUUAAGGCACCUGAUUGGAGAUGUGCUCCCGACUUCUUAUCACCCCCAAUCGAGGAUGGAGGAGGCAUGACAUAUGAGUAGACCAACCCUCAAUUGGCUUAGGUUUUGCUUUGCCUAUUUACUUUUCGUGUAGUAUAUUUAAUCGAUGCUUCUUCACAUUGAAUCAAAGGAAAAAAUUUCGAACCUUUGUCUCGACUAACUAAAUUUCAAAUAAAGCUCCAAACCCACCAACUAGACAUUUCUUCACCAACCAGCUUGCACUCGUAGCUCGCGUUCGAAAAUAAUUUAAUAGGAUAAGAUGAAUUUGUUUUCGAGCAUUUUGAAGGGGGGUUGGAAGGGAGAGACUUGGAAUACCGACGAUAUCCUCGACGACAAAUCCACCAUGCCAGCAGAUGGAGAUGUGCGCCAAGCUUCUUAUCACCCCCGACCAAGGGCGGAGGAGGCACGACGUUCGAGGAGACCAACACUUGAUUGGCAUAGGUUUUGCUUUGCCUUGCCUAUUUACUAUGGAUUCUAUUUCCUUCUUCAAUUUACUUUUCAAUCGAAGCUUCUUCAAAUUGGGUCAAAGGAUCGAACGAAAUCAUCACUACUUUAGUCACCGGAAUAAGCAUUAUUUGUUGUUUUGCCAAUUUACUUUUUGUGCACCCAGGCCGCCCAUGCAAAUCGACCAUUUGAUUGGCCGUUGAGCUCAGGAACUCAAAUUAGAUUAACUAAUAAAUUUUAAAUCUCUUAUUUAAGACAAAAUUCACUCAAAAUCCUCUUUCGAGGAAAAAAAAUCCCUUUUUCUGUUUUAAUUUGGAAUGUUCCUUAAAAGAGAUGGAAAAACCAAAACGGCACGGAACGAUCCCUCCUCCAGUCAAAUCCGCUAUCGCCCCCGGGCGCUCCGCUCCCCCCUCACCGGCAAAUGGCAGCCCCCGACGAGCCGCCGCGGCCGCGGCGGCCGCCGCCCGACUGGCUGGAGCUCCCACGGGAGAUCACGACGACGAUCUUCCUCAAGCUCGGCGCCGUCGAGAUCCUCAAGACAGCGGAGCUGGUGUGCACCGCCUGGCGCGCCCUCUGCCUGGACCCCACCAUGUGGCAGACCAUCGACAUGCGCAACGACGGGGAACCGCCGUACGACGACCUCGCCGACAUGUACCGCCGCGCCGUCGACCGGAGCCGCGGCGGUUGCCUCGACCUCAACAUCGAGUACUUCGGCGACGACGAGCUCCUCCAGUACGCCGCCGACGGGUAACUCGCCGAUUCCCUCUUGAAUGAAUUUCGCGCGGUUUUGUUCCUCGGUCUGGUUUUGGUGGGCCUCGGAAUGAUCGCUGAUGGUCGAGCGCGACGCGUGGUCCGGUUCUUUUGUGCGUACGCCGUUGUUGGAGAGAAUUGAGAUGAUGGUUACUCGCCGAGGAUGAGCUUGUUUCGGCGAUUGGCUGAUCGGCGCGAUUGCGGCGGUUCGCAAGUGCGUGGGUAUACCGUUGAUUUCUCUGGGCUGAAGUUGUGCAGGAAUCGCGAAAUUGUUUAGGAAUGAAUCGUAUUGAGCACGAGUUUACUUCUCUUAUUCACCAUGGCCUCAUCACGAGGCGGAGGUAGAAAUGUGAGGCUUUGAGGAGUCCUCUGGAAGUGAACAUUCUGCACACUUGAAAAGUCCCUUUUUUUCCCUUGUCCUCAAGAAUUGAAAUUGAAAAAAAGAGAAGAUGGACACGCCAGAUGAUGAGAACAGAUUGUAUUUGGAAAACUUCGAUCAGCUACAUGUUCUGGAAACUAACUGAUGAAAAAAUCAUGUGUGGAAAUUGAGUUCUGAUCCUGAAAUAGCUCCCGAGAAUGAGGGUAGAGAUUUUUUACGUGAAAGGAUGCCACCUUUGUUACUUUUCUCUCUCCUUAGGAGUUCUCAAAUGGCUUCUUUACUCUGUCUCUAUGUUCCGUAUGUUCAGCCUCAGUAUCUUUCAUUUUUAGCCAUCAUUUGAACAUUAGGAUGAGGCAAAAGUUCAACCCAAUUGAAACCAUGAAGGAGCAUUGAACUGAGGUUGUGAAAAGACUGAUACAAUGCCGUCUGGUGAGUAUCGGGCAUUACUAAAUGAAAUGAGGAACAUGAACUGUGACAGAGCUUCCAUAAGUGCUUGAUAUGGCAGAAGCACUUCUAUUUUACUUCACUCUAGGAUCUUCUUUCCCCUAUGUGCUUGUUUUCCUUUUGAUCAGUUUAUGCGACGCAUUUACUCUCCUGUUUGCUAAUAGUUAUGGGGAGAUAUUGGUUAAAGUUUGGUGCGGUAGAAGGUAUAUAACUCAACAAAAUAGGGUAUAGCCAUGUAGCUCCAUCACCUUCUCAGCCUUGGACAAGUGUAGCUUUAACCCAUGUUUGCCAAAACACUUGAGUAUGCCUCAGGUUCCAGUGAUAUCAAUCUUAAACUGUUUUUUCCCCUUAUUUUGUUCAGCAAAGAAAAUAUUCUAGUUUAAUUCACCGCUGGAUUUGUCUUCUAUUUCCUGGUCGAGACUCCGCGCUCAGUCUUCAUCAUUGCGUUUUCAUUGAACUUGCAGAGACAGGUUAGAUACAUUUGAUGGCAUUUUUGCAGGUCUUGGAUAGGUACAUAAUUGUCUUGAUCUGACCAGUGGAUGGCACUGUCAGUGUUUUGAUUCCACAGUAUACAACUGAAGUUACUGCUUGAGUUAUGGCAUGGAAGUUUUACGUUUUGGAGUCUUUUCGGUUCUUAAAAUGAGUUUCAGAGUCUAAUAGUGUUAUGUUUGCUUUUGUUGAUAAAAUUCCUAUGAUGAAGGGUUUUAUGAGGAGACUUUGUUAAUGGGUGCCUCUGGUAUAGUUGUUAACCACACAUAAUAAGGAAAUGUAAUUACUCUAAUUAUAUAUAACAUGAGAAAUAUGGUGCAUAAAAAUCGACAAACUCUUUUUAUCGAGGUGUUAAAAAAGUUCCCAUGGACACAUAUUGAAAAAAAUAAAAAAUAAAUCGAUCAGAUUAGCUCUCUUUGUUGACUUAAGUUUCUCUCUUUGAUGGUGUUUUUCUUCCUUUUACUGAGCAUGAAGUCCAGAACAGAGCUUUUGGAUUGUUUUUGAUUUUUGACUGCUGGAUAUAUUAUGUUUGUUAAGGAAAUUUUAUUAUAGUUUGAGGCUGGAAUAGAACAUAAUUUCCAUUGAUUUGAUUUAGGUUUUGAAUUUGAUCUUACUUUUCUUGACGUCUUGAUUCAUUAACUUUAUAUUUGUUUUCAAAAACUUUCUAUACAUAUUUUGUGUAUUCUGUGUCUUAUUAAUAUUUCGGAUAAAUAUGGCAGUCUUGCUUAUUAAAAGGCUAUUCUGAUAGGUCAAAAGUGGACCAAGCAUCACAUCUCUCAAUUGCAUAGAUCUCUGUUUAGUUUACAUUCUUGUGAUGCCAUGGGUAUGCAAAGGCGGACUUCAUUAACAAAUGUGGCAUAGUUGACCUUUUUUAACAUGACUUGAAAGAAUUCCAAUCAAGGCCGCAACAGUAGAGAAUUCUUGAUCUAGGGUUCUGGCUGAUUUUAUCAUAUUUCCGUAUUUUUUGACAUGUCUCGUUAACGAGUGCCCUUAGGGCAUUUAUUAAACAUGCAUAAGGAAAGUUCCAUUGUCUGCAACACUAGUUACGCACUUCACUAGAACAAUUGUGGAUUAUAACUUGUGGUGUUCCUUAAUUAGCCACUAAGAAGUGCCCAAGGGAUAUGAUUAACAAAUUAAUGUUGUUGAAAUACAAUUACUUUUUGGCCGAUGAAAAUAAUCUCUCUACACACCCCUUGCUCUAGAUCAAUAAGCUCUCAGUUCCUUAUCUUAGUGGUUAACAUUAUUAUUGCUAGCUACAACAAGUCUGCUUUUCGGUUGAACCAUCGUUGUUCUCAUGCAUUUCUUAUUCCAUUGCAGGUGCAAUCAUAUUAGACGGCUACGACUUGUAUAUUGCGGUAACAUUUCGGAUGAGGGUCUGUGUGAAGCAGCCUCAAAACUUCCUAUGCUGGAGGUCCUUGAAUUAUCUUAUUGCUCAUUCUCAAAGGAAGCCAUAGAGACUGUUGGACAAUGUUGUCCCCUUCUGAAAUCCUUCAAAUUGAAUAGCCAGGGAUAUAGAUAUCCACACAUAGAAUGUGAUGACGAGGCACAAGCUAUAGCGAAAAACAUGCAUGGAUUACACCACCUCCAACUCUUCGGGAAUAAGAUGACAAAUGAAGGUCUGAAGACGAUUCUCGACAGUUGUCCUCAUCUUGAGUAUCUCGACUUGCGCCAGUGCUUCAAUAUUUAUAUGGAGGGUGAUUUGGGGAGAAGAUGCACCGAACAGAUCAAAGAUUUAAGGAAUCCAUAUGACCCCACAGAUGACUAUGAAUUUGAUGCUGCAAUUCUCAAUGACGAGUCCUUUGAUGAUGAUUACCUACCUUGGUUUUCUGACAUUGAUUUGCCUGAUUAUGAUAACUACCAUGUAUUCCCUGAUUUUGACGACUUCUCUGUAUAUGUGUUUGAUGCGUAUCAGUGAUUUGCUGGUUGACGUGCUUGCAUGGUGAGGAACCCUUUUCUUGCUUUAAGUCGCAGAAUAAUUUUACUUCAUGGUUCUACGUAGCUCUUCGUGGCAGUCUGUUAUGAUGUACUAUUUCUGAUUAUUUUGGUCUGGACACGCAGGUGAAGUUUCUUUAUGGUUGCUGACACUCCGUACCAUGGUUUGAGGCAGAGAUGGUUAAGCGACCAUCCAGCACGCCUUCUGGUGUAGCUUUUGACCUGAACUUCGCAAGUGGGAGUCUUUCCUAUUUUGUUGAUGAAGAGGAGCGCUCAUAGAUCAGCGCUCCACUUGAAGUGCAUUCUUUUGUUCCUUUCGUUCUAGUCUCUGCAACUUUAUCUCCAGAACAUGUUUUAUGGCUAUGAGCUUCUGCAUAUAUAGUUCCAGUGCCUAGUCUUAUUUUGUUAUCUGUGAUUUUGGUGUGCUAACUCCAGCUGGCCAUGAUAAUGAACUUCAUAGCUGAUAAACCAAUGUCAGGCUUCUUUGUGCGGUUUUGCAUAAAAUUUACAAUCCUGUUACCUAAAAUGUUAUUCAGAAAAUCGCUUUAAUCGUUCCUAUCUAUGAGGAAUCGUGAAUGCUUUGAAAAUCGAAACAUUCACUAUAAAAUAUAAUUGACACUAAUAAGAUAGGUCAUCUAUGAUAUACCUGUAUCUCCAUGCAUAUGCAUUUGCAAUGAAUACUCCGAAGAACAUCAUAUCCUUCAUUAAGUGCACUUAAUAAAUGCGCCAAAGGUACUUGCUAAGGAAAUUCUUUACAAAAGCAUUCAUGCAUUCCCCAUGAAUUUACAAACAAAAUAAACACACCUUUCAAUGUGUGAUUGUGUGAAUAAUCCCUAUAUAUCAGUUACGUAUAUUCAACAAAAAUAAAUAAAUUAAAAUUGCAAAUAUGAUUAUCCAGGACAAAACCGAAAAUUAUGUAAAUUUUCUUAAUUAAUUAUGUCGAGACACUCUUUAAUAAAAGAUUAUCACAUCAUCCUCGUGCUUUUCUUCUCUCUCUUUUGUUCUUUUCAAUUAAUGUGUUUAUCACAUUGAGAAAGGGGAUUAUGCAUGCCGCUCUGCUCCAUGAUAAUUGCACGAGUGUGGAUUUACAGAGAGUGGGGGACCAAACUCUUUAAUUAUUAUUGCACAACAAUUAUUAAUUAUUACUGCUGCAAUUAUUUGUGGGGGAGUUAAGAAACAAUAAAAAAAUAAAAAUUACGCAACAUGUCUUGGCGGACACAUCUGUCAGACAGAGCCGGUGCUUCGACCAAACUACCUCCCGUUGACUUUGACUUGAGCAGCUGCUGGCCAGUGAGAUUUCGCCACGGCAGCCGUCUGUUGACCUGCGGUGGCAGGCCCGCGCGUGCUAGGUCGCAGCCUCGCCACAGACAACAGCUUUUACCUGCAAACAUACGCUGCAAAUAUAAACUGUGAAUUAAAAAGCUUUGCGUAUGACAGACGUCCGAGGACCACAAAGAUGGUUUUUAAAUGGGACCAUACGGUAGUAAAUUUUUCUUUUUCUUUUUCUUUUCUUUUUCUAUUUUUUUUUUAUUAAAGAGAAAAGUCAUAUGAAAGUCCAAAAUAUGUGUCCUCUCAAGUAUUCAUUUCAAUAUUUUUUUUUUGUGACAUAAAAAUUCCAAAUUUGUAUUUAUGUCACACAAAUACUCCGUUAAGAUACCGUUAAAUGAUUUUUCAACUAAAAUAAGGUCAUUUUUUUUAUUUAAAUUACGUGGGCGCCAUGUCAGUGUUUUGGUGUCAUAGAAAAAUGUUUAUAAUAAAUAUAUUACAAUGGACAAAAUUUAAGAUUUUUUUUUUGUGACUUUUGCCCUUAUUAUUAUGAUGUAGAGGAAAUGUUGCAAUUUCUAAUAUAUUGCCUACUUUUGUGAUAUGUAUACUUAAUAUUUUGAAAAUAGAAUAUUUUCUCGUUAAAUGUAAUUAGAAAUACACCAAAAGCACGUGUGCCUUGUAAUACUCAUUAGACAUAUUGAUUUUGGAAUGAUUUAGGUUCGACACAUUAUUUGAUAUAUCACUACAACGAUAAUGCAUUGGAAACUACAUGAUUUGGAAAAUCAAUUAUUUAACAAGUGCUCCAUAAACCCUAAUAAACCAAAAUCCUUAUCAUUAUACUGAUAGUGUGUAAAAUUAAGCUAGUUAGGUAGAUUAUUUCGAGAGAAAGUGAAUGUUGAUUUGAGCUCCAACAAGCGCAUUUUCUUGCAAGCCACGCUUUAGGGUCUAUUUGGUACAUUUCUAUGUCGAGAAUCAUUUUUUUUUUUCAAAAAUAGUCUGUCUAUUUCUAUUCCCCAAAACAAUUUAUGAAUAAAAAAAUGCAUUUGGUAACUAUACAAAAUUAAUAUCCUUAAAAUAGAAAAGUAAUAAAAAUGCAUUUAAUAUGAUCAACAAUUUUUUUUAUUACAUAAAAUUUCUUUUAAUUUUUCAAUACAUUUUUUUCUUUUUUUUUUUCCUUUUGUUAUUCUUCCUUGCCGCUGCCAAUCGUUGGCCACAAGCCACCGUGGCCGAGCCAAAGGUCAAUGGCAACCGACAGUGGCUGAACAACAGCAGAUAGUGGUGGGGUUCAAGGAGAAAGAAAAGAAAAAGUAACUUAUUUAUAAAAAUUGUUCAUGAGAGCAAUAAGUUACUUUUUUUUUCUUUUUUUUUCUAUUCCAAAUCUAUUUUUCCGUCAAUUUUCUAUUCCGGAGAAUAAAAAAAUUAGUUGAUAUUAUCAUAUGGAUUUAUGUUCUUUUUUUUUUGUUCUGAGGAACGAAAGAACAGAAAUUGGAAUAAAUAGAAAUGUUAUCAAACGAAGUCUACUCAGUCGGUAAUUUCAGAAAUUAGAUUACCUCAAAUGAUUCAUUCAGUUGAAUCACAUCCCUAUGGUAAUGUUUGGAUGACCUUUACCUUGUUUUAUUCGAUUUAACUCGAUCCGAUUGAGCACCACUUAGGAAGUCGGUUCGACGUCCGGCCGUAUUUUGGAGACAUUGGUUUCAAGGGUCUCUUGUCCUGAUAUUUGUCUAGUAGAUGAAUGAGGUGUGUGAUGAUAUUUUUACAGGCCGGAGCAAGUGCCGAUUUUCAGGUAUGAUCUCGGCCCAAGAGGCAUACAAGAUGAGCCGAACGUGUUGGAGUGGGUGAUAAAAUACCUUUGCGGAGAGUAUAGUUAUUUUGGUUGGACAAAUCAAGUCAUCAGUCAUCAAGUUGUCUAAUAUUUGACUAUAAAUGGAACUUAACCCUAAGGAUUAGUUUAGUCGGUUGAGAGUUUUGGAAGUUACAAUUCAAAAAUUAGAAAAUAUUUUCUUAAAAAUGAUCAAUUAUAUUAUUUUCACAAAUGAGUCAACAAAAUAUAUUUUCAUCAACAAUAGUGAUUUAUGUUCGAACAUUUUCGUGAAUGACGAAACCAAUACAGUAUGAUUCUAAAUUAUUGAGUUUUUGUAAGACAAACGCACCAGCAAUCUAACUUAGAAUCACUCUUUUUUUUUGUGCGUGUGUUUUUGGGGCUCGGAAUAUGGGAGUUGAUAUGUCAGGAAGCUAUCUCACUAGCUAUCCUUCCCAUCAGAUUCUUUAACGUACGAACACCAUGUUAAAUCUUUUUCUUCUUUUUUUCAAGACUUACAUUAAAUCACUUUCCAUGGAAUUAAAUCGUAAAAAUUAGAGCCCCUUUAAAAUAUCAUCACAUUACAUUUUAAUGUUGGGUUCACACGUUAAAAACCCAAUACACUUAUCAUGAAAGAUUGCUAAGAGAAAACUCAAAUCUAAACUCGUUAACUUAUUCAAUUUGAUCCAUUUACGCUCAAAACCUUUGGUCAAUGAAUUAUAACUGAGUUAGAUAUAUUAAAUACUCCAUAUUACAGCACAUCCUUGUAUGAGAUUUCAAUAGCUUAACAUUCUCGUGCAUGCAUGUAGACAAUUUCCCCCUUCACACAUGCGAGCCACCAAUGUUAGGCUCACUCCCUCUCAAUCCUAAUAUCCUUCUACACCAACAUUAUCUCAACUCGAGAAUAUUUAAUCUUUACCUUGGCUUGGUCAAAUUGCAUAUACUGGUGAGGACCAAUAGGUAUCUUUCAGAUUCCACCUUAAUUGUCUUCGCUCAACCAAGCUUGUCGAGAGUAGAGCGACACCAUUCAUCACCUCAAUUAAGGGGCCACAUUUGAGAUUUUCCUUCCUUGAGAUAUUCAUCGGGCACUCAUACAUAUUGGGAUCCGGCCACGAAUCAACAUUGACUCUAAUACCAUUUUCAGAUUGACACAACAGAAGCUGAGUACCUUCAUUUGAUGAGAUCACCAAGAGGAAGCACUAGUCAAAGCCCAUUAAAUUACCUAGUUGGACCCAAGUUUACUCAAAAACUUGAGUUAAUCAAUUAUGAAUCAGCUAAAAUGUAUCACUUGCACCACAUUUACUUUGUGGGAUUUCUCUCAGCUAACAUCCGUGCACAUGCACCUUAACAAAUACUAAAUGCAAUCCGAUUCCUCAUGUGUCGAAGGUACCCCUUGAAGCAUCAAAUACAACGAUAGGGUUUGCGUAGCUUGCUUGUUGUAGUAGAUUUUUUCUUGAUUACUACCUUACCAGCCCUUAGCAUUGAGGUGACAGGCUACCAAUGCCAUAAUUAUUUGUAAUGUCAAUUCAUUGGAAGGUAAAUAUUAAUGAGUCACGUUUUACUUAUUAUGUCUUUAAAAUGUACAAGUUUUCAAUGAAGUAACUGAAUAUAUUAAAAUUCUCUUCUUUUACUGUAUUUAAAUAUGUACUUCUUUAAUUCUCAAAAUCUCUUAAAAAGCAUUCUUUCUAUUUUUAGUUAAUUUAAUGUAGGCAUUAGUUUUCACGGGAAAUGAAAAAGAAGAGAAUUGGAGGAAUUUCUUGUCCUCAUUUUGUAUUGUUUUUCAUUCUUUAUAUGUAUUAAUAAUAUAAAGUGUGGACAGCAAAAGGAAACAAUGUAAAUAUACAGAAUUAAUAUGGAUCACUUAUUGAUUCAGUCAAUUAAUCUAAUCUUAGAUUAAUUCAAUUAUCUCUUCACCACAUAAAUCAUAUCUCCAACACUCCCUCUCAAGUUGGUGGCUUGUAUAUGUCCAAAACACCUAGCUUGUUUAACAAAUGUGUGUUUUCUUUGACACAAGGGUUUAGUAAAGAUAUCCGCGAGCUGUUUUCAGGUUCCAAUUCCCUUUAUCCUAUUAUUCCUUCUUGGAUCUUAUCUCGAGAGAAAUGAUAGUCGACCUCUAUAUGUUUUGUUAUCUCAUGGACCAUAAGAUUAGCUGCAAGCUUUAGUGUUGCAUCAUUAUCACAAAAACAACGUAGUAAACCUUUUAACUCGCACACCAAGGUCAAGAGGUAGACCUCGCAUCUAUACUAUCUCAUAAAUAGUCUUGGUCAUGGCUAGAUACUCAACUUUAGCCAAUGAUAAUGAUACGGUUGUUUGCUUCCUCCUCUUUUAUUUAUUUAUGUAUUUAUUUUUUUAUAACAAAAGUAAGGAUGUUCUAAGCUUAAUGCAAAAAAUCUAGUAAUGGAGCUCCAGGUCAUAAGACAGGUGGCAUGGUCUAUGUCACAAUAAUCCGUCAUCUCCAUGUUACACGCUUGAGAAAGAAGUAUUCCAAAUCCUAGACAUUUCUUCAAAUCACAACUUUUAGAGCUACAUUCAUAUGUGAUUGUUUUUGGUCAUGCAUAAACCAACUCAGCAUUAGCACUGCUUAGCAUAUGUUUGGUAUUGUCAUGGUGAGAUAAUCUUUUCUACGAGCCUCUAAUAGCUUGAUGGAUCCUUGAGCAGUGGAUUAUCAGCAUUUGAUAGUGUUCCACAUAAAAAAAAUGUGAAUAACUUGAUAUCUUGCUCGAUAGGAAUAGUAGCUAGCUUACAUUCUAACAAACUUUCUUUUGAUAUAAUUUCAAGGACAAAUUUCCCAUUAGCUAAUAGGAGAUUCCCAUGUUCAAUUGGGCAAUUUUAAUUCCAAGGAAAUAUAUGGGAGGUCCUAGAUCUUUAAUGUGAAAGGUAUAGUAGUGCAAAUAUUUCUUGAGAUUUUCAGCAACAACUUCAUUAGAUCCCAUAAUAAGUAUGUCAUCAAUAUAUAUCAUUAGGUAGAUAGAUGACGAACCUUUUCUCCUUAUAAAUUGUGCAUAAUCAUGUCUCAACAGUCUAAAGCCGGUAACUAUAAGUGCAUUUGUAAAUUUUGUGUACCACUAAUGAGAAGCUUUCUUAAGGCCAUAAAGUGAUAUGCAGAGACAUCAUACCUUAGACUCCUCUUGUUUUUGUAAACCCGGUGGAAGAUCCAUGUAAAUUUCUUCGUCUAGAUCACCAUGGAGAAAGGCAUUGUAAAUAUCCAUUUGAUGUAGUGGCCAAUUCUGCAAGCAACAAUGCAUAGAAAGGAGCGAACUGUGACUUUUUUUGCUAUUGGAAAGAAUGUUUUAUGAUAAUCGAAACAUUCUUUUUAUGUGAAACCUUUGGGCACUAAACGCGCCUUGUAUCGUUGGACUGAUCCAUUUGCCUUGUGUUUAAUUUUAGGGAUAAGUGCACUAGGAGUUCGAAAACUUAUUACAAAAGUGCAUUUGAGUUCUAAAACUUGCAAAAAGUGCAUUUAAGUCCUAAAACUUGUCAAAAUGUUUCAAACGAAUCCUAAAAUCGACGCCGUCUAAUUUCUUAAUGGAAAAAGCUAAUGUGGCCCCCGCGUGACUUUUUUUAAUCAUUUCUCUCUCCUUCGUAGCGAAUAGAUUAAAAAAAAUGCCACGCAUCCAAAAUGAUGCCGUGUUCUCCUUUCUGUUUCACCAUCGUGUUACCUCCCUCCGUCUGUACGUCUUCUUCACCGUUGUCUUCCUUCUCCCCCCUCCGUCUCUACGAUUUCUUUCACUAUUCCAAGCGAACCCUAAGCCCCAAAUCAAAUUCGUUCAAACCCUAAGUCCCAAAUUGAAUUCGUCCAAAUUGCAGUUCUCUUGCGAUUUGGGUCCUCAUCGACCUCAAGUUCAACGCUCGUCAUGAGUUCGUGUUCUUUCCUUUGAGGAUUGCGAGUUCGUGCGAAGUCCUCUCUUGUGGGAGUCUCAACAUCUUAGCAGAGAAGCGAUUGGUGUUGGGGACGAUGACAAGGUCAGCGACAGUGAUGGCGACUCCUCCUCACACAGGUAUCGUUCUUUGCAUUAUAGCAUUUUGGGUAUCUUGUGGUAAUGCUACGAUAUCUUUUAUUUUGCUACGAUUUCUUUUAUUUUGCAAAGGUGCUUUAAUCUUUGCAUUAUGCAAAACGACAUCAGUUGGCGUCCUCAUUUCUUCAUUAUUUGAAGUUCAGAGAGCUCGAGUUUGACACACAUCGACUUUAUGUUAUCUUCUUUGACGAUUGCGAGUUCGUGCAAAGACACGUCUUGCGGGCAUCUCGGCAUUGAUAACCCACAGCAGAAGGCAUUCUACUCAAUAAGGCGGACACCUCAGAUCCUGCUUGGACGAAACAGAAGAUAUUGUCAAAAAAUAGAAGUACGUCUUGUUCAUUAACAUCUCAGAAAUAUUCCGCCAUAGUUAGGGCAGUCAAACCAACUCUCAUACGAGCUCCGGGGGGUUCAUUCAUCUGACCGUAGACUAGAGCGACCUUAGAUUCUGCAAUAUUUUGUUCAUUAAUUACUCCAGAUUCUUUCAUUUCCAUGUAAAGAUCAUUUCCUUCACGAGUACGUUCACCUACUCCUCCAAAUAUGGAUACCCCCCCCCCCCCCAUGAGCUUUAGCAAUGUUGUUGAUCAAUUCCAUUUAGUAGCAGAGCAAGCGACAUCAGGGACGACGAUGGCCGUCUCAGCGACGGAGCAAGCAACAUUAGGGACGGCGAUGGCAACUCCUCAUGCAGGUAUCACUCUUUACAUUACAGCAUUUGGGUAUGUCAUGGUAAUAUUACGAUUUUUGUUUUUGUUUUACGAGGGCGUUUUACUCUUUGCAUUAUGGUUGUUUUGCAUUUUCCAAUUGUUGCGAUAAAUUAGAACAUUGUUGCAAAUUAGAACAUCGCCUACCGAAAGGCUAACAAUAGGUCCCUCGCUCUCACUAUUGAUCAUGUAGUUGCAUUGUGAUUGUAAAGCACAUUAUGCUAAUUUGUUGUUUAUGUAUUGAUUAUUAGUCUUUUAACUUGAACAUUGCUUCAAUAAUUUGAUGAUGGAAAGUACUCUGCUCUUUGUUUCUGUUCUCUUGUAUGUUUCUAUUCCAUUGUAGGUCCAAUUGCCGAGAAUAAAGUUUAUUUCACUGUUCACUAUGGAGGUAAAUUUAAAGUCGGCCCACCAUUGGAAUACAUAGGUGGAAGAGAUGAUCUUGUUGAAAUAAGUUUAAGUAAGAGUUCACUGUCUAGUAUAAUUGAAGCUAUUGAGGCUUUGGACGUGUGUAAAAUAGAGAAACUCUUUUACAGAGUUCCUAGAAGUACGACUCUUGUAAACGGCAUAACUCUUAGGUAUUUGUGGGAUAACUCUGAUGUGAUGGAUCUAUUUUAUCAUCAUCUGUGCUCUGAAAAUAUUAUGCUAUAUGUUGAGCAUGUUGAUGAGAAAAAGAAAGGAGCUGAGAUGGGGGGUGUUGAGAUGGAAACUGGAGGUAUGUCUAAUGUGAUUAGGAAUAUUGUUGAUGACGAUGCCAAUAAGGAUCUAGAUGAGGAAGAGGAUGAUGAUGCACAUAAUUUGGUGGAUGUGGAACAGUCGAGUGAUGAUGAUGAUUUUGAACUGGUUGAUGCAAGGAAAAAAUUAAAGGAAUUUUCAGCAAGACAUAAGCUCAAAAUUGGCGAUUAUAGUGAGGCAACUAGUACUUCCCAACCACCGAUUGUGGAUGAGGCUCAAUCGUUAGAUGAUUCUAGGUACGAAACAGAGUAUGCUUUAGAUGAGGAAGACAGUCUUCAAUCAAUUUUAAAUGAUGAGGGUGACGAAGAGGUUGAUGUUAUCUCAAAGAGGAGAAGUAGAUUCCCAUCAUAUGAUCAAAGUGGUACAAAUCCAGUAUUUAUUGUUGGCAUGACAUUUGAGGAUGCAACUGAGUUCAAAAAUGCAAUUUUGAAGUAUUCUGUGGCUAAGCAAAGAGCAAUCAAAUACACUAAGAACACAAAAAGCUUUGUAAGAGCCAGGUGUAUCCAGGAAAAUUGUAAGUGGAUGAUCUAUGGUGCUAUUGAUAGCAAAACUAGAUCAUUUCAUUUGAGAAAGUAUAUAAAUCAGCAUAUAUGCAGUAUCACUUUCGAGAAUAAGAGAGUGUCUAGUAAUUAUUUAACUAAGCACUUCAUGAUUCUCAUUUCUGCAACGCCUAAAAUCAAAGCACUAGAGUUAAAGAAAUUAGUCAAAGAACAACUGGGAGUAAAUGUCACUUUCAGUCAGUGUAGGAGAACAAAGUUGAAAGUAUUGAAGGAACUACAAGGUAAUUACAAGAAGGAAUAUGCACAGAUGUACGACUACUUGGGAAAGCUUUACACUGCAAGCCCUUCAAGCAAUUUUAAAUUGAAAUUUGAAAGGCCAUUGCUAAAUUCUCUACCAUUAUUUGAUAGGGUUUACAUUUGCUUUGAUGCUUGCAAGAAAGGUUUUUUUGGCUAGAUGUAGGAAGAUCAUUGGAUUAGAUGGAUGUUUUUUGAAGGGUUUGAUCAAGGGCGAGUUGUUAUGUGCCGUAGGAAGGGAUGGCAACAAUCAAAUGUAUCCAGUGGCAUGGGCAGUGAUAAAAAUCGAGAAUAAGGACACAUGGACUUGGUUUAUCGAAUUGUUAAAGUCAGACCUCGAUAUGUGUAAUGGUGACGGAUGGGCUUUGAUAAGUGACCAACAAAAUGUAUGUUUUUCUUUUUGUUUUCAUUUGUAAAUUGAUUGUAACAUUACAAUGUUUUUCUUUCUGUUUUCAUAUAUAUUUUCUUUUUUUGGGUAAUUGUCAGGGUCUCGUCUAAUCUGUAGCUGAACUUUUGCUAAAUGCGGAGCAUAAUAUGUGUGCAAGGCACAGAUAUUCCAACUUGGGUAAAAAAUACAAAGGAAAACAAUUUAUGAGACAAUUUUGGAGAUGUGUCAAGAGUAAUAAUAUGUCAGAUUUCGAGGUGCAUAGAUAGAGGUUGAAGGAAAUGACUCAAGAAAGUCAUGAUAAUUUAUUUUGUAUUGAGCCAAAACAUUGGUGCAAAGCCUUAUUUGACACCAACAUUAAAUGUGAUGUCGUUGAUAAUAAUCUCAUUGAAGCUUUUAAUGGCAGGUGUGUGGAAGCUAGGUGCAAGGCCAUUGUGAGUAUGCUGGAGGAUAUUAGAAUCAUGGUUAUGAAUAGAAUGCAUACUCAGAGGGAUGGAUGUGCUAGGUGGACUGGAAAUUAUGGUCCAAGGAUUCUACAUAAGUUACAUGAGAAUACAACUGCUAGUAGGUAUUGUCAUUUGAUAUGGAAUGAAGACGAAGGCUAUGAGAUUACGGAAGAUGGUGACAAAUAUGUUGUUGAUUUGAAUUUAAAAACUUGUUCUUGUAGAGCUUAGGAACUUAGUGGAAUUCCAUGUUGCCAUACCAUUUGUGCAAUACACCAUAAGAGAAAUGACCCGAUUGACUAUCUAGCUGAGUGUUUCAAUAAGGCAAAGUAUCUAAGUGCUUAUCAAUUCAUGAUGUCUACAGUGAGAGGACAGAAAUUUUGGAAUAAAACCAAUAAAGAAGCUCCUCAACCCCCACCAAUGAAGAACAUGCCUGGUAGGCCAAAAAGGAGUAGAAAAAAGCAACCAAUUGAGCUUGUAACAGGUGAUAGAAUGACUAAAAAUGGUAAGCUAAUGACUUGUUCUGCUUGCAAUGUGGUUAGACAUAACUGCAAGGGAUGUCCUUUAAAAAAGGUAUUUUCUCAACUAACUGAUCAUCUAAAUGUUGGGCAUGUCACUUUAACAUGUUGUUAAUCAAUGCUUAAUAUGUGCUUCUCAGGCCAAUACUCGGGCCAAUGUAUGUACAUUCAAUGCUCGGGCCAAUGUAUGUGCAUCCAAUGCUCGUGCCAGUGCAAGUAUAGCUGAAGUUCAUGCUCAAUCUCAAGCUAAUUCCACUAGACCAAGGCUCGGAAAAAGACAAGUAAGUUGUCAUCUAACAAUUAUUAUAAGUUUUAUAUGUCAAGGUUUCAAUUCAGUAAUUAUGAAUAUAUAUUCAGGCUAAAGCUAAAGCAAUGACAAGCGUAACUGGAGGAGGAUUCGAAAGCCAUGCCAAUGCUUCUGCAAAUGCCAAUUCAAUAGGAGACAAUAGUGGGCAUGUUAAUGCUUCUACUCAGGCUAGUGCAGAUGUAAGAGGGUGUAGUGCUUGUGCAAAUGUAAGAGAAUGUACUGCCACUGCUUCUGCUUAGGCUAGUGCUGAUGUUAGAGGAUGUAUUGAUGUGGCCAAUACUGUUGGUAAAGUUCGUUCUGAUCAAAUGGAAGGCAUUUAUUGUACACUGGCCAAUAUAAUGGGUAAGCAUAGACCUGAAAAAAAAUUCAAGUGAGUAAUAUCUUAAUCCCCAAGCAUACAUGUAUUGUGACUACAUUCUCAUGUUUAAUGAAUUUUUUAUUAUUUCAUAUUAAAAACCUGCCAUUGAAAAUGACAUGAUACAAAGAGAAUCACAGGCCAAGAUGAUGAAAAUGGUAGGGUUGGGUGUUGACGCAAAUCCUAUGACAAACCUUCAUAUUCUUAAGGUGAGUAAUAUUUCUAAAAUUUUCUAAUAGCAAUUACUUAUCUCCUUAAGCUAAAAACAUGCUCAUUCUUAUGUACCCUAAUACAACUGGUGCAAGAAUCUUUAACCUACCAUACAAAGGGGUAGUUUCAAGAGCUACGUCAACAGUAAAGGUGCAUUCCCAGGUCAGUGCACAACCUCAGUCAUAUCAUGUAUCAACAACUUCUUGAAAACAAAUUGCAGUGACGCCGAAGCCACCAUUACAACCCAAGGCCAGUUCCCAACCUCAAUCAUCUCAUGCAACAGUAGCUCCUUCAAAGCACGUUGCAAUGAAGCCAAAGGCACUAUCGCAACCUGAGGCUAGUUCCCAAGCUCAGUCAUCUCAAGCUACAAGAGCUCAGAAGCAUCUUAAUUUAAAGCGAAAGGCACCAUCACAACCAAAGGCAAGUUCCCAACCUCAAUAAUCUCAUGCAACAAUAGCUCCUCGAAAGCAUGUUGCGAUAAAGCCAAAGCCACUAUUGCAACCUGAGGUCAGUUCCCAAGCUAAGUCAUCUUAGGCUACAAUAGCUUUGAAGCAUCUUGGUUUAAAGUGAAAGACACCAUCACAACCCCAGGCAGCUCCUCGAAGACAUAUUGCGGUGAAGCCGAAGCCACUAUUGCAGGCUCAAUUAUCCCAGGCUCGGUCAGCUCAAGCUACGACAACUCCUCCAAAGCCUAUCGCUGUAAGACCAUAUAUAAGGAAAAUCGCUAGAAUUAUGAAUCAAGUGAAGGCUGGACCUAUUGGACCACUGGAGACCAUCAUAUUGGAUUGAUAUGUUUGCUGAAAUUGGUGUUGUUAGGUGAAUUUAUGCCAAUCAUUAGCUGGUUUUCUAUAUGAGACAUGUAGCAUUUGUGCAUAAGACCUUUUGUGUACUGAAAGUGCAUAUUUUGUUGAAAAGAACCUUUUGUGCACUGAAAGUGCAAGCAUUUUGUUGAACAAAGCCUUUUGUGCAUUGAAAAUGUAAGCAUGUUGCUUUUGUCAAUGAAUCGUGUUUCAACAAGUUAUGUGGGAUGCUUGGUUUUGGUUUGGAUAAUGCACGAAAGUGGUUGCUCUUCAGGAUUGUUAAUAGGUGAUUACUGAAAUUGUCCAUGAAGAAUUUUCAUUCUUCCAAUACUUUUGUCAUCUUCUUUCCCAUUUAUUGUUAAUAGGAUUGUUAAUAGGUUCCAAAUUUAUUUUGAUAGCAAUAGCUCAUAUAGUGCUAUUGACAAGCACACAAAUCAAGCAACAUUUUUCAAUGCGAAAUAAACUCACAUCAGAUUUCAUUCACAUCUCAAUUAUCCACAACUAGUGUUUAAACUUACAAACUUAGAAAUAAGGUACUAUGGAAGACUUAGAAAAUUCUCACCAACUUUCACAAUACAUAUAACCAAUACAGCAAUAUAACACAUGCAUACAAUGAAUGCUAAUUGAUAUAGAAUCUUUCCUUUCUUUACUCGUGUGAGCUCUUCCUUUAAACGUCUAUUUUUCGCCUUUUGAAUCUUCAUUUCAGCUAGCAAUGAGCUCACGUCAACUUCGUCACGCCUCGAUUGGCUUGAUUCACAUAAUGCUUGAUUUCUUUCAAGUAGGUUAACUAUCAUGUCCCUCACAUGAUCUGGUAUCUUUGGAUCAAGCUACAUGAAGAAAUCGCAGCAACUUGGACUAUUAAUCUUAGCACAUCCAUGGAACAUUCUUCCUGUGUUUUUCCUUGUCUUUGCCAUAAGAAUUGGCGAUUGAAGACCACAAUAACAUGCUAGCUCCGAGUUGAUCUCAUUAGGAGUUACGCCACUUGAUUCAGAUGUUGGUGCCCUCAUUCUUCUAGGCUUCGUAUUAUAGGAACAUAAUAGAAGUAUAUUAGAAUGGAAAAUAACAAAAUGCUAUAAUGCAGAGAGCGAUACCUACUUGAGGAGGAGUCUCCAUUGCCGUCGCUGACCCUGUUGUCGUCCCCGACACCAAUCGCUUCGCUGCUGAGAUGUCAAGACUCCCACAAGAGAGGACUUCGCACGAACUCGCAAUCGUCAAAGGAAAGAACACGAACUCACGGCGAGUGUCGAACUUGAGGUCGAUGAGGACCCAAAUCGCAAGAGAACUACAGUUCGGACGAAUUCGAUUUGGGGCUUAGGGUUUGGAUGAAUUCGAUUUGGGGCUUAGGGUUCGGAUGAAUUCGAUUUGGGGCUUAAAGUUCUCUCGGAAUAGUGAAAGCAAUCGUAGAGAUGGAGGGGGGGAGAGGGAAGACGACAGUGAAGAAGACGUACAGACGAAGGGGAGGUAACACAAUGGUGAAAAAUAAAGGAGAACACGAUGUCGUUUUGGAUGCGUGGCAUUUUUUUUUUUUUAAAGCCACGUGGGGGCCAUGUUAGCUUUUUUCAUUGAUAAAUUAGAUGGCAUCGAUUUUAGGACUCGUUUGAAACAUUUUGACAAGUUUUAUGACUUAAAUGCACUUUUGCAAGUUUUAGGAUUCAAAUGCACUUUCGUGACAAGUUUUAGGACUCCUGGUGCACUUAUCCCUUAAUUUUAUACACGCAUUUACAACCAAUUGGAUUCUAAUGAGCAAGAAAGGACACAAUAUACCAAGUCUGAUUUUCAUUAAGGCACAUGACUGGAGAUGUGCUCCCGACUUCUUAUCACCCCCAAUCGAGGAUGGAGGAGGCAUGACAUAUGAGUAGACCAACCCUCAAUUGGCUUACGUUUCGCUUUGCCUAUUUACUUUUGUGUUGUAUAUUCAAUCGAUGCUUCUUCACAUUGAAUCAAAGGAAAAAAUUUCGAACCUUUGUCUCGACUAACUAAAUUUCAAAUAAAGCUCCAAACCCACCAACUAGACAUUUCUUCAUCAACCAGCUUGCACUCGUAGCUCACGUUCGGAAGUAAUUUAAUAGGAUAAGAUGAAUUUGUUUUCGAGCAUUUUGAAGGGGGGUUGGAAGGGAGAGACUUGGAAUACCGACGAUAUCCCCAAUGACACAUCCACCAUGCCAGCAGAUGGAGAUGUGCGCCAAGCUUCUUAUCACCCCUGACCAAGGAUGGAGGAGGCACAACGUUCGAGGAGACCAACACUUAAUUGGCUUAAGGUUUGCUUUGCCUUGCCUAUUUACUAUGCAUUCUAUUUCCUUCUUCAAUUUACUUUUCAAUCGAAGCUUCUUCAAUUGGGUCAAAGGAUCGAACAAAAUCAUGACUACUUUAGCCACUGGAAUAAGCAUUAUUUGUUGCUUUGCCUAUUUACUUUUGGUGUUUUAUGUACUUCUUCAAUUUACUUUUUCAAUCAACACUUCUUCACAAAGGAAAAAAAAGUGAACCUUUGUCUCGACUAACCGAGUUUCAAAUAAAGCUCUGAGCCCACUGACUAGACAAUUCUCGACCAGCCAGAUUGUACGCAUGGCUCAUGGGCGGAUGCAUUUUUAUAAGGAUCAAAUGAAUUUUUUUUUGAACAUAUGAGAGAGAGAGAGAGAGAGAGAGAGAGUUGGAACACUGGCAAUGUCCAUCAGGCCAAUGGACGGAGAUGUGCUCCCAGUUUCUUGUCACCCUCGACCGAGGAUGAAGAAGGCACGACAUACAAUGAGACCGACACUUGGGUUUUGCUUUGCCUAUUUACUUGUCGUGUUUUAUUUACUUACACCGUUACUUUUUCAAUUCACGUUACUCACGUAAGGUCAAACGAAAAUUUUUUGAACCAAUGCUUUAGCCAUCGGAAUAAAAGCACCCAGGCCGCCCGUGCAAAUCGACCAUUUGACUGGCCGUUGAGCUCAGGAACUCAGAUAAGAUUAACUAGUAAACUUUAAAUCUCUUAUUUAAGAUAAAAUUCACUCGAAAUCCUCUUUCGAUCGAGGAUAGGGGUGAGCGGUUCCAGGUUUCUUAUCACCUCCAAUCGAGGAUAGGGGUGAGCGGUUCCAGGUUUCGGUUUGGUUCCGCCUGGAACCUGGAACCUACCAUCGGGUACAGAUUCCUCAUAUUUUAGAACCUGGAACCUACCCAUCACAGGUUCCAGGAUCGGUUCCAGGUUCCAACAGGUUUUUUUUUUUUUUUUCAUUUUUAAUUUUAAAAAAUGAAAAUAAACACAGCAAUAAUAAACAAUCUUAUACCUCUUAAUCCUCACUUUUUUUUGAGCUUAUCCUUCAAAUCAUGAUUAACACAAAAAAAUAGUUUGAACUCAACAUAACGGGGUCCAACACCUUGACAAUCCUUCAAGGAGCAGUACUCCAAAACUGUAGAUGUCUAAUUUUUGUGUGGGUUCCGGAGUUUUCAUGACUUCGAGAACCCGAUAACCUGCACUUCUAGUUCUAGGAGGCACUGUAGGAGUGCGGAUCAGAGGAGUCAGGCCAAACUCUAAGAUGCAACCUUCAAGAUAUGUUGCCAUGGAUAAACCUCCCGCCUCUGGCUGAAUGGAUAUGAGCAAUGCCUUUAGCCACUCCUAGAGAAAUCUUCACCCGCAAUGCCCAGUCCAAUGGUUGUCUCCCACCUUAUGCAAAUCAUUAUCAGAAGGUAACCGUCAACAAUGCAGCGAAUAGGAGACAACCUACACUUCUUUCGACAAACCUUCCCCAUGUAUCCCACCUCACAUUGUCGUGGUCGGGAUAAUCAUUCGCAUAUGACAAGUCUCCAACAUACAUAGUCUGUCCUUUCUGCGGAUUAUGCUCAUAAUGGGCGAGUGUUCGGUUUGAAUCAAAAGUCUGACCAAGAUCCCUUGCAAUGGUCAUCGGCAUGCUGAGCACAGAAAGAAGUAGAACCAUGGAUGCAUGUAAAUUACCGGCAUAACUAAAUUUGCUGCGACUUAUUGAUGAAAAUGAUUAUCAAAACUAAAUGAUUCUGCAAAGACUCAUAGUACAUACACAGGAAUGAGCUUUUGAAGCUACUUUGAGUCAUUGACUAUCUAUGCAUGACAAUAUGAUUUACUUUUCCUAUGAGACCAAAAGUAUAUGGAACAUCAGGACCAACCUCUGGAGGAGUAAGGAACCAGAACUGUUGGACCGUGUGUCCAAUUCCAACUUCAUAAUAGUAUUUAGUGUGUACUGCAAGUAAACGGAAUAAACAUCAGCUACAUUUACGAAAUUUUGCAAACCAGGCACCAAAAAAUUAAUAUUUCUGGAGGAAUUUAGAAAUUUACCAUCAAGUUUUUCAGGGUGCAAUGGUGGAUGUAACCAGAAGUAUAAUUGUAGAACUUAUAAUGAUUAACUUUGCCCUUUGCCUUUUUCUUGUGCUUGUUGUUUUCACUCCAAUAACGCAGUGCACUGGACCCAGGUUCAUCCGGAGUCACCCAUGACACAAUCACUCCUUUUCCCACAUGAUCUCCUUGGGUAAUAUGUACCUAAAUACUCGCGCCAAAAUCAAAACCAAAUCAAAAAGCACAACGGAAGUGCUGGUCUUCCCUCCAUUGCACAAAUCAGCCCCAUUCAAAACCAGAACAAGAACAGCCCCAACAUUAGCCACUGAACAGCAAGAUGAAGAUCCCAGAACAGCUAUCUUGGUCUUAUUUUAGGAUAUGGAAGAACCUACGUGACACAACCCCACAAAUUCCCUUCCCUCACUAUGUAUGUACUUGGAUCAGGGCACACAAGCAUGACACUCACAUCUCAAAAAUCGACCAAAUAAAGCAGCUAAAAUGUUAGAUUAGAUCUAACAGUUAAGAGAAGAAACAACAAGAGUUUAGACCCGCGAUUGAAGUUGCAGGAGGCGAGUUUCUUCGGUGUUGAGGGCAGCGAGCGGUAUCAAGGGACGUCAGGCGGUGUUGAGGGGGUCGAGUGGGCGUUGAGGGGGCCGUGCGGCAUUGAGGGGCCGAGCGGCGUCGAGGGGGCGUCGAGGGGCCGAGCAAGCAUCAAGGGCGUCGAGGGGGUCGAGCAGCGUUGAGGGGCCGAGAGGCGUCGACGGGUGGCGCGGACGGCGCGACAGCUCGUCGGGCUCAACGGCUCGUCGGACGAGCGGUGGGUGGUGGUGGUUCGGUGGCGAAGAGGUGGUGGUGAGUAGGGAGUGGGGUGGCGGUGCGGUGGUAGGUGAAGCAACAGCAGCAAGAGGAAGGAAGAAGAAGAAGAGGAGAAGAAGGGGGGGUUCGGCCGAGAGGGGGAAAGAGGAGAGAGAAAGAAAAGAAAAAAGUUGGGGGGGAGGAAGUGACGUGAGGAGGAAAAUGGGGAGAAAAGAAAGAGAGAAAAAGAGAGGAGAAGGGAGGGAAAUCCGUUGGGGGAAGUGAGGGGCUAGGUUUUUUUUUUCUUUUAAUUUUGACCGGUUCCUAGAAAAAGGGAACUGGCAACCGGAACCGGUCUCUUUAGAACCGAGAACCGACCCUCCGGUUCGGUUCUCCGAUUUCCGGUUCUACCCGGAAACCGUGCUCACCCCUAAUCGAGGACGGAGAAGGCACGACAUACGAUGAGACCGACACUUAGGUUUUGCUUUGCCUAUUUUACUUAUAGUGUUUUAUUUACUUAUUCAGUUACUUUUUUAAUUCACACUACUCACGUAAGGUCAAACGAAAAUUUUUUGAACCAAAGCUUUAGCCAUUGGAAUAAGCACGCCCAUGCAAAUCGACCAUUUGAUUGGCCGUUGAGCUCAGGAACUCAAAUGAGAUUAACUAGUAAGCUUUAAAUUUCUUAUUUAAAACAAAAUUCACUCGAAAUCCUCUUUCGAGGAAAAAAAAAGAAAAUCCCUUUUUUUUUCUGUUUUAAUUUGGAAUAUUCAUUAAAACGAGAUGAGAAAACCAAAACGGCACGGAACCAUCCCUCCCUCCAGCCAAAUCCGGGGGGGCGCUCCGCUCCCCCCUCCCCAUGGCGGCCCCCGACGAGCCCCCGCCGCCGCCCGACUGGCUGGAGCUCCCGCGGGAUAUCGCGACGACGAUCUUGCUGAAGCUCGGCGCCGUCGAGAUCCUCACGACAGCGGAGUUGGUGUGCACCGACUGGCGCGCCCUCUGCCUGGACUCCACCAUGUGGCAGACCAUCGACAUGCGCAACGACGGGGACCUGCCGGACGACGACCUCGCCGACAUGUGCUGCCGCGCCGUCGACCGGAGCGACGGCGGCUGCCUCGACCUCAACAUCGAGUACUUCGGCGACGACGAGCUCCUCCAGUACGCCGCCGACUGGUAACUCGCCGAUUCCCGCUUGAAUGAAUUUCGCGCGGUUUUGUUCCUCGGUCUGGUUUUGGUGGGCCUCGGAAUGAUCGCUGAUGGGCGAGCGCGACGCGUGGUCCGGUUCUUUUGUGCGUACGCCGUUGUUGGAGAGAAUUGAGAUGAUGGUUAGUCGCCGAAGAUGAGCUUGUUUCGGCAAUUGGCUGAUCGGUCGUUGCGAUUGUGUAGACCUAGAUUGCGGCGGUAGCAAGUGCGUGUGUAUACCGUUGAUUUCUCUGGGCUGAAGUUGUGCAGGAAUCGCGAAAUUGUGUAGGAAUGAAUCGUAUUGAGCACGAGUUUACUUCUCUUAUUCACCAUGGCCUCAUCACGAGGCGGAGGUAUAAAUGUGAGGCGUCGAGUAGUCCUCAGGAAGUGAACAUUCUGCACACUUGAAAAGUCCCUUUUUCCCCCUUGUCCUCAAGAAUUGGAAAUGAAAAAAAAGAGAAGAUGGACACACCAGAUGAUGAGAACAGAUUGUAUUUGGAAAACUUUGAUCAGCUACAUGUUCUGGAAACUAACUGAUGAAAAUAUCAUGCGUGGAAAUUGAGUUCUGAUCCUGAAAUAGCUCCCGAGAAUGAGGGUAGAGAUUUUUUACGUGAAAGGAUGCCACCUUUGUUACUUUCUCUCUCCUUAGGAGUUCUCAAAUGGCUUCUUUACUCUGUCUCUAUGUUCCGUAUGUUCAGCCUCAGUAUCUUUCAUUUUUAGCUGUCAUUUGAACAUUAGGAUGAGGCAAAAGUUCAACCCAAUUGAAACCAUGAAGGAGCAUUGAACUGAGGUUGUGAAAAGACUGAUACAAUGCCGUCUGUUGAGUAUCGGGCAUUACUAAAUGAAAUGAGGAACAUGAACUGUGACAGAGCUUCCAUAAGUGCUUGAUAUGGCAGAAGCACUUCUAUUUUACUUCACUCUAGGAUCUUCUUUCCCCUAUGUGCUUUUUUUCCUUUUGAUCAGUUUAUGCGACGCAUUUACUCUCCUGUUUGCUAAUAGUUAUGGGGAGAUAGGUGCUAUAGAAGGUAUAUAACUCAACAAAAUAGGGUAUAGCCAUGUAGCUCCAUCACCUUCUCAGCCUUGGACAAUUGUAGCUUUAUCCCAUGCUUGCCAAAACACUUGAGUAUGCCUCAGGUUCCAGUGAUAUCAAUCUUAAACUGUUUUUUCCCCUUAUUUUGUUCAGCAAAGAAAAUAUUCUAGUUUAAUUCACCGCUGGAUUUGUCUUCUAUUUCCUGGUCGAGACUCCGCGCUCAGUCUUCAUCAUUGCGUUUUCAUUGAACUUGCAGAGACAGGUUAGGUACAUUUGAUGGCAUUUUUGCAGGUCUUGGAUAGGUACAUAAUUGUCUUGAUCUGACCAGUGGAUGGCACUGUCAGUGUUUUGAUUCCACAGUAUACAACUGAAGUUACUGCUUGAGUUAUGGCAUGGAAGUUUUACGUUUUGGAGUCUUUUCGGUUCUUAAAAUGAGUUUCAGAGUCUAAUAGUGUUAUGUUUGCUUUUGUUGAUAAAAUUCCUAUGAUGAAGGGUUUUAUGAGGAGACUUUGUUAAUGGGUGCCUCUGGUAUAGUUGUUAACCACACAUAAUAAGGAAAUGUAAUUACUCUAAUUAUAUAUAACAUGAGAAAUAUGGUGCAUAAAAAUCGACAAACUCUUUUUAUCGAGGUGUUAAAAAAGUUCCCAUGGACACAUAUUGAAAAAAAAAAUGAUCAGAUUAGCUCUCUUUAUUGACUUAAGUUUCUCUCUUUCAUGGUGUUUUUCUUCCUUUUACUGAGCAUGAAGUCCAGAACAGAGCUUUUGGAUUGUGUUUGAUUGUUGACUGCUGGAUAUAUUAUGUUUAUUAUGGAACUUUUAUUAUAGUUUGAGGCUGGAAUAGAACAUAAUUUCCAUUGAUUUGAUUAGGUUUUGAAUUUGAUCUUACUUUUCUUGACGUCUUGAUUCAUUAACUUUAUAUUUGUUUUCCUUCUACACAUAUUUUGUGUAAUCUGCGUCUUAUUAUUAUUUCGGAUAAAUAUGGCAGUCUUGCUUAUUAAAAGGCUAUUCUGAUAGGUCAAAAGUGGACCAAGCAUCGCAUCUCUCAAUUGCAUAGAUCUCUGUUUAGUUUACAUUCUUGUGAUGCCAUGGGUAUGCAAAGGCGGACUUCAUUAACAAAUGUGGCAUAGUUGACCUUUUUUAACAUGACUUGAAAGAAUUCCAAUCAAGGCCGCAACAGUAGAGAAUUCUUGAUCUAGGGUUCUGGCUGAUUUUAUCAUAUUUCCGUAUUUAUUGACAUGUCUCAUUAACGAGUGCCCGUAGGGCAUUUAUUAAACAUACUGCAUGAGGAAAGUUCCAUUGUCCGCAACACUAGUUACACACUUCACUAGAACAAUUGUGGAUUAUAACUUGUGGUGUUCCUUAAUUAGCCACUAAGAAGUGCCCAAGGGAUACUGAUUAACAAAUUAAUGUUGUUGAAAUACAAUUACUUUUUGGCCGAUGAAAAUAAUCUCUCUACACACCCCUUGCUCUAGAUCAAUAAGCUCUCAGUUCCUUAUCUUAGUGGUUAACAUUAUUAUUGCUAGCUACAACAAGUCUGCUUUUCGGUUGAACCAUCGUUGUUCUCAUGCAUUUCUUAUUCCAUUGCAGGUGCAAUCAUAUUAGACGGCUACGACUUGUAGAUUGCGGUAACAUUUCGGAUGAGGGUCUGUGUGAAGCAGCCUCAAAACUUCCUAUGCUGAAGGUCCUUGAAUUAUCUUAUUGCUCAUUCUCAAAGGAAGCCAUAGAGACUGUUGGACAAUGUUGUCCCCUUCUGAAAUCCUUCAAAUUGAAUAGCCGGGUAUAUAGAUGUCCACACAUAGAAUGUGAUGACGAGGCACAAGCUAUAGCGAAAAACAUGCAUGGAUUACACCACCUCCAACUCUUCGGGAAUAAGAUGACAAAUGAAGGUCUGAAGGCGAUUCUCGACAGUUGUCCUCAUCUUGAGUAUCUCGACUGCGGGGNNNNNNNNNNNNNNNNNNNNNNNNNNNNNNNNNNNNNNNNNNNNNNNNNNNNNNNNNNNNNNNNNNNNNNNNNNNNNNNNNNNNNNNNNNNNNNNNNNNNNNNNNNNNNNNNNNNNNNNNNNNNNNNNNNNNNNNNNNNNNNNNNNNNNNNNNNNNNNNNNNNNNNNNNNNNNNNNNNNNNNNNNNNNNNNNNNNNNNNNNNNNNNNNNNNNNNNNNNNNNNNNNNNNNNNNNNNNNNNNNNNNNNNNNNNNNNNNNNNNNNNNNNNNNNNNNNNNNNNNNNNNNNNNNNNNNNNNNNNNNNNNNNNNNNNNNNNNNNNNNNNNNNNNNNNNNNNNNNNNNNNNNNNNNNNNNNNNNNNNNNNNNNNNNNNNNNNNNNNNNNNNNNNNNNNNNNNNNNNNNNNNNNNNNNNNNNNNNNNNNNNNNNNNNNNNNNNNNNNNNNNNNNNNNNNNNNNNNNNNNNNNNNNNNNNNNNNNNNNNNNNNNNNNNNNNNNNNNNNNNNNNNNNNNNNNNNNNNNNNNNNNNNNNNNNNNNNNNNNNNNNNNNNNNNNNNNNNNNNNNNNNNNNNNNNNNNNNNNNNNNNNNNNNNNNNNNNNNNNNNNNNNNNNNNNNNNNNNNNNNNNNNNNNNNNNNNNNNNNNNNNNNNNNNNNNNNNNNNNNNNNNNNNNNNNNNNNNNNNNNNNNNNNNNNNNNNNNNNNNNNNNNNNNNNNNNNNNNNNNNNNNNNNNNNNNNNNNNNNNNNNNNNNNNNNNNNNNNNNNNNNNNNNNNNNNNNNNNNNNNNNNNNNNNNNNNNNNNNNNNNNNNNNNNNNNNNNNNNNNNNNNNNNNNNNNNNNNNNNNNNNNNNNNNNNNNNNNNNNNNNNNNNNNNNNNNNNNNNNNNNNNNNNNNNNNNNNNNNNNNNNNNNNNNNNNNNNNNNNNNNNNNNNNNNNNNNNNNNNNNNNNNNNNNNNNNNNNNNNNNNNNNNNNNNNNNNNNNNNNNNNNNNNNNNNNNNNNNNNNNNNNNNNNNNNNNNNNNNNNNNNNNNNNNNNNNNNNNNNNNNNNNNNNNNNNNNNNNNNNNNNNNNNNNNNNNNNNNNNNNNNNNNNNNNNNNNNNNNNNNNNNNNNNNNNNNNNNNNNNNNNNNNNNNNNNNNNNNNNNNNNNNNNNNNNNNNNNNNNNNNNNNNNNNNNNNNNNNNNNNNNNNNNNNNNNNNNNNNNNNNNNNNNNNNNNNNNNNNNNNNNNNNNNNNNNNNNNNNNNNNNNNNNNNNNNNNNNNNNNNNNNNNNNNNNNNNNNNNNNNNNNNNNNNNNNNNNNNNNNNNNNNNNNNNNNNNNNNNNNNNNNNNNNNNNNNNNNNNNNNNNNNNNNNNNNNNNNNNNNNNNNNNNNNNNNNNNNNNNNNNNNNNNNNNNNNNNNNNNNNNNNNNNNNNNNNNNNNNNNNNNNNNNNNNNNNNNNNNNNNNNNNNNNNNNNNNNNNNNNNNNNNNNNNNNNNNNNNNNNNNNNNNNNNNNNNNNNNNNNNNNNNNNNNNNNNNNNNNNNNNNNNNNNNNNNNNNNNNNNNNNNNNNNNNNNNNNNNNNNNNNNNNNNNNNNNNNNNNNNNNNNNNNNNNNNNNNNNNNNNNNNNNNNNNNNNNNNNNNNNNNNNNNNNNNNNNNNNNNNNNNNNNNNNNNNNNNNNNNNNNNNNNNNNNNNNNNNNNNNNNNNNNNNNNNNNNNNNNNNNNNNNNNNNNNNNNNNNNNNNNNNNNNNNNNNNNNNNNNNNNNNNNNNNNNNNNNNNNNNNNNNNNNNNNNNNNNNNNNNNNNNNNNNNNNNNNNNNNNNNNNNNNNNNNNNNNNNNNNNNNNNNNNNNNNNNNNNNNNNNNNNNNNNNNNNNNNNNNNNNNNNNNNNNNNNNNNNNNNNNNNNNNNNNNNNNNNNNNNNNNNNNNNNNNNNNNNNNNNNNNNNNNNNNNNNNNNNNNNNNNNNNNNNNNNNNNNNNNNNNNNNNNNNNNNNNNNNNNNNNNNNNNNNNNNNNNNNNNNNNNNNNNNNNNNNNNNNNNNNNNNNNNNNNNNNNNNNNNNNNNNNNNNNNNNNNNNNNNNNNNNNNNNNNNNNNNNNNNNNNNNNNNNNNNNNNNNNNNNNNNNNNNNNNNNNNNNNNNNNNNNNNNNNNNNNNNNNNNNNNNNNNNNNNNNNNNNNNNNNNNNNNNNNNNNNNNNNNNNNNNNNNNNNNNNNNNNNNNNNNNNNNNNNNNNNNNNNNNNNNNNNNNNNNNNNNNNNNNNNNNNNNNNNNNNNNNNNNNNNNNNNNNNNNNNNNNNNNNNNNNNNNNNNNNNNNNNNNNNNNNNNNNNNNNNNNNNNNNNNNNNNNNNNNNNNNNNNNNNNNNNNNNNNNNNNNNNNNNNNNNNNNNNNNNNNNNNNNNNNNNNNNNNNNNNNNNNNNNNNNNNNNNNNNNNNNNNNNNNNNNNNNNNNNNNNNNNNNNNNNNNNNNNNNNNNNNNNNNNNNNNNNNNNNNNNNNNNNNNNNNNNNNNNNNNNNNNNNNNNNNNNNNNNNNNNNNNNNNNNNNNNNNNNNNNNNNNNNNNNNNNNNNNNNNNNNNNNNNNNNNNNNNNNNNNNNNNNNNNNNNNNNNNNNNNNNNNNNNNNNNNNNNNNNNNNNNNNNNNNNNNNNNNNNNNNNNNNNNNNNNNNNNNNNNNNNNNNNNNNNNNNNNNNNNNNNNNNNNNNNNNNNNNNNNNNNNNNNNNNNNNNNNNNNNNNNNNNNNNNNNNNNNNNNNNNNNNNNNNNNNNNNNNNNNNNNNNNNNNNNNNNNNNNNNNNNNNNNNNNNNNNNNNNNNNNNNNNNNNNNNNNNNNNNNNNNNNNNNNNNNNNNNNNNNNNNNNNNNNNNNNNNNNNNNNNNNNNNNNNNNNNNNNNNNNNNNNNNNNNNNNNNNNNNNNNNNNNNNNNNNNNNNNNNNNNNNNNNNNNNNNNNNNNNNNNNNNNNNNNNNNNNNNNNNNNNNNNNNNNNNNNNNNNNNNNNNNNNNNNNNNNNNNNNNNNNNNNNNNNNNNNNNNNNNNNNNNNNNNNNNNNNNNNNNNNNNNNNNNNNNNNNNNNNNNNNNNNNNNNNNNNNNNNNNNNNNNNNNNNNNNNNNNNNNNNNNNNNNNNNNNNNNNNNNNNNNNNNNNNNNNNNNNNNNNNNNNNNNNNNNNNNNNNNNNNNNNNNNNNNNNNNNNNNNNNNNNNNNNNNNNNNNNNNNNNNNNNNNNNNNNNNNNNNNNNNNNNNNNNNNNNNNNNNNNNNNNNNNNNNNNNNNNNNNNNNNNNNNNNNNNNNNNNNNNNNNNNNNNNNNNNNNNNNNNNNNNNNNNNNNNNNNNNNNNNNNNNNNNNNNNNNNNNNNNNNNNNNNNNNNNNNNNNNNNNNNNNNNNNNNNNNNNNNNNNNNNNNNNNNNNNNNNNNNNNNNNNNNNNNNNNNNNNNNNNNNNNNNNNNNNNNNNNNNNNNNNNNNNNNNNNNNNNNNNNNNNNNNNNNNNNNNNNNNNNNNNNNNNNNNNNNNNNNNNNNNNNNNNNNNNNNNNNNNNNNNNNNNNNNNNNNNNNNNNNNNNNNNNNNNNNNNNNNNNNNNNNNNNNNNNNNNNNNNNNNNNNNNNNNNNNNNNNNNNNNNNNNNNNNNNNNNNNNNNNNNNNNNNNNNNNNNNNNNNNNNNNNNNNNNNNNNNNNNNNNNNNNNNNNNNNNNNNNNNNNNNNNNNNNNNNNNNNNNNNNNNNNNNNNNNNNNNNNNNNNNNNNNNNNNNNNNNNNNNNNNNNNNNNNNNNNNNNNNNNNNNNNNNNNNNNNNNNNNNNNNNNNNNNNNNNNNNNNNNNNNNNNNNNNNNNNNNNNNNNNNNNNNNNNNNNNNNNNNNNNNNNNNNNNNNNNNNNNNNNNNNNNNNNNNNNNNNNNNNNNNNNNNNNNNNNNNNNNNNNNNNNNNNNNNNNNNNNNNNNNNNNNNNNNNNNNNNNNNNNNNNNNNNNNNNNNNNNNNNNNNNNNNNNNNNNNNNNNNNNNNNNNNNNNNNNNNNNNNNNNNNNNNNNNNNNNNNNNNNNNNNNNNNNNNNNNNNNNNNNNNNNNNNNNNNNNNNNNNNNNNNNNNNNNNNNNNNNNNNNNNNNNNNNNNNNNNNNNNNNNNNNNNNNNNNNNNNNNNNNNNNNNNNNNNNNNNNNNNNNNNNNNNNNNNNNNNNNNNNNNNNNNNNNNNNNNNNNNNNNNNNNNNNNNNNNNNNNNNNNNNNNNNNNNNNNNNNNNNNNNNNNNNNNNNNNNNNNNNNNNNNNNNNNNNNNNNNNNNNNNNNNNNNNNNNNNNNNNNNNNNNNNNNNNNNNNNNNNNNNNNNNNNNNNNNNNNNNNNNNNNNNNNNNNNNNNNNNNNNNNNNNNNNNNNNNNNNNNNNNNNNNNNNNNNNNNNNNNNNNNNNNNNNNNNNNNNNNNNNNNNNNNNNNNNNNNNNNNNNNNNNNNNNNNNNNNNNNNNNNNNNNNNNNNNNNNNNNNNNNNNNNNNNNNNNNNNNNNNNNNNNNNNNNNNNNNNNNNNNNNNNNNNNNNNNNNNNNNNNNNNNNNNNNNNNNNNNNNNNNNNNNNNNNNNNNNNNNNNNNNNNNNNNNNNNNNNNNNNNNNNNNNNNNNNNNNNNNNNNNNNNNNNNNNNNNNNNNNNNNNNNNNNNNNNNNNNNNNNNNNNNNNNNNNNNNNNNNNNNNNNNNNNNNNNNNNNNNNNNNNNNNNNNNNNNNNNNNNNNNNNNNNNNNNNNNNNNNNNNNNNNNNNNNNNNNNNNNNNNNNNNNNNNNNNNNNNNNNNNNNNNNNNNNNNNNNNNNNNNNNNNNNNNNNNNNNNNNNNNNNNNNNNNNNNNNNNNGUGGGUUCAUCACAUUGAGAGAGGGGAUUCUGCCUGCCGCUCUGCCCGAUGCUAAUUGCACGAGUGUGGAUUUACAGAGAGGGGGGGAUCAAACUCUUUAAUUAUUAUUGCACAUUAUUAUUAAUGAUUACUGCCUGCUAUUAUUUGUGGGGGAGUUAAGAAACAAUAGUAAAAUAUAAAUUACGCAACAUGUCUUGGCGUAUCCAUGGUCAUACGCGCGUGUCUCGCCGUAUCUGUCAGACAGAGCCGGUUGCUUCGACCAACUACCUCCCGUUGACUUUGACUUGAGCAGCUGCUGGCCAGUGAGAUUUCGCCACGGCAGCCGUCUGUUGACCUGCGGUGGCAGGAGAUCCGGCCCGCGCGUGCUAGGUCGCAGCCUCGCCACAGACAACAGCUUUUACCUGCAAACAUACGCUGCAAAUAUAAACUGUGAAUUAAAAAGCUUUGCGUAUGACAGACGUCCGAGGACCACAAAGAUGGUUUUUAAAUGGGACCAUACGGUAUGAUCGGAGGCGGAGGAACCGUGCGCCGGACGAAGAAAGCUCGGCUGAUUUACAGAGCCGGGCACGGGGAGCCUGGCUGCGAACCCACCCCCGUCGCAACCCAGAGGCACGAGCAGUUGAGGUAUGGAGAACUCAGGCAAAAAGUAGAUCUGCAAACCCAGAGAUUGAUUUGCCCCAGACAUGGAUUCCACCGAAAGCAGGAGUGUUGAAGAUAAAUAUAGAUGGAACAUAUGUGCAUGGUUCGUUGAAGAACUCCAUUGCUUGCAUUAGCCGUGAUUCGGAAGGGAGGUUGUUGGGAGGAGUUGCAAAGGAAAUAAGGGCCUCUUCCCCCUUAAUGGCAGAAACCUUAGCUCUCUGGGAAGCCCUCCAGUUUCUCUUCCCUAUACGACACGAAGUAAUACUUUUGGAGUCAGAUAGUUUGCAACCGGUCAAAGCCAUGAACAGUUCACAACAGUUAAGUUGGGAAGUACAGCCUAUCAUCAGCAAGUGCAAGGAAAUAUUGAAGGCCUUUUCAAAAGUCCAAAUAGCCCAUUGUUCAAGACAGGCCAAUUUUGUUGCAGAUUGGGUAGCUAAAGCCCACUGGAACAAUUACUUACCUAUGAAUUGGGUCUCAUCCCCUCUACAAACUUUGUUGGACCUCUUAUGUAAUGAAGCCCAUUUAUCGGGCCUCUUAUCCUUGCGUACUUAAUGAAAUAUUUCCGUUUUCGACCAAAAAUAAAAAAUAAAAAUGGGACCAUACGGUAGUAACUUUUUCUUUUUCUUUUUCUUUUUCUUUUAUUUUUCUAUUUUUUUUAUUAAAGAGAAAAGUCAUAUGAAAGUCCAAAAUAUGUGUCCUCUCACGUAUUCAUUUCAAUAUUUUUUUUUGUGACAUAAAAAUUCCAAAUUUGUAUUUAUGUCACACAAAUACUCUGUUAAGAUACCGUUAAAUGAUUUUUCAACUAAAAUAACGUCAUUUUUUUUAUUUAAAUUACGUGGGCGCCAUGUCAGUGUUUUGGUGUCAUAGAAAAAUGUUUAUAAUAAAUAUAUUACAAUGGACAAAAUUUAAGAUUUUUUUUUUUGUGACUUUUGCCCUUAUUAUUAUGAUGUAGAGGAAAUGUUGCAAUUUCUAAUAUAUUGCCUACUUUUGUGAUAUGUAUACUUAAUAUUUUGAAAAUAGAAUAUUUUCUCGUUAAAUGUAAUUAGAAAUGCACCAAAAGCACGUGUGCCUUGUCAUACUCGUUAGACAUAUUGAUUUUGGAAUGAAUUAGUUUCGACACAUUAUUUUAUAUAUCACUACAACGAUUAAUGCAUUGGAAACUACAUGAUUUGGAAAAUCAAUUAUUUAACAAGUGCUCCAUAAACCCUAAUAAACCAAAAUCCUUAUCAUUAUAUUGAUAGUGUGUAAAAUUAAGCUAGUUAGGUAGAUUAUUUCGAGAGAAAUGAAUGUUGAUUUGAGCUCCAACAAGCGCAUUUUCUUGCAAGCCACGCUUUAGGGUCUAUUUGGUACAUUUCUAUGUCAAGAAUCAAUUUUUUUUUUCAAAAAUAGUCUGUCUAUUUCUAUUCCCCAAAACAAUUUAUGAAUAAAAAAAUGCAUUUGGUAACUAUACAAAAUUAAUAUUCUUAAAAUAGAAAAGUAAUAAAAAUGCAUUUAAUGUGAUCAACAAUUUUUUUUAUUACAUAAAAUUUCUUUUAAUUUUUUAAUAAUUUUUUUUCUUUUUUUUUUCUUUUGUUAUUCUUCCUUGCCGUUGCCAAUCGUUGGCCACCGCGGCCGAGCCAAAGGUCAAUGGCAACCGACAGUGGCUGAACAACAGCAGAAAGUGGUGGGGUUCAAGGAGAAAGAAAAGAAAAAGUAACUUAUUUAUAAAAAUUGUUCAUGAGAGCAAUAAGUUACUUUUUUUUUCUUUUUAUUUCUAUUCCAAAUCUAUUUUUCCGUCAAUUUUCUAUUCCGGAGAAUAAAAAAAUUAGUUGAUAUUAUCAUAUGGAUUUAUGUUCUUUUUUUUUGUUCCGAGGAACGAAAGAACAGAAAUUGGAAUAAAUAGAAAUGUUAUCAAACGAAGUCUACUCAGUCGGUAAUUUCAGAAAUCAGAUUACCUCAAAUGAUUCAUUCAGUUGAAUCACGUCCCUAUGGUAAUGUUUGGAUGACCUUUACCUUGUUUUAUUCGAUUUAACUCGAUCCGAUUGAGCACCACUUAGGAAGUCGGUUCGACGUCCGGCCGUAUUUUGGAGACAUUGGUUUCAAGGGUCUCUUGUCCUGAUAUUUGUCUAGUAGAUGAAUGAGGUGUGUGAUGAUAUUUUUACAGGCCGGAGCAAGUGCCGAUUUUCAGGUAUGAUCUCGGCCCAAGAGGCAUACAAGAUGAGCCGAACGUGUUGGAGUGGGUGAUAAAAUACCUUUGCGGAGAGUAUAGUUAUUUUGGUUGGACAAAUCAAGUCAUCAGUCAUCAAGUUGUCUAAUAUUUGACUAUAAAUGGAACUUAACCCUAAGGAUUAGUUUAGUCGGUUGAGAGUUUUGGAAGUUACGAUUCAAAAAUUAGAAAAUAUUUUCUUUAAAAUGAUCAAUUAUAUUAUUUUCACAAAUGAGUCAACAAAAUAUAUUUUCAUUAACAAUAGUGAUUUAUGUUCGAACAUUUUCGUGAAUGACGAAACCAAUACAGGAUGAUUCUAAAUUAUUGAGUUUUUGUAAGACAAACGCACCAGCAAUCUAACUUAGAAUCACUCUUUUUUUUUGUGCGUGUGUUUUUGGGGCUCGGAAUAUGGGAGUUGAUAUGUCAGGAAGCAAUCUCACUAGCUAUCCUUCCCAUCAAGUUCUUUAACGUACGAACACCAUGUUAAAUCUUUUUCUUCCUUUUUUCAAGACUUACAUUAAAUCACUUUCCAUGGAAUUAAAUCGUAAAAAUUAGAGCCCCUUUAAAAUAUCAUCACAUUACAUUUUAAUGUUGGGUUCACACGUUAAAAACCCAAUACACUUAUCAUGAAAGAUUGCUAAGAGAAAACUCAAAUCUAAACUCGUUAACUUAUUCAAUUUGAUCCAUUUACGCUCAAAACCUUUGGUCAAUGAAUUAUAACUGAGUUAGAUAUAUUAAAUACUCCAUAUUACAGCACAUCCUUGUAUGAGAUUUCAAUAGCUUAACAUUCUCGUGCAUGCAUGUAGACAAUUUCCCCCUUCACACAUGCGAGCCACCAAUGUUAGGCUCACUCCCUCUCAAUCCUAAUAUCCUUCUACACCAACAUUAUCUCAACUCGAGAAUAUUUAAUCUUUACCUUGGCUUGGUCAAAUUGCAUAUACUGGUGAGGACCAAUAGGUAUCUUUCAGAUUCCACCUUAAUUGUCUUCGCUCAACCAAGCUUGUUGAGAGUAGAGGGACACCAUUCAUCACCUCAAUUAAGGGGCCACAUUUGAGAUUUUCCUUCCUUGAGAUAUUCAUCGGGCACUCAUAUAUAUUGGGAUCUGGCCACGAAUCAACAUUGACUCUAAUACCAUUUUCAGAUUGACACAGCAGAAGCUGAGUACCUUCAUUUGAUGAGAUCACCAAGAGGAAGCACCAGUCAAAGCCCAUUAAAUUACCUAGUUGGACCCAAGUUUACUCAAAAACUUGAGUUAAUCAAUUAUGAAUCAGCUAAAAUGUAUCAAUUGCACCACAUUUACUUUGUGGGAUUUCUCUCAGUUAACAUCCGUGCACAUGCACCUUAAAAAUACUAAAUGCAAUCCGAUUCCUCAUGUGUCGAAGGUACCCCUUGAAGCAUCAAAUACAACAAUAGGGUUUGCGUAGCUUGCUUGUUGUAGUAGAUUUUCUCUUGAUUACUACCUUACCGGCCCUUAGCAUUGAGGUGACAGGCUACCAAUGCCAUAAUUAUUUGUAAUGUCAAUUCAUUGGAAGGUAAAUAUUAAUGAGUCACGUUUUACUUAUUAUGUCUUUAAAAUGUACAAGUUUUCAAUGAAGUAACUGAAUAUAUUAAAAUUCUCUUCUUUUACUGUAUUUAAAUAUGUACUUCUUUAAUUCUCAAAAUCUCUUAAAAAGCAUUCUUUCUAUUUUUAGUUAAUUUAAUGUAGGCAUUAGUUUUCACGGGAAAUGAAAAAGAAGAGAAUUGGAGGAAUUUCUUGUGCUCAUUUUGUAUUGUUUUUCAUUCUUUAUAUGUAUUAAUAAUAUAAAGUGUGGACAGCAAAAGGAAACAAUGUAAAUAUACAGAAUUAAUAUGGAUCACUUAUUGAUUCAGUCAAUUAAUCUAAUCUUAGAUUAAUUCAAUUAUCUCUUCACCACAUAAAUCAUAUCUCCAACACUCCCUCUCAAGUUGGUGGCUUGUAUAUGUCCAAAACACCUAACUUGUUUAACAAAUGUGUGUUUUCUUUGACACAAGGGUUUAGUAAAGAUAUCCGCGAGUUGUUUUGAGGUUCCAAUUCCCUUUAUCCUAUUAUUCCUUCUUGGAUCUUAUCUCGAGAGAAAUGAUAGUCGACCUCUAUAUGUUUUGUUAUCUCAUGGACUAUAAGAUUAGCUGCAAGCUUUAGUGUUGCAUCAUUAUCACAAAAACAACGUAGUUGGCCUUUUAACUCGCACACCAAGGUCAAGAGGUAGACCUCGCAUCUAUACUAUCUCAUAAAUAGUCUUGGUCAUGGCUAGAUACUCAACUUUAGCCAAUGAUAAUGAUACGGUUGUUUGCUUCCUCCUCUUUUAUUUAUUUACGUAUUUAUUUUUUAUAACAAAAGUAAGGAUGUUCUAAGCUUAAUGCAAAAAAUCUAGUAAUGGAGCUCCAGGUCAUAAGACAGGUGGCAUGGUCUAUGUCACAAUAAUCCGUCAUCUCCAUGUUACACGCUUGAGAAAGAAGUAUUCCAAAUCCUAGACAUUUCUUCAAAUCACAACUUUUAGAGCUACAUUCAUAUGUGAUUGUUUUUGGUUAUGCAUAAACCAACUCAGCAUUAGCACUGCUUAGCAUAUGUUUGGUAUUGUCAUGGUGAGAUAAUCUUUUCUACGAGCCUCUAAUAGCUUGAUGGAUCCUUGAGCAGUGGAUUAUCAGCAUUUGAUAGUGUUCCACAUAAAAAAAAAUGUGAUUAACUUGAUAUCUUGCUCAAUAGGAAUAGUAGCUAGCUUACAUUCUAACAAACUUGCUUUUGAUAUAAUUUCAAGGACAAAUUUCCCAUUAGCUAAUAGGAGAUUCCCAUGUUCAAUUGGGCAAUUUUAAUUCCAAGGAAAUAUAUGGGAGGUCCUAGAUCUUUAAUGUGAAAGGUAUAGUAGUGCAAAUAUUUCUUGAGAUUUUUAGCAACAGCUUCAUUAGAUCCCAUAAUAAGUAUGUCAUCAAUAUAUAUCAUUAGAUAGAUAGAUGACGAACCUUUUCUCCCUAUAAAUUGUGCAUAAUCAUGUCUCAACAGUCUAAAGCCAGUAACUAUAAGUGCAUUUGUAAAUUUUGUGUACCACUAAUGAGAAGCUUUCUUAAGGCCACAAAGUGAUAUGCAGAGACAUCAUACCUUAGACUCCUCUUGUUUUCAUAAACCCGGUGGAAGAUCCAUGUAAAUUUCUUCGUCUAGAUCACCAUGGAGAAAGGCAUUGUAAAUAUCCAUUUGAUGUAGUGGCCAAUUCUGCAAGCAACAAUGCAUAGAAAGGAGCGAACUGUGACUUUUUUUGCUAUUGGAAAGAAUGUUUUAUGAUAAUCGAAACAUUCUUUUUAUGUGAAACCUUUGGGCACUAAACGCGCCUUGUAUCGUUGGACUGAUCCAUUUGCCUUGUGUUUAAUUUUAGAGAUAAGUGCACUAGGAGUCCGAAAACUUAUUACAAAAGUGCAUUUGAGUUCUAAAACUUGCAAAAAGUGCAUUUACGUCCUAAAACUUGUCAAAAUGUUUCAAACGAAUCCUAAAAUCGAUGCCGUCUAAUUUCUUAAUGGAAAAAGCUAAUGUGGCCCCCGCGUGGCUUUUUUUAAUCAUUUCUCUCUCCUUCGUUGCGAAUAGAUUAAAAAAAAAUGCCACGCAUCCAAAACGACGUCGUGUUCUCCUUUCUUUUUCACCAUCGUGUUACCUCCCCUCCGUCUGUACGUCUUCUUCACCGUUGUCUUCCCUCUCCCCCCUCCGUCUCUACGAUUGCUUUCACUAUUCCAAGCGAACCCUAAGCCUCAAAUCGAAUUCGUUCAAACCCUAAGUCCCAAAUCGAAUUCGUCCAAAUUGCAGUUCUCUUGCGAUUUGGGUCCUCGUCGACCUCAAGUUCAACGCUUGUUGUGAGUUCGUAUUCUUUCCUUUGAGGAUUGCGAGUUCGUGCGAAGUCCUCUCUUGUGGGAGUCUCGACAUCUUAGCAGAGAAGCGAUUGGUGUUGGGGACGAUGACAAGGUCAGCGACAGCGAUGGCGACUCCUCCUCACACAGGUAUCGUUCUUUGCAUUAUAGCAUUUUUGGUAUCUUGUGGUAAUGCUACGAUAUCUUUUGUUUUGCUACGAUUUCUUUUAUUUUGCAAAGGUGCUUUAAUCUCUGCAUUAUGCAAAACGACAUCAGUUGACGUCCUCAUUUCUUCAUUAUUUGGAGUUCAGAGAGCUCGAGUUUGACACACAUCGACUUUAUGUUAUAUUCUUUGACGAUUGCGAGUUCGUGCAAAGACACGUCUUGCGGGCAUCUCGGCGUUGAUAACCCACAGCAGAAGGCAUUCUACCCAAUAAGGCGGAUACCUCAGAUCCUGCUUGGACGAAACGGAAGAUAUUGUCGAUAAAUAGAAGUACGUCUUGUUCAUUAACAUCUUGGAAAUAUUCCGCCAUAGUUAGGGCAGUCAAACCAACUCUCAUACGACCUCCGGGGGGUUCAUUCAUCUGACCAUAGACUAGAGCGACCUUAGAUUAUGCAAUAUUUUGUUCAUUAAUUACUCCAAAUUCUUUCAUUUCCAUGUAAAGAUCAUUUCCUUCACGAGUACGUUCACCUACUCCUCCAAAUAUGGAUACCCCCCCCCCCCCCAUGAGCUUUAGCAAUGUUGUUGAUCAAUUCCAUUUAGCAGCAGAGCAAGCGACAUCAGGGACGACGAUGGCCGUCUCAGCGACGGAGCAAGCAACAUCAGGGACGGCGAUGGCAACUCCUCAUGCAGGUAUCACUCUUUACAUUACAGCAUUUGGGUAUGUCAUGGUAAUAUUACGAUUUUUGUUUUUGCUUUACGAGGGCGUUUUACUCUUUGCAUUAUGGUUGUUUUGCAUUUUCCAAUUGUUGCGAUAAAUUAGAACAUUGUUGCAAAUUAGAACAUCGCCUACCGAAAGGCUGACAAUAGGUCCCUCGCUCUCACUAUUGAUCAUGUAGUUGCAUUGUGAUUGUAAAGCACAUUAUGCUAAUUUGUUGUUUCUGUAUUGAUUAUUAGUCUUUUAACUUGAACAUUGCUUCAAUAAUUUGAUGAUGGAAAGUACUAUCCUCUUUGUUUCUGUUCUCUUGUAUGUUUCUAUUCCAUUGUAGGUCCAAUUGCCGAGAAUAAAGUUUAUUUCACUAUUCGCUAUGGAGGUAAAUCUAAAGUCGGCCCACCGUUGGAAUACAUAGGUGGAAGAGCUGAUCUUGCUGAAAUAAGUUUAAGUAAGCAUUCACUGUCUAGUAUAAUUGAAGCUAUUAAGGCUUUGGGUGUGUGUAAAAUAGAGAAACUCUUUUACAGAGUUCCUGCAAGUACGACUCUUGUAAACGGCAUAACUCUUAGGUAUUUGUGGGAUAACUCUGAUGUGAUGGAUCUAUUUUAUCAUCAUCUGUGCUCUGAAAAUAUUAUGCUAUAUGUUGAGCAUGUUGAUGAGAAAAAGAAAGGAGCUGAGAUGGGGGGUGUUGAGAUGGAAACUAGAGGUAUGUCUAAUGUGAUUAGGAAUAUUGAUGAUGACGAUGCCAAUAAGGAUCUAGAUGAGGAAGAGGAUGAUGAUGCACAUAAUUUGGUGGAUAUGGAACAGUCGAGUGACGAUGAUGAUUUUGAACUGGUUGAUGCAAGAAAAAAAUUAAAGUAAUUUCCAGCAAGACAUAAGCUCAAAAUUGGCGAUUAUAGUGAGGCAACUGGUACUUCCCAACCACCGAUUGUGGAUGAGGCUCAAUCGUUAGAUGAUUCUCGGUACGAAACAGAGUAUGCUGAUUCAGAUGAGGAAGACAGUCUUCAAUCAAUUUUAAAUGAUGAGGGUGACGAAGAGGUUGAUGUUAUCUCAAAGAGGAGAAGUAGAUUCCCAUCAUAUGAUCAAAGUGGUACAAAUCCAGUAUUUAUUGUUGGCAUGACAUUUGAGGAUGCAACUGAGUUCAAAAAUGCAAUUUUGAAGUAUUCUGUGGCUAAGCAAAGAGCAAUCAAAUACACUAAGAACACAAAAAGCUUUGUAAGAGCCAGGUGUAUCCAGGAAAAUUGUAAGUGGAUGAUCUAUGGUGCUAUUGAUAGAAAAACUAGAUCAUUUCAUUUGAGAAAGUAUAUAAAUCAGCAUAUAUGCAGUAUCACUUUCGAGAAUAAGAGAGUGUCUAGUAAUUAUUUAACUAAGCACUUCAUGAUUCUCAUUUCUGCAAUGCCUAAAAUCAAAACACUGGAGUUAAAGAAAUUAGUCAAAGAACAACUGAGAGUAAAUGUCACUUUCAGUCAAUGUAGGAGAGCAAAGCUAAAAGUAUUGAAGGAACUACAAGGCAAUUACAAGAAGGAAUAUGCACAGAUGUACAACUACUUGGGAAAGCUUUACACUGCAAGCCCUUCAAGCAAUUUUAAAUUGAAAGUUGAAAGGCCAUUGCCAAAUUCUCUACCAUUAUUUGAUAGGGCUUACAUUUGCUUUGAUGCUUGCAAGAAAAGUUUUUUGGCUAGAUGUAGGAAGAUCAUUGGAUUAGAUUGAUGUUUUUUGAAGGGUUUGAUCAAGGGCGAGUUGUUAUGUGCCGUAGAAAGGGAUGGCAACAAUCAAAUGUAUCCAGUGGCAUGGGCAGUGAUAAGAAUCGAGAAUAAGGACACAUGGACUUGGUUUAUUGAAUUGUUGAAGUCAGACCUCGAUAUGUGUAAUGGUGACGGAUGGGCUUUGAUAAGUGACCAACAAAAUGUAUGUUUUUCUUUUUGUUUUCUUUUGUAAAUUGAUUGUGACAUUACAAUGCUUUUCUUUCUGUUUUCAUAUAUAUUUUCUUUUCUUGGGUAAUUGUCAAGGUCUCGUCCAAUCUGUAGCUGAACUUUUGCUAAAUGUAGAGCAUAAUAUGUGUGCAAGGCACAAAUAUUCCAACUGGGGUAAAAAAUACAAAGGAAAACAGUUUAUGAGACAAUUUUGGAGAUGUGUCAAGAGUAAUAAUAUGUCAGAUUUCGAGGUGCAUAGACAGAGGUUAAAAGAAAUGACUCAGGAAAGUCAUGAUGAUUUAUUCCGUAUUGAGCCAAAACAUUGGUGCAAAGCCUUAUUUGACACCAACAUUAAAUGUGAUGUCGUUGAUAAUAAUCUCAUUGAAGCUUUUAAUGGCAGGUGUGUGGAAGCUAGGUGCAAGGCUAUUAUGAGUAUGCUGGAGGAUAUUAGAAUCAUGGUUAUGAAUAGAAUGCAUACUCAGAGGGAUGGAUGUGCUAGGUGGACUGGAAAUUAUGGUCCAAGGAUUCUACAUAAGUUACAUGAUAAUACAACUACUAGUAGGUAUUGCCAUUUGAUAUGGAAUGAAGACGAAGGAUAUGAGAUUACGGAAGAUGGUGACAAAUAUGUUGUUGAUUUGAAUUUAAAAACUUGUUCUUGUAGAGCUUGGGAACUUAGUGGAAUUCCAUGUUGCCAUGCCAUUUGUGCAAUACACCAUAAGAGAAAUGACCCGACUGACUAUCUAACUGAGUGUUUCAAUAAGGCAAAGUAUCUAAGUGCUUAUCAAUUCAUGAUGUCUACAGUGAGAGGACAUAAAUUUUGGAAUAAAACCAAUAAAGAAGCUCCUCAACCCCCACCAAUGAAGAACGUGCCUGGUAGGCCAAAAAGGAGUAGAAAAAAGCAACCAAUUGAGCUUGUAAAAGGUGAUAGAAUGACUAAAAAUGGUAAGCAAAUGACUUGUUCUGCUUGCAAUGUGGUUAGACAUAAUUGCAAGGAAUGUCCUUUAAAAAAUUUAUUUUCUCAACUAAUCGAUCAUCUUAAUGCUGGGCAUGUCACUUUAACAUGUUGUUAAUCAAUGCUUAAUAUGUGUUUCUCAGGCCAAUGCUUGGGCCAAUGUAUGUACAUUCAAUGCUCGGGCCAAUGUAUGUACAUCCAAUGCUCGUGCCAGUGCAAGUACAGCUGAAGUUCAUGCUCAAUCUCAAGCUAAUUCCACUAGACGAAGGCUCGGAAAAAGACAAGUAAGUUGUCAUCUAACAAUUAUUAUAAUUUUUAUAUGUCAAGGUUUCAAUUAAGUAAUUAUGAAUAUAUAUAUAUAUAUAUAUAUAUAUAUAUAUUCAGGCUAAAGCUAAAGCAAUGACAAGCGUAACUGGAGGAGGAUUCAAAAGCCAUGCCAAUGCUUCUGCAAAUGCCAAUUCAAUAGAAGACAAUAGUGAGCAUGUUAAUGCUUCUACUCAGGCUAGUGCAGAUGUAAGAGGGUAUAGUGCUCGUGCAAAUGUAAGAGAAUGUACUGCCACUGCUUCUGCUCAGGCUAGUGCUGAUGUUAGAGGAUGUAUUGAUGUGGCCAAUACUGUUGGUAAAGUUCGUUCUGGUCAAGGGGAAGGCAUUUAUUGUACACCGGCCAAUAAUGGCUAAGCAUAGACCUGAAAAAAAUUCCAGUGAGUAAUAUCUUAAUCCCCAAGCAUACAUGUAUUGUGACUACAUUCUCAUGUAUAAUGAAUUUUUUAUUAUUUCAUAUUAAAAACCUGCCAUUGAAAAUGACAUGAUACAAAGAGAAUCACAGGCCAAGAGGAUGAAAAUGGUAGGGUUGGGUGUUGACGCAAAUCCUAUGACAAACCUUCAUAUUCUUAAGGUGAGUAAUAUUUCUAAAAUUUUCUAAUAGCAAUUACUUAUCUCCUUAAGCUAAAAACAUGCUCAUUCUUAUGUACCCUAAUACAACUGGUGCAAGAAUCUUUAACCUACCAGACAAAGGGGUAGUUUCAAGAGCUACGUCAACAGUAAAGGUGCAUUCCCAAGUCAGUGCACAACCUUAGUCAUAUCAUGUAUCAGCAACUUCUUGAAAACAAAUUGCAGUGACGCUGAAGCCACCAUUACAACCCAAGGCCAGUUCCCAACCUCAAUCAUCUCAUGCAACAGUAGCUCCUUCGAAGCACGUUGCAAUGAAGCCAAAGGCACUAUCGCAACCUGAGGCUAGUUCCCAAGCUCAGUCAUCUCAAGCUACAAGAGCUCAGAAGCAUCUUAAUUUAAAGCGAAAGGCACCAUCACAACCAAAGGCAAGUUCCCAACCUCAAUAAUCUCAUGCAACAAUAGCUCCUCGAAAGCAUGUUGCGAUAAAGCCAAAGCCACUAUUGCAACCUGAGGUCAGUUCCCAAGCUAAGUCAUCUUAGGCUACAAUAGCUUAGAAGCAUCUUGGUUUAAAGUGAAAGACACCAUCACAACCCCAGGCAGCUCCUCGAAGACAUAUUGCGGUGAAGCCGAAGCCACUAUUGCAGGCUCAAUCAUCCCAGGCUCAGUUAUCUCAAGCUACGACAACUCCUCCAAAGCCUAUCGCUGUAAGACCAUAUAUAAGGAAAAGCGCUAGAAUUAUGAAUCAAGUGAAGGCUGGACCUACUGGACCACUGGAGACCAUCAUAUUGGAUUGAUAUGUUUGCUGAAAUUGGUGUUGUUAGGUGAAUUUAUGCCAAUCAUUAGUUGGUUUUCUAUAUGAGACAUGUAGCAUUUGUGCAUAAGACCUUUUGUGUACUAAAAGUGCAUAUUUUGUUGAAAAGAACCUUUUGUGCACUGAAAGUGCAAGCAUUUUGUUGAACAAAGCCUUUUGUGCAUUGAAAAUGUAAGCAUGUUGCUUUGUCAAUGAAUCGUGUUUCAACAAGUUAUGUGGGAUGCUUGGUUUUGGUUUGGAUAAUGCACGAAAGUGGUUGCUCUUCAGGAUUGUUAAUAGGUGAUUACUGAAAUUUGUCCAUGAAGAAUUUUCAUUCUUCCAAUACUUUUGUCAUCUUCUUUCCCAUUUAUUGUUAAUAGGAUUGUUAAUAGGUUCCACAUUUAUUCUGAUAGCAAUAGCUCAUAUAGUGCUAUUGACAAGCACACAAAUCAAGCAACAUUUUUCAAUGCAAAACAAACUCACAUCAGAUUUCAUUCACAUCUCAAUUAUCCACAACUAGUGUUUAAACUUACAAACUUAGAAAUAAGGUACUAUGGAAGACUUAGAAAAUUCUCACCAACUUUCACAAUACAUAUAACCAAUACAGCAAUAUAACACAUGCAUACAAUGAAUGCCAAUUGAUAUAGAAUCUUUCCUUUUUUUACUCGUGCGAGCUCUUCCUUUAAACGUCUAUUUUUCGCCUUUUGAGUCUUCAUUUCAGCUAGCAAUGAGCUCACGUCAACUUCGUCACGCCUCGAUUGGCUUGAUUCACAUAAUGCUUGAUUUCUUUCAAGUAGGUUAACUAUUAUGUCCCUCACAUGAUCUGGUAUCUUUGGAUCAAGCUACAUGAAGAAAUCGCAGCAACUUGGACUAUUAAUCUUAGCACAUCCAUGGAACAUUCUUCCUGCGUUUUUCCUUGUCUUUGCCAUAAGAAUUGGCGAUUGAAGACCACAAUAACAUGGUAGCUCCGAGUUGAUCUCAUUAGGAGUUACAUCACUUGAUUCAAAUGUUGGCGCCCUCAUUCUUCUGGGCUUCGUAUUAUAGGAACAUAAUAGAAGUAUAUUAGAAUGGAAAAUAACAAAAUGCUAUAAUGCAGAGAGCGAUACUUGCUUGAAGAGGAGUCGCCAUUGCCGUCGUUGACCCUGUCGUCGUCCCCAACACCAAUCGCUUCACUGCUGAGAUGUCAAGACUCCCACAAGAGAGGACUUCGCACGAACUCGCAAUCGUCAAAGGAAAGAACACGAACUCAUGACGAGUGUCGAACUCGAGGUCGAUGAGGACCCAAAUCGUAAGAGAACUGCAGUUUGGACGAAUUCGAUUUGGGGCUAAGGGUUCGGACGAAUUCAAUUUGGGGCUUAGGGUUCGGAUGAAUUCGAUUUGGGGCUUAGAGUUCGCUCGGAAUAGUGAAAGCAAUCGUAGAGAUGGAGGGGGGAGAGGGAAGACGAUAGUGAAGAAGACGUACAGACGAAGGGGAGGUAACACGAUGGUGAAAAAGAAAUGAGAACACGGCAUCGUUUUGGAUGCGUGGCAUUUUUUUUUAAAAGCCACGUGGGGGCCACGUCAGCUUUUUUCAUCAAUAAAUUAGACGACAUCGAUUUUAGGACUCAUUUAAAACAUUUGACAAGUUUUAUGACUUAAAUGCACUUUUGCAAGUUUUAAGAUUCAAAUGCACUUUCGUGAUAAUUUUUAGGACUCCUGGUGCACUUGUCCUUUAAUUUUAUACACCCAUUUACAACCAAUUGGAUUCUAAUGAGCAAGAAAGGACACAAUAUCCCAAGUCUGAUUUUCAUUAAGGCACAUGACUGGAGAUGUGCUCCCGACUUCUUAUCACCCCCAAUCGAGGAUGGAGGAGGCAUGACAUAUGAGUAGACCAACCCUCAAUUGGCUUAUGUUUCGCUUUGCCUAUUUAGUUUUGUGCCGUAUAUUCAAUCGAUGCUUCUUCACAUUGAAUCAAAGGAAAAAAUUUCGAACCUUUGUCUCGACUAACUAAAUUUCAAAUAAAGCUCCAAACCCACCAACUAGACAUUUCUUCAUCAACCAGCUUGCACUCGUAGCUCACGUUCGGAAGUAAUUUAAUAGGAUAAGAUGAAUUUGUUUUCGAGCAUUUUGAAGGGGGGUUGGAAGGGAGAGACUUGGAAUACCGACGAUAUCCCCAACGACACAUCCACCAUGCCAGCAGAUGGAGAUGUGCGCCAAGCUUCUUAUCACCCCCGACCAAGGAUGGAGGAGGCACGACCUUCGAGGAGACCAACACUUAAUUGGCUUAAGGUUUGCUUUGCCUUGCCUAUUUACUAUGCAUUCUAUUUCCUUCUUCAAUUUACUUUUCAAUCGAAGCUUCUUCAAUUGGGUCAAAGGAUCGAACAAAAUCAUGACUACUUUAGCCACUGGAAUAAGCAUUAUUUGUUGCUUUGCCUAUUUACUUUUGGUGUUUUAUGUACUUCUUCAAUUUACUUUUUCAAUCAACACUUCUUCACAAAGGAAAAAAAAGUGAACCUUUGUCUCGACUUACCGAGUUUCAAAUAAAGCUCUGAGCCCACUGACUAGACAAUUCUCGACCAGCCAGAUUGUACGCAUGGCUCAUGGGCGGAUGCAUUUUUAUAAGGAUCAAAUGAAUUUGUUUUUGAACAUAUGAGAGAGUGAGAGAGAGAGAGUUGGAACACUGGCAAUGUCCAUCAGGCCAAUAGACGGAGAUGUGCUCCCAGUUUCUUAUCACCUCUGAUCGAGGACGAAGAAGGCACGACAUACAAUGAGACCGACACUUGGGUUUUGCUUUGCCUAUUUACUUGUCGUGUUUUAUUUACUUACUCCGUUACUUUUUCAAUUCACGCUACUCACGUAACGUAAGGUCAAAGGAAAAAAUUUUGAACCAAAGCUUUAGCCAUCGGAAUAAAAGCACUCAGGCCGCCCGUGCAAAUCGACCAUUUGACUGGCCGUUGAGCUCAGGAACUCAGAUAAGAUUAACUAGUAAACUUUAAAUCUCUUAUUUAAGAUAAAAGUCACUCGAAAUCCUCUUUCGAGGAAAAAAAAAAAGAAAAUCCCUUUUUUCUGUUUUAAUUUGGAAUAUUCAUUAAAACGAGAUGAGAAAACCAAAACGGCACGGAACCAUCCCUCCCUCCAGCCAAAUCCGGGGGGGCGCUCCGCUCCCCCCUCCCCAUGGCGGCCCCCGACGAGCCCCCGCCGCCGCCCGACUGGCUGGAGCUCCCGCGGGAUAUCGCGACGACGAUCUUGCUGAAGCUCGGCGCCGUCGAGAUCCUCACGACAGCGGAGUUGGUGUGCACCGACUGGCGCGCCCUCUGCCUGGACUCCACCAUGUGGCAGACCAUCGACAUGCGCAACGACGGGGACCUGCCGGACGACGACCUCGCCGACAUGUGCUGCCGCGCCGUCGACCGGAGCGACGGCGGCUGCCUCGACCUCAACAUCGAGUACUUCGGCGACGACGAGCUCCUCCAGUACGCCGCCGACGGGUAACUCGCCGAUUCCCGCUUGAAUGAAUUUCGCGCGGUUUUGUUCCUCGGUCUGGUUUUGGUGGGCUUCGGAAUGAUCGCUGAUGGUCGAGCGCGACGCGUGGUCCGGUUCUUUUGUGCGUACGCCGUUGUUGGAGAGAAUUGAGAGGAUGGUUUGUCGCCAAGGAUGAGCUUGUUUCGGCGAUUGGCUGAUCGGCCGUUGCGAUUGUGUAGACCUAGAUUGCGGGGUAGCAAGUGCGUGUGUACACUGUUGAUUUCUCUGAGCUGAAGUUGUGCAGGAAUCGCGAAAUUGUUUAGGAAUGAAUCGUAUCGAGCGAGAGUUUACUUCUCUUAUUCACCAUGGCCUCAUCGCCAGGCGGAGUUUGACAUGUGAGGCUUUGAGGAGUCCUCAGAAAGUGAACAUUCUGCACACUUGAAAAGUCCCUUUUUUUUUCCCCUUGUCCUCAAGAAUUGAAAAUGAAAAAAAGAGAAGAUGGACACGCCAGAUGAUGAGAACAGAUUGUAUUUGGAAAACUUUGAUCAGCUACAUGUUCUGGAAACUAACUGAUGAAAAUAUCAUGCGUGGAAAUUGAGUUCUGAUCCUGAAAUAGCUCCCGAGAACGAGGGUAGAAAUUUUUUACAUGAAAGGGUGCCAUCUUUGUUACUUUCUCUCUCCUUAGGAGCUCUCAAAUGGCUUCUUUACGCUGUCUCUAUGUUCUGUAUGUUCAGCCUCAGUAUCUUUCAUUUUUAGUUGUCAUUUGAACAUUAGGAUGAGGCAAAAGUUCAACCCAAUUGAAACCAUGAAGGAACAUUGAACUGAGGUUGUGAAAAGACCAAUACAAUGCCAUCUGGUGAGUAUCGGGCAUUACUAAAUGAAAUGAGGAACAUGAACUGUGACAGAACUUCCAUAAGUGCUUGAUAUGGCAGAAGCACUUCUAUUUUACUUCACUCUAGGAUCUUCUUUCCCCUAUGUGCUUUUUCUCCUUUUGAUCAGUUUAUGUGACACAUUUGCUCUCCUGUUUGCUAAUAGUUAUGGGGAGAUAUUGUUUAAAGUUUGGUGUGGUAGAAGGUAUAUAACUCAACAAACUAGGGUAUAGCCAUGUAGCUCCAUCACCUUCUCAGCCUUGGACAAGUGUAGCUUUAACCCAUGCUUGCCAAAACACUUGAGUAUGCCUCAUGUUCCAGUGAUAUUAUUCUUAAACUGUUUUUUCCCCUUAUUUUGUUCAGCAAAGAAAAUAUUCUAGUUUAAUUCACCGCUGAAUUUGUCUUCUAUUUCCUUGUCGAGACUCUGCGCUCAGUCUUCAUCAUUGCGUUUUCAUUGAACUUGCAGAGACAGGUUAGAUACAUUUGAUGGCAUUGUUGCAGGUCUUGGAUAGUUAUUAAUUGUCUUGAUCUGACAAGUGGAUGGCACUGUCAGUGUUUUGAUUCCACAGCAUACAACUGAAUUUACUGCUUGAGUUGUUGUAAUUGGCAUGGAAGUUUUACGUUUUGGAGUCCUUUUGGUUCUUAACAUGAGUUUCAGAGUCUAAUAGUGUUAUGUUUGCUUUUGUUGAUAAAAAUUCCUAUGAUGAAGGGUUUUAUGAAGAGACUUGUUAACGAGUGCCUCUGGUAUAGUUGUUGACCAGACAUAAUAAGGAAAUGCAAUUACUCUAAUUAUAUAUAACAUGAGAAAUAUAGCGCAUUAAAAUCGACACUCUUUUUAUUGAGGUGUUAAAAAAGUGCCCAUGGACACAUUUAAAAAAAAAAUGAUCAGAUUAGCUCUCUUUAUUGACUUAAGUUUCUCUUUUUGAUGGUGUUUUUCUUCCUUUUAUUGAGCGUGAAGUCCAGAACAGAGCUUUUGGAUUGUGUUUGAUUGUUGUCUGCUGGAUAUAUUAUGUUUAUUAUGGAACUUUUAUUAUAGUUUGAGGCUGGAAUAGGACAUAAUUUCCAUUGAUUUGAUUAGGUUUUGAAUUUGAUCUUACUUUUCUUGACAUCUUGAUUCAUUAACUUUAUAUUUGUUUUCAGAAACCUUCUACACAUAUUUUGUGUAUUCUGUGUCUUAUUAUUAUUUCGGAUAAAUAUGGCAGUCUUGCUUAUUAAAAGGCUAUUUUGAUAGGUCAAAAGUGGACCAAGCAUUGCUUCUCUCAAUUGCAUAGAUCUCUGUUUAGUUUACAUUCUUGUGAUGCCAUGGGCAUGCAGAAGCGGACUUCAUUAGCAAAUGUGGCAUAGUUGAUAUUUUUUAACAUGAUUUGAAAGAAUUCCAAUCAGAGCUGCAACAGUAGAGAAUUGUUGAUCUAGGGUUCUGGCUGAUUUGAUCAUCUUUCCGUAUUUAUUGACAUGUCUCGUUAACGAGUGCCCAUGGGGCAUUUAUUAAACAUACUGGAUAAGGAAAGUUCCAUUGUCCACAACACUAGUUACACACUUCACUAGAACAAUUGUGGAUUAUAACUUGUGGUGUUCCUCAAUUAGCCGCUAAGAAGUGCCCAAGGGAUAGUGAUUAACAAAUUAAUGUUGUUGAAAUACAAUUACUUUUUGGCCGAUGAAAAUAAUCUCUCUACACACCCCUUGCUCUAGAUCAAUAAGCUCUCAGUUCCUUAUCUUAGUGGUUAACAUUAUUAUUGCUAGCUACAACAAGUCUGCUUUUCGGUUGAACCAUCGUUGUUCUCAUGCAUUUCUUAUUCCAUUGCAGGUGCAAUCAUAUUAGACGGCUACGACUUGUAUAUUGCGGUAACAUUUCGGAUGAGGGUCUGUGUGAAGCAGCCUCAAAACUUCCUAUGCUGGAGGUCCUUGAAUUAUCUUAUUGCUCAUUCUCAAAGGAAGCCAUAGAGACUGUUGGACAAUGUUGUCCCCUUCUGAAAUCCUUCAAAUUGAAUAGCCAGGGAUAUAGAUAUCCACACAUAGAAUGUGAUGACGAGGCACAAGCUAUAGCGAAAAACAUGCAUGGAUUACACCACCUCCAACUCUUCAGGAAUAAGAUGACAAAUGAAGGUCUGAAGACGAUUCUCGACAGUUGUCCUCAUCUUGAGUAUCUCGACUUGCGCCAGUGCUUCAAUAUUUAUAUGGAGGGUGAUUUGGGGAGAAGAUGCACCGAACAGAUCAAAGAUUUAAGGAAUCCAUAUGACCCCACAGAUGACUAUGAAUUUGAUGCUGCAAUUCUCAAUGACGAGUCCUUUGAUGAUGAUUACCUACCUUGGUUUUAUGACAUUGAUUUGCCUGAUUAUGAUAACUACUAUGAAUUCUCUGAUUAUGAUGACUUCUCUGUAUAUGGGUUUGACGAGUAUCAGUGAUUUGCUGGUUGAUGCACUUGCAUGGUGAGAAACCCUUUUCUUGCUUUAAGUCGCAGAAUAAUUUUACUACAUGG
RNAcentral lists this long non-coding RNA (111046 nucleotides) under Eucalyptus grandis. Its description in RNAcentral is "long non-coding RNA (EGRA_LNC002966)". The record is from RNAcentral. Lineage: Eukaryota; Viridiplantae; Streptophyta; Magnoliopsida; Myrtales; Myrtaceae.